Molecule: long non-coding RNA, 123145 nt
Filed under: Ananas comosus (pineapple)
Lineage: Eukaryota; Viridiplantae; Streptophyta; Magnoliopsida; Poales; Bromeliaceae
Description: long non-coding RNA (ACOM_LNC021807)
Source: RNAcentral
UUUGAUUCGCAAUCAUGUAAAGGAUGAAUCAAUUAUGACUAUCUGAGGAUCCAACUAAACUAUGAAAAACUUAAAUAUAUCUUUUGUGACAGAUAAUUCUGCGAAAAAGAGUAGUUAACAUAAGAAAAUGCACAGAUCUGGGGUAAUAUUGUGACACGGAAUUUCCAAUCUCCUGAAAGAUAUCAAAAACAGCAGCAACAAUAUUUGUAUGAAUGAUAAACAGCUUAACUAUGCCUUUUAUGACCAUAAUAAACGCACUCCAAACUUUCCUACUGAGGCAAACAAGUAAAAUUAUAGUUGGAAGUCGAAUUCUUCAUCAUCUAUUCCGCAAUGAUUGCGAAACCAUAGUGAUUAAGCCAUUUGUAUUCUCAUCAGUACAUUACAACCAGUUUACCAGAACCGAAUUGAACAUCAAACAAAUCGAGGUGAAAUUGGAGCUUCAAACACUUCGAAUAUCAUUAUUUCAAUUAUUGAACUGUCUAUUUUCAAAUAGAAUCGAAUCAUCAGAAUCCAAUUGCAUUGACGGAACAUAUUGUCAACUAAUAAAUCAGACAAAAGAUACAAUCUAAUGCCCCUAGUAAAAUCAGAAAUUCUGAUAAAUAACAGCACAAACGAAGAUCAGUGAAUAAGAAUCGACUAACAAAUUCUCAAAAAGAAGAACAAAAAAAAAAAAAAAAAAAAAGAAAAAAAAAAAAGAAGAAAGGGAAGGACGAGCCUUGAGGCGGGAGGCGUGGGGGGUGGCGUGGAAGCGGCGGUUGAGCUCGAGGACCAUGCGGGGGUCGAGCUCGACGGCGACGACGGACUUGGCGGCGUCGAGGAGCUUGCGGGUGAGGUUGCCGGUGCCGGGGCCGAUCUCGAGGACGACGUCGGUGGGCUGCACGCCGGCCUUCUGCACGAUCGUGUCGACCAACAUCGGAUUCUUCAGGAUGUGCUGCCCCUUCGACUUCUCGAACGGGAUUCCGCCCUGCAGGUGCUGCUGCCGCUUCUUCUGCACUUUCUCUCUCGCGUGCGCGCGAGGGGUGCGGGUCGCCCGCACAUAGCGGGCCACGCCCUGCAGCGCCCCUCAAUCUUUCUCUCUCUCUCUCUCGCGGGCUGCUCUUAGCCUCUUUCCUGUCUAGGGUUUUGAGAGGUUAUUAGGUUUUUAUUCAUUUAUUUAUUUAUUUAUUGGAAGGGGGAAGGGGGCUUGGGUUGGGCACGUGUUGAUGAUGUUGGAUCGAGGCCGAUCAAAAUCCGUGCGAUCCGAAACCACUAUUUUUUUUUAAAAAAAAAUAAUUUUAUUAUUUAAUUUUUUUUAUUAUUUUAUUUGAAUCAAUUUUAGUUUUAAAAAUUUAAAAUAAUUAUUUAUUUUAAUAAAUAUGCAUCUAUUCUAUCGAGUCCUAUUUCAUCUAUCUCUCCUUUACCAUUUUUACUAUGUUUAUUUUGAUUUUGUGCAAAACACUUAUUAUUUAUUUCAAAAUAUCUUUCUAAAAUUUAUAUACUAAAUAUCUUGUACUACUGAUUUUUAUAAGAAAUUUUAAAAAUUGACAUCAAAAUUAAUCAGGCUAUUAAAUAAUGAUUAGGGUCUCUAGUAUAGAUAGAACUUUAUUGGAGUUAAUUAAUAUGGUCUAUCCUAUCAAAAUUAACAAAAAAAUAGAAUAAUCAAAAUUUAAUUAUAAAAAAAAAUAAAAUUAUAAAAAACUAAUAAUAAAAAAAAACAAUUUUGAAAAAAUUGAUAAUGGUUAGGGAGUAAUAACUAUAACCACGUUCCUGUUGUUCCUCCUGUCGCCCGAACCCGGCAAACCCAUUUGCCCUAACUCACGAGACAACACUCUAUAUACAGGUCUUCAACAUGAACCUCCUCCUUUCUUGCGCGGCUGGUGUUUCCCUCUCCUAGGGUUAGGGUUAGUGCCAGGUUUUCUCUCUCCUCUCUCUCCCUCGGCGCCACAUCCAUGGCGUCGGCGAGCGAGUUGGUGCGGUGCUUCGAGCGGAAGAAGACGGAGCGUGGGUGCCCCCGAUCUAGCUGGUGAUGCCCGGGACUCUCGGCUGCAAGGCCGUGGAGCCGAUCCUCCUCCACCUCCUCGGCCGCGCCCGCUUCGCCGGGGGCGACGCGCGCAUCCGCUUCCGCGGCGGGGGCAAGGCCUCGUAGGUCUACGCCGUGCGCCAGAGCGUCGCCAAAGCCCUCGUCGCCUUCUACCAGAAGCACGUCGACGAGAAGCACGUCGAUCCCCGCCGAUGCGAGCCCAAGGAGUUCGUCUGCCGCGGCGCCCGCUGCCUGAAGUCGUAUCGGUAACCCCCUCGGAUUCGGUAAUACCCGAUCUGAAAGUUUUUGGUUUCAGAUUUAUUAUUAUUAUUAUUAUUAUUAUUAUUUGGGUGGUGAGUUCUCGAUUUUAAGAUGGUUAUUUUGCCUUCCUUUCUUUGCAUAUCAUGGUGUUAGUAUGCUAUUUCUCUUUGUUUAUAAGUCGAAAUGAGUAUAAGUUGAAAUUAGGGGUAGUAGAUUAUUUGAAUUUUGCUUGAAGGAGGAGCGGUAUUUAGUUUUGAUCAGAUACUUUGGGUAGUACUGGGAUUUAAAGUCAUUUUGUUUUUCUUGCUUUCAUUUAUUUGUUUAUUUGUUUUAAUCUUUUUUAUCUUAUAUUCUGUUUUUACUUGAUUGUUGAUCGGAUCUGGUUUUAUUUGAUUUCCGUUCCCAUUUGCUCGAGUCAGAGUCUUUUAAUCGUGUUGUUAAUACGGCCUUGCUUGAGUAACAUUAAAGUUUUAGAUUUAGAACUACUUGGUUUGAUGGUCGAUCAAUCGUGUCUUUAAGGCACCGUUGAUCAUCUUUUUCUGAAUAUCAUGCUUAUUGCCUUUCAUUUGCUUUGACAGUUUUCGAUCUGUUACGUGACAUAGCAGUUUCAAUUUUGAUUGCAAAAGUUUGUUUAUGCCUCUUUAUGCUAGUCUUUUAAAUUAAAUUGUUUUGUGCUUUCAUCCAAUUUUAAGGUAGUUAAAGAUGCACUGAACACACUAUUUUCGAGAUUGCUAUAUAGGAUGAACUUACAUUUAGCUGUCACAUAUUUUGAAUGACAAAAUAAUUAAUGUUUAAUUACGAGUUUUAAAAAGUUUAUUCUUUUUUGGGGCCAACAUUCUUGAUUGGAAUGGAUGCAUGCAACUAGGUUCCACAGGUCUUACAAAAAUAGCCUAGCAUUUGUGUGAUAUUGUUGAAUCUAUUUUGAUAAGUGUGGAAAAUUUGAUCGUAAGUAAGUGUUCACACUCAAUAUUGAGGAAGUAAAAUCCAGAAUUAUGAAAUUGCAUAUUACAAUUACAUAUGUAACCCUAUAUUCGAGUUAUAUAAAUUAAUAAAUAUACUGUAUAGGGAAAAAAAUGCGCUUCUAAAAUUUAAAUUUAGUUUAAGAUAUGGUUAAAUUCCAUGUUUUAAUGUUAAAGUAGAUGAUGUUAGUGCAGUGGAGAUCAUAGUAAUUCUUGAGUUACUAUUAGAUUAGAUUGUUGUACUAAUUGCCUUGCAAAGUGAUUAAAUUAACAGAGAUUAGAUUGUUUAAGAAAUUAGAAUGGCUAGUUCAAGGACUAAAAUAAUAUCAUCUUUUGGUACUCUUUGGGAGUUUGGAAAUCAAAAUGCUGACUUGGAGCUUAAAGAAAUAUUAUGGGUUUUUCUAAUGAGUGUCAUAUGAGCACUUGUUAAGAUUUAUUAAUUAUGGUUCAAAUGGUGGGAAUAAGUGUAUCUUACCUGUUCACAGGUAACUAUAAGUCUAAGAUCAUUAUAUUAGUCAGUCCACUUGUAUUUAUUAGUCAUGUUGUGCAGUAAGACAAUGCACCUUAUAGUUUGUUGUCACAAUUUAAUUAAUAGGUCUUAACGAGUGCUCUUAGGACACUUGUUAAAAAAAUCCACAUGCUAUAUUGAAGAGAUUGGUCUUCCUUUUAAGGAAUUCACAUUGUGAUUGUUUGAUUGAUGGAUGGCCAUUACAUUGAAAUUGGUCUAUGCACUCUGUUUGGUUAAAACUAUUUGAGUAGUUCUCAUCAAGAAUCCCUACACAUUUUUUUUAUUAUAUUCAUUUCCUACUUUUAUUCUAUCUCUCCACACACACACACACACACACACACACACNCCGGGGCAAACCAACCCCCUAAUCGCCCCUAUUGUUUUCAAUAGGGGCGAUAAGGCGGUUUACCUUACUUUUGACCGGCCCUAUAAAAUAGGGCCAGUUUGGAACGAUAAGGGCCAAUAGGGCCCUAUCGUUCCUUAAACAAUAAGGUGGUAAAACCACCUUAUCGCGAUAAGGUUACGAAUUAAAGUUUGAAUUAAUUUUAAUAUUUAACUUAAUUUUGAUUUCAUAUAUUUAUAUUAUAUAAUAUAUAAUAUUAUGUUAAGGAAUUCACAUUGUGAUUGUUUGAUUGAUGGAUGGCCAUUACAUUGAAAUUGGUCUAUGCACUCUGUUUGGUUAAAACUAUUUGAGUAGUUCUCAUCAAGAAUCCCUACACAUUUUUUUUAUUAUAUUCAUUUCCUACUUUUAUUCUAUCUCUCCACACACACACACACACACACACACACACACACACCCCCUUCCCACCACCCCCUCCAAAUUUGGCUGAUAUUAAUGAAAAGGAAUUAUAACUAGUUGAGAGGAGAUUUUCGGCACUUUAGAAAAUAAGUGUGUAUGUUUGCUCUACCGUGUUAAUUUACUGAAAUUACUGUCAUUGUACAGGGUUAUGUGUAAUUCCAGUUGUAAGAACCUUUAGAACACAUCAACUUGUGUCAUACGUUGUUAGGCCUUUUUGACAAAACGUAGGAAUAUUAUUUGAGUAGAGGUAUUUGAAGAAGUUGCAAGAUGUGUUUGUUUAGAGUAUUGUAGUUCCAUGGAUAGGAAAUAAGGAUAGUUUAUCCACUAUAAGAGGGCAAAGGGAAUUAUCUAGGCUAAUGGUUCCUUAUGAGAGUAGCAUAACUCCAUUCUAGCGUACAGUUUGAUAUCUCCUACUUAGUUCUAGUUGGAAAUUUAUCAAACUCAAAAGUACUUAACAGGAUAGCAGGGAUAUUGCCAUUAUCUUUCCAACUUGCAAAUGCUGAAUGUAAAUAUACUUGGCAUGGAGUUGAACAAAAAAACUUUUAAGUUAGACCAGCUUUUUAGGGAGCUCUUUUAGUCUUCGCACUAUGCUAGGAGCUCUAGAUUUUUUUUCUGUUUGCUAAACGUCUGACUUUUGCUUCUUGAGUAGAAUAACUUUUUUAGAAGUCAAACCAAUUAGGUAGUAUAUACUUUUGCAUAUGCUAACAAAAGUAUGUAUUCGAAAAAUAUUUGCUGAGCUAACCUGUGACAUUAGGAUGCUAGCACAAGUAUCACUGCUGUAUAUGCUGUGCAAACUUGUGUUAAGCAUGGCCAAGGAAUAUGAAACCUUAACAAGAAACUUUUUAGCUCUAGUCAACAUGGGAGAUUGCUUUUGCUAAGUUUGCUAUUGUCGGUCAACUUUCACAAAAGAAUUCAAUGCCAAUCCUACCAAAUCCUAGAGGGAUGUGAUGAAAGUGUAUGUAUCUUUAGCAAAGGUUGAGCACAAGUUUGUAAGAGACAUCAAUUACUAUCUUACUAGUGCCUAUCUGUUCUGGCUUGUAAGGUUUUCUAUUCGGGAAGCAAAAGUUAGUUGUUUGACAAAUAGAAAGUCUAAAGACUAAAUUGUAGUGAAAGGACUUUUAAUGCUUUCUUUGAACAACUCUAUGAAAUGUAUUUAGAAUCGACAAUCACACCGAGUAGUCUCUUAAUCAAGGAAAGAAUAGAAAUAGCAUUUUCUUUUGUUUUGAUAGCACACUUGGACUAGAAGAGUAUUUGGAGUCUUUCAAGAACUCAAAUGAUAUACAAAUGUUGUUUUAGUAGUUUUGAGUUUUGGAUUAUUAUAAUGGAAACAACUAUAAGAGCUUUUAUUGGUAGAUUUGAUCUUAUGUAGGAAUAAGAAUGCAUAGCGAGAUUUCAAUUCAUAAGAGGUUCCUAAUGUUUCGCAAGUAUAUAAUAGGUCUAUUAAAAGUGCUAAAACCAAUAUCGAGAAGGCUAUGGUUCACGGAAAGUUUUUAUUUGGAAGGUGAACGCACGAAAAGGGAUUACUUGAAGCGCAUUUUAGACUUUAAAUCAUCUUUUAGCUUGGGCUAGAUCUAGGGUUAGCUCUUUUUAUCUUUCUACUUUUGCCAAAAGCUCUAGAACUUUUGUUUGUCAAACAUCUGACUUUUGCUUCUUGAAUAGAAAAGUUACUUUUGUAUUUGUGCCAUACGAACUAUAUAUAUAUUUGUGUAAAAAUGAAACUAGCACAAUGUGGCACUAUAUGACAUGCAGUUAAUCAGUUAGAAGCACAGUGUGGGAUGAUGAAAAUUCAAAGAGAAACUGCUUAGGUUGAAGUAUCUUUUAAAGUUAGCUUUCAGUAAGGCUGGAUGGUUAGCAUUUGCUUUACAUUAUUUCAUUAAAGGAAUACAUGAACUAACAUUACACCAACUAUAUUAUCAUAUACUUGUUUGUCAUUCUUUGAGUGGCUCCUAUAUUGAGAAGCAAAAGUUAGGUGUUUGGCAAACAAAAAGUUUAGAGCUUUUGGCUAAAGUGGAAAGUUAAUAAGAGCUUAUUACUUCGAAAAUGAAAAAGUUCCUUCCUUCUGAGCCUUUUUUUUUUUUUUUUGAGAGAGAGAUAGAUAGCAUGCUACCCGCUUCGUUUAUUUCAUUUAGAAAUAAACUUAGCUGGAAAUGUGAAUCAACUAGGAUUUCGAACUUGGGACCUCGGGUACCAACCACCAAGCCCUUUGCCACUUGCGCUAAGGACGGUCGGUCCUUCUGAGCCGUUUAGUUGUGAAAAUUAUAGGUUUGUUUUGGACAUGUUUGAUAAUAACGAAAAAGGGUAAAUACCAUCUACAAGAAUACCAGCUAUGAAAUCGCUACCAUAAAGCAUACAACUGCCCAGUAGAAUAUUAGUUAUGAAGGUUUAGGCAGAAUACAAAAAAGUUUGCUUGUGGGUUUGUUCACUACUAGUCUAUUACCCUAAUUUCUUAUCCUCUCCCAGCUAAAUAGUUUUAGAAGUUCUAUCGGGCUUUUUAUGGGCAUUUGGUAAAGUCGUAAUAUUGGCAUAGCUAAAAUUGUUAUUGGCAGAGUAGGUUUAUUGAAUCUGGUCAAGUCUAUCAUGUAGACAUCAAUGAGAUUUAUGUGAUAGACUUGACCAGAUUCAAUGAACCUGCUCUAUCAAUAACAAUUUCGGUUUUGCUAAUAUCACUAUGAUAGUUGCCUAUAAGUAGGAGGCUAAUAGUAAUUUAGGAAGUGAGAUCUAUGGCAUUUCAUUGGUGCUCAAGAAAAUAGGGUCUGCAUCAUUUCGUUAGAUCUAUGGCAUUUCAUUGAUGCUCAUGAAAAUAGGGUCUAUAUCAUUUGAUUCAUUUCGGUAGUUGCAUUUGCUUAUGUAUUUAUAGUAAGUAAUUAGAUAUUUUGUACGAUUACCUAUUGUGUGGACUCUAUAAAUCCUCAAAUUGACCAAAUUGAUCAAUCUGAUGUAGUAUCUUGUUUACUUCAUAGUAAAUGGGAGUGGAACAAGCAUUUUUCUGUUGCAUAUUUGACAAGAAUCAGACUUAUUUCAUCUCAAUUGCUAUUUGACUUUUAUAUAAUAUAUCAUAACAAGUGGCCAUAGGAUGCUCAUUGGAAAAACUCUGAUGAGAAAAUCUCUUUCCUUUUCACUAGAACUCACCUCUGAUCCCAUCCAAUCCCCACUUGGACUUGCUUUUAGGGCUUAAGAUCUCUUUUUUGGAUACUAGUUCAUCCAAAAGCUGUAAAAUUUUUGUUUGCCAAACGUUUGACUUCUGCUUCUCGAGUAGAGAAGUUGUUUUAGAAGCUGGGCCAAAAUAGUCACUAUCAGUAUAUGCAUUGGCAUAUGCUAGCUUAAUUAUGGCUCCUUUUAGUUCAGAUCAUUGGAAGAAAAAUUUUCUAAGUUGUGUCUCCAAGCUGACCUUUGCACGUGCUGGCUUAAUUAUGGCUCCUUUAGUUCAGAUCAUUGGGAGAAAAAUUUUCUAAGUUGUGUCUCCAAGCUGACAUAAUGUUCUAGUUGGUCUUUUUGGAAGACAGUUUUCUCUUAUUUGAUCAAGAUCUCGUGAGAAUAGUUAAGAUCCAAUGUAGGCUUAGGGGGGAUGGGUAUCUUUGAUAGUGAGGCCUUUGCCCUCGUUAGACAAUGUGCAUGUGCUAUGGAAAAUUCUUGAUUAACAAAUUCAUGAAGUACUGUCUUAGUGCCUUUUUGCCUUGCUUCUUGAGCAACUUCUCUAUUCGAGAAGUAAAAGUCAUGCGUUUGGCCAAUAAGAAUUUUAGAGCUUCUGAAUGAAGUGGGAGGCUAAGAAGAGCUUCUAAGCACCCAAAAGCAGAAGCUACAUUUGAAUUUUUCCCUUCUAGCUUCUGUGGAAAGUUGUUUGCAGGAUUUGAACUACAAAUCUGGACUCUGAACAGUACUUGUAUGAUACCCAGUCUGAACAGGCUCCUAGUUUUGAAGAAAUCCUAACAACAUUCCUUUUAUUUCAACUUUAUGUAUCACUUUAUGUAUAUGCAGAUGAGAAAGUAUUCUGAUCCGGAAUUUCUAUGUAAAUCCUUGGUGGAACUGUGAACUGCCUGAUGCUAUGAUCUAUUUCUCCUCUCUUUUUUUUGGUAUCUUUCUCUUUUUUGAUGACUCCCUCAGUAGGUUGAUUUGGAUAACUAGGAACAGGACACAAGGCUUUAAUUGCUCCAGCUUGCUUUUGGUGUCAUUGGGAAUGUAGAGUAUUGCAUUUGAUUCAUUUUAGUUGAGACGAGUUGCAGCUUUGUUAAGACCAGAACAUUUGUAUCCCAACAAUUGCUUGUCUUUAUGUCACAGAUAGGUCAAUUUGGAAAUGAUGCUAUUAACAUAUACAAUUUUAAUCGGACAGAUCAGAUUCAUUAAAUCUGGUCAUUAUUAGCCUAACAUGAUCAGAUUUACCGAAUAGUGACCAAAUUUAAUGAAUUUGAUCUGUUCCUAUUAAAAUUAUAUUUGUUAUUAUCACUUUCCGAGAUUUCAUUUCUUCUACCAUGAAAAGUUGCGGCUAUUAACAAAGGCAAUUUUGAUAGGGGGGGCUGAUCACGUUUAUUGAAUUCGUUUGCUAUACACUUUAUGAAUGCGAGCGGAUUUAAUGAAUUUGAUCUGUUCCUAUUAAAAUUGUAUUUGUUAAUAUCACUUCCGGAGUUUCCGUCUCUUCUGUUAGGGAAAGUUCCGGCUUCUCGUCUUUCUCAGCUGCUUUGAGGAGUAGGAUUUGCCCAGGGGUUGAAGGGACUUUCGCUUCUUAAAUUGUACAUACUUGAGAUUUUAAUUAGUUUGCAGUGUAAAUGAUAGAAACAGCUGUUUUGUACAACCUUUCAAAAUCUGUACAUGUUUACGGAAAAUAUUUGUACAAUGAAUUCGUGUACUGUAUGUAUGCAACCACUUCAUUUAAUCAUGUAUUGUGUUUUUAUUUUAAAAUCUUGUAGAGAAUGACACAUUCUAUAUCAGUUAAAGUAAACAGGUGUUCAAAAUCAUGUCAAAUGAGUUCUCAAGAAAACAAUUUACCAGCUUAGUGUGAUUCUGUCAUGCAUCUGGGUUCUCAAGUACAUUCGUAGACGAUUUAAAAUAAAAAUCUAUAUCUUUAGCUGCAAUUUGGAACCUCUAAUUUGAUUAGGUACUAAACUUUAUAUCUCAGCUUACGUAUUUUAGAUUUCUUUCUAUAUUUGACUAAAGUUUUUAUUAUUUUUCAUUGUUUCAAAUCAUCUUUCUCAAAAAUACUUGUGAGUUUCAUUUUAUUUGUCUUUAAAAUUAAAGUGCGGAUUUUAAUAUUUAUUUUACUUUCUAUUAAUCAGAUUAAAUAUUUUGUUAAAUUUAUUGAUGGUUGUGCUGAUUUUAACAAUUUAGAUAUAUUUUAGUUGAAAAAAAAAUUGUAGAUUUUGUUAACCGCUAAUGGUUGAUAGCUAAUAAAUAUUUUUUUUUGAAAAAUAAAUCUUCUGAAUAAAUUUAGAAAAAUAAUUUAAAUUAAAGCAAAUGAAAGUUUAAUUAAAAGUUUGUAUUUCUUAUCAAACGGACCCGUUUAUUGAGCCGGUGUUUCCUGGAUGCGUCCCCGAAAAUCCGGUUUCUAUUUUUUUUACCCAUUAAAACCUUAUAUUCUGGACCAUUAUGUGUGGUAAAUCUUUAUUUGUAGUGCGGCACGUGUGAGGCGUACAAGAACUGAUCGUAAUUAAAUUGGCAAAAUACAGUUAUAUAAUUAACUAUAGUCACCGGUCCACUUAAAUUAAUAAAAAAGAAAAAAAAAUCUCAGAUAGAGUUGAAUACUAGGUGGGUGGUGACCAUCGUCUUUUAUUCCUCUCUCUUACUCUACCGUUUGGUUCGGGUAUAAACAAGAACUAGUUAUUACAAAAAUAGAUACAAGUACGAGGAUAAAAAAAUAGCGUUUGGAUGAAAAUUAGGUUACUUCCGGGGAUAAGAAAAAUAUCGUUUGGAUAGAUAAUAUGAAAUAAGAAAAAUAUUAGAUAGUUUUAUAUAGAAAAUGGAGGUGUUGGUGGGAAUAGUUAUACCCGGUUAUUAUAGAUAACUGAGAACUACUAUUUUUGGGUAAAAAAUUAGCGUUUGGGUAUAAAGGGGUAUAAGGGUUUAUUCCUAUCCCUAUCCCCUAACCAAACACUGCAAAUAUGUUUUAUUAUUAUUUAUUUAUUUUUGAUAAUGGAAUUUCUAAUCACGAUUGGUAUAUGAACAUGACCUAUAUUACUUGAAGUAUUUAGAAACUAAAUUUUAAUUUUAUUUCGAUAUUAUUGAUUUAAUGAUUAAAGUGUUUCAAAAUUUAUAAUUUUAAUAGUCAAUAUAAGACUUUCUCGUUUAAUGAUGUAAAGAUAUACAAAUUAAUUAAAUUUUGAUUAGAAAAUUUUUUAAAUUAUUUAAAAUAAGAUCCAUAUUUUUUGUCUUGAUUACAAGAUUUUUAUCGUCAUAUUUUAAAGGAUAUUUAUUUUCAAUCGUUUAUUUUUGUGUCCACUUAAUAAACAUGAGAACAAUAUCGAAAAAAAUAUGGAAUUUAAUUUAUAAAUGUUUCAAGUAGUAUAAAUCAUAUAUAAUGAUACCGAUCGUCAAUUUGGAGGUUUCAUCAUCGAAAAUAAAUGGAUAACAAUGCAGUGACAAUGAAGCAUAUUUGCUAUUUUGCUACUAAUAGCAUUCUUGCUCAAUUUCUUAUAUCAUAUAAAAUAUAUUAUAAAAUAAUUUUAUUGUGUCGAAUAUGAUAGUUAAGAGUAUAAUCAAGGAAAAAUUAAUAAUUUUAUGUUAAAAUAGCAUAUAUUUUUUAAGUAAUAUAAAAACUUAAAUAAAUUAUUAUUAUUAUUAAAUAAUAAAUAGAAUAAUUAUAAAUGAGAAAGUUUUACGUCCUUUGUGAUAAAAUCUAAUUCGUUAAUAUGAUGGUUAAAAGAGCUAAUUUUAUAUUAUAAAAAUUUUAAAAAAUUUAAAAAUAUUUAUAAUUUUUUAUGCUUUAAUUAUAAAAUAAAAUUAUGUUUGCAAUCUCGGCGAACAAAAUGUAGAUUGCUAUUCUCCUCCGAUGGCCACUACAACUAUAUUUUUUUUAACAUAAAAAAAGUGAAGUUUCCUUUAAAUUUUUCGAAUAUUUUAUAUGUGAUAAAAAUAUAAUAUAUUUUAGUCAUUAUAUUACCAAAGCUGGGCCCAAUUCAGAUAAGGAAAAUUAUAAUCUUUUGUCUCCUCAAUAUUUGAUCUCUGAAAACACCAACUUGCUUCAUGUGCUCACUCCCAGAUUUUGCACCCCUUCUCCUCUCUCUCUCUCUCUCUCUCUCUCUCUCUCUCUACACGAAAGAGGAAUCGAACGCUUGCUUCCUCUCUCUCUCUCUCUCUCUCACCAAAACGCAAUUUCCUCUCCUCACUCCCACCCCCACCAACUCCUCCCUUUUCCCCCCUCUCCUGUUACCAAGCAAAAGCCACUCAAUAACAAAACCCCAUAAAGCAAAAAAGAGACCAAUAAACCCACCAAAGCAACCCAAUCCCCCCUUCUCUCUCUCUCUCUCUCUCUCUCUCUCUCUCUCUCUCUCUCUAUUUCAGCUCCAGCUCCAGCUCCAGCUCCAGCUCCAGCUACCCCAGGAGUGAUUAUGAAACCCUUUCCCUUCUUCUUCUUCUUCUUCUUCUUCUUCUUCUUAUCGAUCCUCCCCUUCUCCAGCUCUUCUUGCUCUCCCCAUUCAUGCCAGGUGUGUGUGUGUGUGGUUUCUAUUGAUCUGAGCAUGUAUUCUGUGUGUGUGUGUUGUUGUUGUUGUUGUUGUUGUUGAUCUGAGGCAUAUAUGUUGUAACCUCACACAGCUCCAGGAUCCGUGCUCUUCCGCCGACGACUGCGCCGCGGGGCUCAACUGCGGCAAUUGCCCGGCCUCCGGCAUGGCCGGGCCCUCCUGCAUCCGCGCCCAGGCCGUCGAGCCCACCUCCAUUGUAACCCCCCUAUCUCGACCUCUCUCUAUACACCUCUCUCUCUCUAUAAUUCCAUCAGCUUGGGUAAACUUGAUUGGUUAUGUUUUAGGUUAAAGGGUUGCCCUUUAAUAGGUAUACUUGGCUCGUCACUCACAAUUCAUUCUCCAUUCUCGGUGAGCCGUCGUACACCGGGGUGCAGAGGGUAACUUUUUACAACCAGGAUGAUACUGUUGCUAACCAAUUGAGGGUAAUAAUGUUGCUGUAUGUUGAUGCUCGAAGUUGUUUGUCUUAGGGUUUCCUCUCUUGUUGCUCAAAUUGUUGAAAGUUUUUUGGGUUGUUUGUUGCGAAUUUGUAGAAUGGUGUGAGGGGGUUGAUGCUGGACAUGUAUGACUUCGAUGGCGAUGUAUGGCUCUGCCACUCAUUUCAGGGGCAAUGCUACAAUUUCACUGCUUUUGUAAGUUCAACUUCAGAAUUUUAACCUUUGUUUCAAUUACCUAUUUAGCCAUAUUGACCAAAAAAGAAAAAUUUUGGGGGGCUACUCGCUAAUUUAGUUGCGGAACUUCGAUCCCGAUUUCGAUUUCGAACCUUUCUUGUCCGUGAAGUUUGUUUUGCAUAAUGAUAAAGUUGUUCGGGUACUUAAGCGCAUGCAAAAGUGCCCCAUUAGCACAACAAUAGUAGACUUUCCUUUGGUAUAAAUUUGAGGAUGAAAUAUGAGAUUGAAAUGAGGAUCAUACUUUAGAAACUGAUUAUUUAUUGAAAGUCUUAAAGACGAAAUUGAAAUUUGAGUUAAAUUUCAAGGAAAGGGUUAUGCUAAAACGGUAACAUAGAAUGGCUGCUGUCUAUAAUUUGUUAGGAACCAGCAAUCAAUACUCUGAAGGAGGUGGAGUCAUUUCUCUCAGCAAAUCCGACAGAGAUUGUGACCAUAAUCAUCGAAGACUAUGUCCACGCUCCCAUGGGUUUAAGCAAGCUAUUUACUAGCGCAGACUUGGUAAAGUACUGGUACCCGGUUUCAGAAAUGCCAACUAACGGCAAGGACUGGCCGAGCGUGACCGACAUGGUGGCAAAGAACCGCCGGCUUCUGGUUUUCACUUCUGAUGCUUCCAAGGAAGCUAGUGAGGGGAUUGCUUAUCAGUGGAAGUACUUGUUGGAGAAUGAGCGUAAGUUCUCUAAAUCUUGAUGUUUACUUUAAUUGAUCAUCAUGUUAUUUUGUUAGUCGAUCUGCCAUUAACUUCCCCGGAUAGCUUGAGACAAUAAAAGUUGAGUUAUAUUGAUAGUAGUUAGAUGAUAUAAAAGGCAUGUAAGUGGUCUUGAAAUGUCAAAUUUUCUUUUUCAAGUAGUGAUUCACUUACAAAGUAAUACUGGUUUUAGACUUACUAAACUCAGGUAACAGACAUUUUGAGAAUAAAGUAUUGUCAUGAUGGUCCCAUAGGUAGAAAAUAGAAGAGGAUAAACCUAUUGAGUUAACCUUAUAAUAAGAGUAGAACAAUAAAUGAGAUGCCCCUUUUGAGUUCAGUUAUGUGUUCCGCCUAUUAAUACUUACUGGCUUGUUUAUUAUUGCCUAUAUUAUUUUACGGACCUCGUCCCGCACGGUCCCAUUGAAAAGUAAACUGGAAAGUGAAAAUUUUUUCAUUAGAACAGAAGUGCUGCCUCCAGGUAUAGUGUUGAUUUCUUCUGAGUUUGGAGAAAUGAAAUGGAUUUCGAAGGCUUCUUUAUACUUCAUAAGUUUUCAGAUUCGUAAAUAGAGGUAGGCCUUAUCAAAACCAAAUUAUAUCACUCUGUAUUUUUCUAGGAUUCUACAUUUCAAAGUAAAUAAAAAACAAAGGUCAAGGAGAAAAGAAAUGGUCGGAAACUGUGUACUGCAAGAGACGCCACCUUUCCAUGCUGUGAUGUCAGAGACCAUAUGACUCGGUGUCUUGUCCUCUGAAUUGCUAAAUUCAAUCCUAAGUUCAGCAAAUGGUAAUGACGAGUUAAACUAUCGAGUUACCAAGGCCAUAAGUUUUCAUGACUCCGUGAGCUAAGUUAAGGAUGAGAAGCAGGCUACGAUGGUAACAUAUACAGCAAGGAAAUUUGUGGAGUUUGAUAUGCUAAAUAGCCUGAUUUCACUUGUAUGGUUUACAAAUGAGGAAAAUUUUAGUUACAAUGAAAAGAUGUUGUUGAAAAAGAUAUCAAAUAACCGUCUCUGGCACAAGCGGCAAAGGACUUGAUGGUUGGUAUCCAAGAUUCCAAAUUUGAAGUUUAGUUGCUUCACAUCUCUAGCUAAGUUUAUUUUUUAAAAAAUAAAAUGAAUAUAGUGGGUACCAUACUAUCUUUCUCUCUCAAAAAAAGAGAAAGAUAUCAUAUAAAACAGUCUCUAAGGAGCUAAAACUAGUUGCAAUUUGCAUUGCUAACCAAAAUUGUCGGCCCUCUCUACGUUGCAUGAUAAACCUCGAUUAUUCUAAUAUUUAAUCACAAUUUUUAUUAGCUCGCAUUAAAAGCUUAAGUUCCUUCUCAUAUAUUGAAUGAAGUUUCUUGACAAUAACAUGCAAAAUAAUGUUAUUGUAAGCAAAGGAAACUGAAGAUUAGUGCUUUUUCGGAUCCUUGCCGCUUGCUGAUUUUAAUAUCAUGGCUGUUAAUUCGUUCGAGUCUUUUGUCCUAGCACUCUGACUGACCUUAUAUAAUUUUGUGUUCUUGUCCUUUCCAGCUGGGGAUCCAGGGAUUGUGCCUGGCACUUGCCCUAAUAGAAAGGAAUCACAAGCUCUGAACUCAAGAUAUGCGUCUCUAUUCCUGCAAAACUACUUCCCAACCAUUCCUGUUGAGAAUGAAGCUUGCAAGGAGAACUCCGUGGGUCUCGCUCAGAUGGUUGACGCUUGCUAUAAAGCUGCCGGAAAUCAAAUGCCUAACUUUCUUGCAGUGAAUUUUUACAUGGUAAGCGAUACUAGUUCGUUUCACCUCAAAAGUACAAAAUCUGUAACAUGAAGAAAGUUGCAAUUUCCUGAACAAGGGAUGUACUUGCAGAGAAGUGAUGGUCGAGGAGUCUUCGAUAUUCAAGAUCGAAUAAACGGGCUAGCGCUUUGUGGCUGUAGCAUCAUUAGUUCCUGUCAGGUCUGUUUGAAACUUUUAAGCUUUAUGAUAUGCUCGAAGACCCCAAACUUUUUGUUUAGCGAAAAGCUGACUUAAGAAAGCUUCCUAUAAAUGUUGCAUUUUCAUUCGGCCCCCCCUCUCCCUAAGCAUUUGAAGACUUCAUCACUUUGCAUUUGCAUCCUCCUUACUGUUCCUUUAGGCAGUGAUCACUUCUCUCAUAUUGAUGGUUUCGCUAAAUUUUUAACCCGUAGCAAAACAAUCUGAAAAUUACACAUUAACGAGAUAUUUUGCAGGCUGGAGCACCAAUGGGAGUGUGCAAGAACACGGGAGCGUCUAAUCGAACUCCCGCUGUAAAUGGAAACAUUUACUCCGGGUAUAUACAAUUGUCAGGAUCUAUUUUGAAGUCCUACUCCGGCUUCAGAGCGAUCAAAUUGUUCAUCAUGUUGCAACUUCUGCAGCUCCUAUUGUAGUCAAUCAUUCAUGUUGAAUCACCAUUCGAUUUGUUCACGAGCUUGUGAUAUGACAUUUUUUGCAGUCAUUAAGGUAUCUCAGCUUCGUUUUUUGGCAUGGAUUUUAGAAUAUUUAGGAAGGGAAUGCUAGGCAAAGGAUGAUGACAAUGUAAAAACUUUGUAAAAUUAUAUGGUUUGAUAUGAAAUAUAUUAGCUUAUGUAUGGCUGUAGUACUUGGAAGUUAAUAUUGGAUUUGUCCCUUGAAGAAUUGCUGAUAUUAUGUUGAUCGAUCGCUAAUCAUGUUGUUUGAAUUUCAAAUCAGAUCAAGUUCUACUGAGGAUCUGUUUGGUUCAACGUAAAAUCAUAAAAAAUAAUUUUCGGUAGAAAAAAAGAUUUUAUGUUUUGUAGUGUUUGGUUUGUAGAAAAAAAAAAAAAGUUUUUCAUCAACAUUUAUUUGGUUAAAAUAAAAAAAAUAUCCACAUUUAUUUUAUUCGGUGGAAAAUAAUAAAUGAAAAAGUUUUACGUAGAUUGAGUUUUUAUUUUCCGCAGAAAAACGGUUAAAAAUGAGAGUUUUAUUUUUUUCAAAUUCGUAAAAAUAUUUUUACGUCGAACAAAACAAGUGAAAAGUAUAUUUUUUUACAUCAAAAAUAAAUUUUUUGUUCGUUUUACACCGAAGCGAAUUCUCCUGAAGCAAUUUCUCAAUGGAUAAUGAGAUCUGUUUUGCAGGUGAAUGUCCAGAUCCUGGAUGUUCUAUCAGAUAAGGACUUGUAAGAUAUUAUUCUUGGGAUGUUUGUUUGGCUUCAUUGGAGCUUUUGCAAGAAGUAUUUUUGAGUAGAAUUUUAUUUGAAGAAGAAGCUGCUGAUGUUGCGUUAAGUCUCCACAACAAGUUAGUGAUAUUUUUUGUACCUAUAAUUACACUAGAAAAAUAUUAGAAUAUUACAUAAGUUAUUAAAUUAUAACAACCAUAAUGUUGCAUGGAGUAAAACAAAUCAUUUGUACUUGCAAUCAUAAAAGAUAAUAUUUAUAAAACAAUAAAUUUUUAUGGGCAUAUUAUUACAUUGAAACAUUUUUUAGGAUCACAUCUUAAAGCACUUAAAUUUUAUCUUGUAUCUCUAAUCUUGUGUGCUUUAUAUCUCAACUAGGUUUGAUUGUAACAGCAUAUAUGUUGCUCUUAAUUUGGCAUUACACAUCACAUAAAUAUCAAAUAAAUAAGGCUAUUGGCGUAGCAAUAAUCAAAGCCAUACAAGUCUCAAAAAUAUCUUUUUCAAAAAAUUGUAGUUUGAAUUCUAAAAGAGAGAAAGCAACUUGAACUGUUAUACACCCAAAAUUCAAACGUGGACUGCGGGAAGAACUAUUUACUGCACAUGGUCUACCACGAGGGCCAGAGAUGUAUGAAGAGCCCCCUCGAGUAUAUGUCAUUUGAAAAGGCCCCUCAACUUAUAAUUUUUGUUUUUUUUGCACUUUUCAAACUUAGGUAAGUUAAAAAAUUAAUUUAUUUAGUGAAAAGUAAUUAAAUUUCUAAAAUUUGAUAACAUAACUAAUUAAUUUGGUAAAGUUUUUGAUUUUUUUUUUUUUUUUACUAAAAUCACUUAGGGCUUGUUUGGUUCAAGGGUGGAAUUGGAAUGGAUAAUGGAAUGGGAAUGAAUUGGAAUGGUAAUUGGAAUGGCCCACUCCCCCAAGACGUUUGGUUUAUUUGUGGAUUGGGAAUUAGAAUGAGUUAUUCACAUUUCAUUGUUUGGUUCGUAUAAACUAAAAAAAUUAUAGGAUACUAUAAUACUAAUUUUACUCUCAAAUAUAAAUUUAUAUUAUUUAAAAUUUAUAAAAAAUAUAAUACUAUUCUCUAAUAAGUUUUUCAAAAAAAAUAUCAAAUUUAUUUUUAAAAACUUUUAUUGAUGUGGGUUAGGGAUAGAGUUUUGAGAGAGGAUAGAUUUUUUUUUUUUUGUGAUGAGAAAGGGGUGAAGAGAAGGAGGGUGAGAUGGUCACAUGGGCUUCGAGAGCUUAGUGGGCUUUCGAAAUGAAAUCUCAAUCCGGACUAGAAGAUCGGAAUCAGGUUGAAGACUAAUGGGUCAUUCUCAUUCCAGUCCGGAAUAGAAAUUCCAAACCGAUUCAUGCGAACCAAACGAAAUUAACCGGAUUUGAUCAAACCGAUUCCCAUUUCAUACCUAAAAUGGAUGAACCAAACAAGCCCUUAAUUUUUUAAAAAAUUGAGGCGGCUUGAGGUUAAAAACUAAAUAGGUGAAGGGGUUUCUAUACGUUUUACCCCAAAAAAAGAAAAAUCAAAAGUUACAGUGAUGGACGGUGGAUGUUUAUGCGGUCCACGGAUGACGUGGUGAACCAGUUCCAUGUAACUAAUUUUCGCACUGUCGAAUAAUAAUCUGCAUAAAACGCAUUUCCACACAGGGAUAUCUCCCAGUUCCUUCUCGCUCCAUCUCUCCUCUGAAAAAAGAACGAGGAAAAAAAAAAACGAGGAGAGAGAGAGAGAGAGAGAGAGAGAGAGAGAUGGAAACCCUAUUCAUCUCCGAUGCCCUCAUCACUCUCCUGCCCACCUUCGCCCACCGCGGCGGCGUCGCCGCCUCCGGCGCCUCCCUCCCCCUUCUCCUCCGCCACCGCCGCCGCCGCGUGGGGCCCACUUCGCCGCCUCGCUCCCUCCUCGCGCCUUGUCCGCGCCGCUGGGCGCCCAUCGCCGUUGCGAGGAACGGGGCUCUCAUGACCAACUCCACAGGGGUGAGUCGCCCUUCGAUCCACUCGCUCCUCUUCUCUCUGUUUCUUCGUUCGUCGGAUCGAUCCUGGUGUGGCAAACGUCAAUUCGCUGAAGAGAUCACGCGAAUCGAUCGUAUUUUAGUCUUGAAAACUAGGGUUUGUUCUUAAUUUUAGAUAGUCCACUUGUCGGAAGUGUUUUGAUCUCUGAAACCGCCACCUGCAAUAGCUCUCUCUUAUCGAUGUUCGAAAUUUUGAUCUAAUUAUGUUGCUUUAUUGUGUUUGCUUAGUUUGGGAGUCACAUAGGAAUUUUGUUAUAGAUGAGAUUGUAAAGUUUCCUACUUUUUCUAGAUAGAGGACUAAUGAUUGUUAUGAGCUCUAGUUCUCCUGAGCCUCACCCCGCUACGUAAAUUGCCCUAUAUAACCUAUCCUAUCAUGGUAGAUUCUGAUGUCUAGGUAAAAAGGAAAAAAAAAAAAAAAGUAAUGGAGUAUGAAGAUGCAAAGCAAGUACUUUCAUCGACGGACUACACAAUUUGUUUUGCAAACAUUGUAGGGAAUUGAUGAGAUUCUCCGAAUAUUUGGGGUCCUUGAAAUCGGUAAUUGCUAUACUUUGUUGGGUGUAUUGUUAUCCAUGUGUGGUUCAUCUCAAACUGGUUUCUUGAACUUGAGUAUAACUCUAAAUUUUAUAUCCUAGUUUCUGGCUCAAGUUUGAUGAUUAUGUUUUAAUGCAAGUUUAGACACCAGAUAUUUCUCUGGUCAUUUUAUUGUUUCAUGUGUGCCGAGGUGAAUACUUUUCAAUUUUGUUUCAGUUGCAGCAUAAUGUGUAUUGUGAAACUCCUGGAUGAUCUUAAGUUUUCCUUUUGAUGAUAAUUGUUAUUGGUUUUGCAGCAAAGCAAUGGGGUCUAUACAGUUGGUGAUUUUAUGACUAAAAGGGAAGAUCUACAAGUAGUGAAGCCAACAACUACGGUUGAUGAAGGUAAUUAAUAUCUGAGUUACCUUGGCUGCUUUUUGUUGUUACUAAUUAAUAACUUUGUAAUAUUUUCAACAGCACUGGAGAAGCUUGUGGAGAAUAGGAUCACCGGCUUCCCUGUUAUUGAUGAUGAUUGGAAAUUGGUGUGAACUCUUUUCUCUUUUGGCGUAGCUCUGUUUAUGUGGGUUGUCAUUUACAUUCUUCUUUUGAGUACUACAGUCGAACUCAAUUCCGUUACCUCAGUGGGUUUCUAACUUACCAUAUGAUCUUAUUGGAGCCUUUGAUAUAUAAUUUCUAUGAAGCAGCAUAUUUUUUCCGUUUCUAACUUACCGUAUGAUCUUAUUGGAGCCUUUCCAGUAUAAUUUAUGUGAAGCAGCAUAAUUUUUCCGUUCAAUUUUACGAGAGGCAACUGCUGAUUCACAAAAGAUCGAUAGAUGGCCAGAUAAUUUUCCUUGAUUUCUUUAUAUUUACGCAAAAUAUAACCAGGGAGUUGUAAGGUAUUUGGAGAAUGUGUUUCCAUGCUGGCAGACAUGUCCAAGGCUGAAAAAGGAGCGGAAAAUAGAGGAAGUUAAGACAAACAGGAAAAAAUGUGCAGUAGUAAACUAUCCUUUUGUCACUCACCAUGAUUGUUGUUCACUAUAGGGCUGAUGGCAGGAAUCAAAAGCAUAUAAAAAAGUAUGGAUUGGAGCAAUGUGUCUGAUAAAAUUUUUGGUCAAUAUAAUUAGAUGUGGAGUUUGUGUUGCAUAUGGGUUCUUUAGGGAUUUCAAUGUUUCUUGGUACCUUUCUGGUUUUAUAGACUUACACUAUGCAAAUGCUUAGAUAUUUCUAUCUCUACAACUAGAUAAUUAGAUUAAUAUCUACUCUCCUUCUGCAGGUUGGUGUUGUCUCAGAUUAUGAUUUAUUGGCAUUGGACUCUAUAUCAGGUCUCAGAUAUUUCUGUCUGUAGAAAAUUUGUUUCACUUCCUUAAUGUUGAUUUAGACAUAAGAGAUCAUAAGUGAUGGUGCGAAAAAGAUGCAAAUUGCUGGUUUUGUUUGUGCAUCAGAAUUAUGCAGUUAAACUUUUUUUCUAUCUGUUUUGUGUUUAUAGGAAGUGGACGGGCUGAUACAAGCAUGUUUCCUGAGGUUGAUAGUACAUGGAAAGUAUGUAAGAAGUCAAUUUUGGCUAUUUACUUAUGACAAAUUAUUGAUACUGCAUCCUAUGCUUUGAAUCGUUUUCUUUAUGAGAUAUUUAUGAUUUGGACCAAGUGCUAGGAUAUAGUAUGUCUGUGCUUCAUUAAAAACAAUAAAGAUCGUUUGGUGUAAACUCUUUUUGUUUAUGAAAUUGUCUCUCUCCUAAUAAAUAAAAAUUGCUAAUUUAGGCCUUGUUUGGUACUGCUUCCACUUUCUUGUUCUUUUUAAGUCAAAUUGUCAAUGAUUGAAUGCGCCACGGGGAAGACUUUUUUUAUCCUUGUUAUUGUUGGUUGAUUUGCGACACACCUUGGCUAGAUGUAGAAUGGCUGCUUCUAUUAAAAGGGAAGUAAAGAGAUGCAAGAAGUUGCUUUUUUUUGUUGCCAAAAACCGUUAGGUGUAUAGAUUGCAUUAUUGCAAACAAUCCACAUCUGCCGGUGCACACGUUGUCAACUAAGUAAAAGAAAAACAAGGAAGCAGAAUUAAAUUAGGCUCUAAGGUAUUAAUAUCUGUCUUAGCGAAUAUGAAUUGGAAAUGUCAAUAAACAAGGUGUGGUACUAGAUAUUUCUUCUAGGUAUAUUAUAAGUUAUUUUCAUUGCGUAGAUUUGGACUGUGCAAAACUGCUGAAAGGUUGAAAAUACUGAAAUGGAAACUCUAAGUGUCUUUACUGAAUAGAAAUAGAAACUGAUUGCGAAUCAUGCAUAGGCUUGAUAUAUAUAUAUAUAUAUAUUUAAUUACCUUGACACAGGCAUUCAAUGAGAUCCAGAAACUGUUGAGCAAAACAAAUGGCAGAGUCAUUGGCGAUGUGAUGACACCUGCUCCACUUGUGAUUUGUGAGACAACUAACCUUGAAGACGCUGCAAGGUACCUUUCAUGCAAUGCAUGAUUUUUACCAAUAAGUGUUAUUAACUUUGUUCCUAUGAUCUGAAUCCUACAAUUUGAUGGGUCCUUUGAUUCCAGGUUAUUACUUGAAACAAAAUACCGCAGGCUUCCAGUAGUUGAUAGUGCUGGUAAAUUGGUAAGUGAAUGGUUUCUCGAUUGCUGCUUUGCUCAUUCUUUCUCUGCCUACCCUUAAUGCAACAAUAUCCGCUAGUAGUAACUUGAUCGGCACUGAGCAUGUGACCCAAAAUGAUACAAGCACAAAUUGCUGACACUCUUCCUACUUUGUUGAUAUGGGAGGAUUGGCAUGUGACACUUACUUGGUGUUCUUCUUUGAAGGUCGGAAUCCUUACGAGAGGAAAUGUCGUUCGAGCUGCACUACAAAUAAAACAUGCAAGCGAAAAGAGUUCUUAAGAAUAAGAUGGUGUUGGAUGGUUUCUGGAUUAAGAUCGGAAUGAAGUUAAAUCCUCAGCAUUUACUGCAUCUCAUGCUAGAAGAUGUAUUUAUUCUGCCCGUAAUUUUUAUUGUUGCCAAGAAGAACAGUAGUAUCCACACAACGGAUAAUCGAUAGGUUAUGUAUAUGUGCUUAAACUUUUGUUGGUCCCUUUUUCUGAAGGUUGAUUGUUCAAACAUUCUGAGAGUUCAAUGCUUUAGUAGCUAUUUAAUAUAUUGCUUCUUGCUUUCCAGAUUUUUGUGGGGAAGUUAUCUGAUUAUGCCAUUAUGCUAUUUCUUUUCUUUGCUUUAAUUGAAAAUUUAUUCUGCGGAAAUUAUUUUGUAGCUCAACUUAAAUACUCGAGUGAGUAAUACAUGAACGUGCAUCAAAUUCGUGGGAAACAUUAACGGCUUUCACUAUGCUCUAUCAGCAGUUACUGGUAUGCCGUUUGCAGAUCAUUUAUGCAAAUGGACAUCAUCAUCAAUGUAAUUUCACGAUAUGUACAUAUUUAUUUAUAUAUAUGAAGUUCACAUGACAUUUUAAAAUUUUCAGAAUAUUCAUGUAAUUUUGAAAUUUUAGAGGGUCCAACUCUUUUAUUUUCCUUCGCUUUUCUUUCCAUUCAAAUUGAGUUCGAUUGAGUGAGCUGAAUAAACUCAUCAAAAUAGUGACAGCUAAUAUUCACGAGAGGACUCAAUACACCAAUUUGCAACCUCUAUAUUAUGAACUACGAUUUUUAAUUCAGAUUUAGCCGGAAAAACUAGAUCAAAUAUAUAUAUUUUUUUACAUAGAAAGUCAAAAAAAAUAAUUCAGCGAACCUAUUCGGCUGGUCAAAUUAGAUCAAAUAUAUAUAUAUAUAUAUAUAUAUAUAUAUAUAUAUAUGAUCUUUAACACGGAAAGAAAAAAAAAAAGAAAUUCAGCGAGCCUAUUCGACUGGCCAAAUUGGAUCAAAUAUAUAUAUAUAAUAAAAAAACCUCAUCAAAUGUUGACGAGAGAAGGGUCAAUUUUUGGACAUGUGAUGGACCGGGUCCAGGCAUCACAAUUUUUGUUCCCAGAGACAAGUGCACGAGCGGACCAGCGAACACCGGUCGCCCGCUGCGAGUAACGCCCCCGCCCAACCCCCAACCCUUGCGUUGCGCGUGACACGCGUCCAUUGUCGUCCGCGCAAGUAAUCCGUGGGCAGUCCCAUCCGACGGUCCACACCAUCCGGGAUCCCGAUCCAACGGUAGGAAUCGGGGUUUAGGGUUUUGCAUCGUCGCUCCCCCUCUUUCUAUAAAUACCCCUCGGUCGCCGCCUCCCCCUCGGCGCGGUGGAGUCCGAGCUGCCCCUCCAAAACCCUCGCCGAUCCCUUACCACUCCCAAAAAAAAAUCGAGAAAAAUACCCCAAAAUCAGGAGGAAAAAAAAAGGAAAAAGACCUCAAGAGAUCUAUAAACCCUAGAUCUCUCUUAUCUUUCAACUUCGAUCUCGUAGGAGAGGGUUAUCGCUCGAUUCCUCUUCGCCUUCGUUGUUGUUGUUGUUAUUGUUGUUCGUGUUGUUGCUGUUGCUGUUGCUGUUGCUGUUGGAUCUAGGAAGGGUGAUGGCGCAGGCCCAGGUUCAGGCGCAGGCGGCGGCGGCGGCGGCGGCAGCGGGUGGCGGGGCGAACCAGUUUCCGACGACCUCGCUCUACGUUGGGGAUCUGGAGUUCAAUGUGACGGACGCGCAGUUGUUCGAUCUGUUCAAUCAGGUCGGGCCCGUCGUGUCCGUGCGCGUGUGCCGCGACGUCAACUCCCGCCGAUCGCUCGGCUACGCCUAUGUCAACUUCAGCAACCCCGUUGAUGGUGAGAUUUGUUUGCAUGUUGUGGAUUGGCUAAUCUAUUUGCCUUUUGAUGCGUUUUCAUAAUUUUUUAGGGGGGAUUUUUAGUUAGAUAUUCGUGAGAUUUGGUGAAGAUUGCCCAAAAUGGGCGUAUUUUGUUUCAUUGUGAUGGUACAAUUAUUUUUCUGGUUGGUGUAUGUAUUAUGCAAAUCUAAGAUGAUUGACUGGAAUCUGUGAUGUUAGGAUGCCAAGCAGAUGCUGUGUUUGCAAAGGAUAUAAGAUUGAGUCAUGUUUGCGAGAUGACAAUGGAGUAUCGAGCCUUAAUUUUUUUGAAGAAUUAAAUUUAGAAUGAGUAGAAGUAAGUGUCCCUGUUAGAUUGAAUCAUGUUUUGUUGGAGAAUAAUGGAAUAUCGAAUCAAAUGGUAAUCUGGGAAUUAGUGGCAUCAUAGCAAAUUUAGUUGGUGUAGAUCACCAAAUAUGGAAUAGAAAGGGAUGAUCUGGUGGGAGUAUUUUGUUUUAUUGUUAUGGUAUGUUUAUUUUCUGGAGGAAUAAUUUUGUGCACUCUUCUUUUAUAUAUGAUGCAGGUCUUAGAUGAUUGAGUGGGAUAUAUGAUGUUACUAUAAAAAAUACAAGCAGUCUCAACAUUGGAGGAUGUACAGCUCAGUCGUUUUUUUUUUUGAAACACUACUUCGAAGAAUAAAUUUUAGAAUGAAUUAAAAAAAGAAGCGUCUGUUGGCUAAUAUUGAGUAAUGUUUGUCAGAUUAUAAUGGAAUAGUGAAUCGCUAUCUGGGAUAUACAUCUUGCAAAACUUAGAUGACUGGAUGCAGAUCUGUGAUGCUUGGUGAUUGCUUGAUUGACACAGGAGACGAGACAGUCAUGUUUGUUGGUGAACUGUGGAUAUUGAAUUGCAAUUUACAAGAAUUAGUUUUAGACUGUUCACUUAAUAAGAAAGUAGCGUCUCUAUCUGACCUGUCGAUAGUUUCUUUUUGAAUUUAUGAAUACACAAUACAAGUUGUUAUUAAAAUGAAAUGCAAAAUAAAAUUGGGUGACAACCAAAUUAACGUUCCAGUAUGAUCUUAUUUUUCACUAUAUAUCCUUAACUUACUGCUAUAAAAUGAAUUUGGGUCAAAUUGACGGUAGUCUUUACUCUCUAGGUUGUUUAUACUUCAUAACAAUUGUUGAGGAUGUGUAGGGUUCAUUACUUAUUGUUGUUCUCUCAUACAUAAUAGAGCUAUGAGCAACGAAUGUUCAAAAAAAUGGAAGCAUGGAUACUGUGUUUGAUAUUACACUCUUGAGCCUAAGCUAUGCACAGUAGCCAUGUAUUCUAUUACUUGUUUGAAACAUAUGCUAUAAUAUAUUGCUUUUUAAAAUAGAUGACUGACGUGCAGUAUAUUUAUGUUCUCACUGGGUAUCAGGCCUAGCUUCAUACGGUAACUGUCAAGGCCUAUUUCGUGCUUUCUUAUAUUUGUUUGUUGACAGCUGCAAGGGCAAUGGAAGUGCUAAACUUUACCCCCCUUAAUGGAAAGUCUAUUCGGAUAAUGUACUCUAAUCGUGACCCUACUUUGCGUAAAAGUGGUGCGGCAAAUAUAUUUAUUAAGGUAUUGUCUUCUUUUUUUCCUGUGGAUUGCGUGCUCCUAUGUUUCUUUUUUUUUCCUUUAGCAAUAUUCCAUGCAUGAGAAAUGUGAAUUACUUUGCAGAAUUUGGACAAGUCAAUUGACAACAAAGCACUGCAUGAUACAUUUUCCUCAUUUGGAAAUAUACUCUCGUGUAAAGUUGCCAUGGAUCCAUUUGGCCAAUCAAAAGGCUACGGUUUUGUUCAAUUUGAUCACGAGGAGGCAGCACAAAAUGCAAUUAACAAGCUAAAUGGCAUGCUGUUGAAUGAUAAAAAAGUUUAUGUUGGGCCCUUCCUUCGGAAGCAAGAAAGGGAAAAUUAUUCUGGUAGCUCCAAGUUUAAUAACGUGUUUGUAAAGAAUCUCUCAGAGUCUACAACAGAAGAAAAUCUUAAAGAAAUUUUUGGCAAAUUUGGAGAAAUUACUAGUGUGGUUGUCAUGAGGGAAGGGGAUGGGAAAUCGAGGUGUUUUGGUUUUGUUAACUUUGAGAAUCCAGAUGAUGCUGCUCAGGCUGUCCAGGAACUUAAUGGGAAGAAGUUUGACGAUAAGGAGUGGUAUGUUGGGAAAGCACAGAAAAAAUUUGAGAGGGAGAGAGAAUUAAAAGGGAGGUUUGAGCAGAGUAUACAAGAGGCAGCUGAUAAACAGCAAGGGACUAACUUAUAUAUUAAGAACCUGGAUGAUAGCAUUGAGGAUGAGAAACUAAAAGAACUAUUUUCAGAGUUUGGGACUAUCACUUCUUGCAAGGUUUUUUUUUUUGUGAUUUUUUGAUUUCUUAAAAUUACUUUAUAUAACUUUUCCCCCUUCAUACCUUUGUAACAUUCCCUUACAUUCAAAUAUUUUAACAGGUUAUGCGGGAUCCAAAUGGUGUUAGUAGGGGAUCUGGAUUUGUUGCUUUUAAGUCCCCUGAAGAUGCUUCUCGAGCUGUAAGCUGAAAAUUGUAAUUUUGAAAGUUUUAUAAGUAUGUACUAGAUUGUUUAUGAUAUAUUCCUUGCUUGCUGACCCUUUCUGUGUAGCUUGCGGAGAUGAAUGGCAAAAUGAUAAGUGGCAAACCUCUCUAUGUUGCACCGGCACAGCGUAAGGAAGACAGAAGAGCCAGGUUGCAGGUUAGUUGUUAUCUGAGCAGUUUUUGCUGAGUAAAUUUAAAGUUUUUAGGUAAACUUUUGAUCUAUGUAGGAGAAAUGGAGAUGCUGAGGAAUAUUUGUGAACAUAUUGUGAUAUAUUAUUGCCGCAUGUUUUUUAUGUUAUUGUGUCGUGAUGUCUUAGUGUAAGUUCACAGGUCCUUGUUUAAUUUGUGCAAAGUUGUCAAAUAAAAAGUAUUGAAUAGAGAAGUCUGACAUGAGAAGAACAGUUGAGAAAUAUAUGCGGAUUUACAUAUUUAGGCUUGUAAUCUAUGAGUUAGUUCUAUUCAGACAAACCAGGGGGUACUUGUCCAAUGUUCUUUGUGGGCUGUUUGCUUUUCUGCCAGUGCAGUUAGGCUAAGGGAGAGAAGUGAAAAUCUCACAACCAGACUUUCUUUCAUGAAUCUUUGUAACUUGUUUGUGUUUCGCUAAGUGUUUCUUGUUUUGUUUGUGUUGUAUCUUCAGCCAUCAUCAUUCAUAUUAUUAUGUAUUAAAUUGUCAGGCACAAUUUGCACAACUGCGACCUGUGGCUAUGCCUCCGGCAGUUGCUCCUCGCAUGCCAAUGUAUCCUCCUGGUGCUCCGGGAAUGGGUCAACAGCUGUUCUAUGGCCAACCACCAGCUGCUCUUAUUCCUCCACAGGUACUUGUUUUAUCAAUAUGAUCUGUUAUGUACGGGAUAUUAUUUUUUCUGUCUCUCUAACUAGAAGGCAUGGAUCAUAUUUUUCUUUUUUAAUUCAUAAUAUCUAUCUGGAACUCAGAACUUCAUGGUCUUUGAGUUGACUUAACUAGAUUUAGUCAAGUUUUCGAGUUUUAAGAGUUUUUUGAGAUUGAAGGCACUUAAGUAUGAUGGACUGCUCUCCUGUUCUAAUGGCAUGGGUUUGCAAGCUACAAAUAAUGAUCAGCCUAAAGUUUGGCCCCAGGUGCCUUUAGCCUCAUGUAAUUCAAGGGAAAACAGAAGCCAAAACAAUGAAAAGUGCUGAAGGAUCUGUAAUCAAUUUUGUUGUUUAUGUGCCACGACUUUGUUGCAUCUUUUUAUGCUCUCUUAUAUUUUGUUAAUAGGAUUUUGAUUAUCUUCACAUGGAAUUUAUAAAUUCGUGUCACAAAUUUUGCUGAAACCCAUGUCUGUUAUACAGCCUGGUUUUGGCUUCCAGCAGCCUCUAGUUCCAGGGAUGAGGCCUGGAACUGCUCAAAUUCCAAACUUGUUCAUGCCAUUGGUGCCUCAAGCUCAGCCGGCGCAGCGUCCUCCUGGUGCUCGACGUGCUGGGCAACAAGCGCCCCAACAUCCUCUACCUCUCGGUCACCAGCAGGUUCAGUUUUUUUACUCCCUUAUUUUCCGUGUUGUGAAUUGGUUUCUUUUUGAUUCUCAAUCGUCAUGGAAAAACUGUUGGAAUAAGAAUAUAUGAUGCCUGCAGAUGCUUCCUAGGGGUGGCCGCGGCCCCCGCUAUCAUCCAGGUGGGAUGCUCUCCGCUCCUUAUGACAUGGGAGGAAUGCCUCUCAGAGAUGUUGGCAUGUCCCAGCCUAUACCAAUCGGAGCGUUGGCUUCGGCCCUUGCAAAUGCAACCCCCGAUCAGCAAAGAACGGUAUAAUAACUUCUCUUCUCUCUAAAUGUUGGAUCAAACGAACUUACGUUCAACCCCUCAAAAUGAUUGGUUACUAUUCUUUCUAUUCUAUUUGCAGAUGCUUGGGGAGAGCUUGUACCCUCUUGUUGAUCAGCUUGAGCAUGCACAGGCGGCGAAGAUAACGGGCAUGCUUCUGGAGAUGGAUCAGACAGAGGUGCUGCAUCUGCUGGAGUCCCCCGAGGCCCUGAAAGCGAAGGUUGCGGAGGCUAUGGAGGUUCUGCGAACCGUCGCCCAGCAGCAGCAGCAGCAGCAGCAUGACGACGGCGUCCCCGCUGAUCAGUUGGCUUCUCUCUCCCUAAACGACGGUGUUGUUUCUUGAAGUCUCAAUUAGAUAGAAAUAUGUUCGGUCCAUAUGGAGAUCUGCUUUCGACUCUGCUAUAUUGUAGGUUUUUCUUUUUUUCCCCCCUUUUAUGACUGACUAAUGGUUUUGUUUUUUGGUCGGGCUUACAUUUUGGAUAGGUUUCUUGAUGGAUUUUUGUUGUCUUUUCUUUGGUUUUCGUUGGCAUUGGUCGAACUAUUUAUUGAGGUUAUUUUGAGGUGAUUUGGUGUGUUCGGACUUCGGUUUCAGUACUCUCUUUUAUCUCUGCGUGUCUUGUGAUCUUGUUUAAUUUGUGUUGGUUGGCUUGCUGUUCCAAGUGUUUCUGCUGUGGUGAGCUGAUUCCAGUAGCUUGGUGCCUAUCAGCUUUUAGCGAGGUUAACUGUUCUCGUUCCUCUGUCUGCUCUCCUGCAUAAAAUUAUGGACUUUUGCAGGCUUAAUGUGAAAGUCUACAGCAGGAGCUUUCUUCCGCCGCUGCUAGCGGUGGCCACAUUAGCGGCAACGGGGGUUGCUAAUCUCAAUUUUAAAUGAUCUUUAAGGCAUACUUUUCUUAUUUAUUGUAAGAACGUAAGUUCCUAUAAUAUGCCCUUGACAAAAUUUUACCCUGUCCGUGUCACGGUUCACCUGAUGAGUGAUGAAUCCUGUCUUGGUCUUAAUUCUUUUCUUUAUAAAUCUUUAUCUUUUUAUUUAUAUGCAUUUAUUUGGGACUCCAGUUAUUCAAACUUAUUGUUACUGUCAAUCAACAUCAAUCAGUAUGAACAACUGCCCGGGCAUUUCUUUUUGUCGAUAUCCACGAGGACUUAUUUUCUUCAUUCAAUUAUUAUUUUAGAAAUUCCAAUGAUCUGGAAUAAGGUAAUUUUUUUAAUUUCUCAAAUUUUUUGUUUGCGCAAAUUGUCCAUAAUUUGGAUAUACCGUGCCACAGUCAUUGAACACUACAAUAAAAAGAAAAUGUUUGCUUCCAUUUUGUCGGCCAGAUUGGCUUAGAACUUUCGUUUCAGGAUUUCCAUUUCAACCCUUUAUUACAGUUUACACUUGUAAAUCACCUUUUCUUUAAAACAAUUAUUUUAAUCCCAGCACAUAACCUUUUUAAGCUAUAUCUAUGAGUAAAUUUAUUAUUUUACAGGAAAAAAAAAUUAAUCAAAUCGCGGAGCAUGUUGGGUAGGGAUGGAAACGUGCCGUGCUUGAGCUGAGUUUAUGUCCGCUCAAGUUUGGCAUGAAAUUAAUUUUGAGUCUAAAAAUUUAGGUUUAAACUCAGCUUAAAAUUAAUUCAAAUCGAACUUGAGCGAGUUUAAUUUUGAGUCGAGUGAGCUCGAGCUUUAAAUGAGUUGUUUGAAAUUCUUAAAUCAUACAAUUUAUAGUUAAACUUUUAUAAACAUUAUUUAAAAUUUAGUACAAAAAUAUAUCUACUAAUUUAAAAUAUAAAAUAAAUGUAUGAAAUAUAAUAUUAUGAUAUUAAAAAUAAUUUAGGAGAAGCGACAGUGAGAGCAAAUGAAAGAGAGGAAGAGAGAAUAAUUAGAGUAAAAUUUUUUUGGUUUGAUUUUGUAGGCCAACAAAUAUGCUCAAUAAUCUAAACUAACUCUCUCUCUCUCUCUCUCUCUCUCUAUAUAUAUAUAUAUAUAUUCGAGUUUUUCGAGCAUAAUUCGAGCGAGUCCAAUAAUACUCAAACUUGACUUGAAAUAUAUUUCAAAUUUUAUUUUAAAUGUAUUUCGAGCUUUAUUUUCUGUUCAAGCUCGACUUAUUUAAUUUCGAGUCGGACUCGAGUGAGCCAAAUACGGAGUCGAAUGCGGGCCGACUCACUCAUUCGCCAGCCCUAAUGGUGUGAAUUUCGUUACAGGGAUGGGUAUAAUCGACACGAAUUUAAGAAAUUGCAGAUUUUGUUCGUGCAAAGUUUAAGGAUGAAGUCAUAAAACGGAUAAACUAGAGGGACAUCCAUUCAUUUGUGCAAUCAAAAUCGAUUAUAAUAAAAGGGAAAAGAGCGAGACAUUGGACUCGCGCGAGAGAGGGGAUGGUGGAAGCUACCGACCGAACCCUCAUCGCCUCCCCCUCCUCCGCAGUCGCCGCCGCCACGGCGGGGGCGGCGGAGGCGGGUCCGUCGUACGGAGCGGCGGCGGCGCCUCCUUCUCCUCCUAGGGCGGCGAGGUUGGACGCGGAGGAGGACGAGGACGAGGGCGACGUGUGCCGAAUCUGCCGCAACCCCGGCGAAGCUGAUAAUCCCCUCCGCUACCCGUGCGCCUGCAGCGGCAGCAUCAAGUACGUCCACCAGGAGUGCCUUCUCCAGUGGCUCAAUCACAGCAACGCCCGCCACUGCGAGGUACGCCCACGCCCUCUCCCCUCCCCACCCCUAGGGUUAGGGUUAGGGUUAGGGUUUCCUCUUUGGUUCCCUCUAUCUCUCUCGGAAAUGAUCGCUGUUGCAAUUGUUAUGCUGGAAUUGCCCUUCUCGCAUUGUGUGAUCUGGGGCAUCUGGGCCAUAGGAACAGGCCCUUUUGUUAAUGCUCUGUUUGGAUGGAGAGUAAAACGAGAGAGAAAAUUAAGUUGGGGGAGAAAACUACUCUUAUAUUUUUGAUAAUGCUGUAACCAGUGAGUGCUAUAUUUGUUAUGCCCUACAGGUGUGUAAGCAUCCCUUCUCUUUCUCCCCAGUUUACGCCGAGGACGCGCCCGCGAGGUUGCCGUUCCAGGAAUUUCUCGUCGGCAUGGCGAUGAAAGCUUGCAAUGUCCUACAGUUCUUCCUCCGACUCGCCUUUGUUCUUUCCGUCUGGCUCCUCAUAAUCCCCUUCAUUACCUUUUGGAUAUGGCGCCUGACGUUCGUCAAGAGUCUCGGCGAAGCGCAGAGGCUCUUCCUGAGCCACAUGUCGGCGCCUCUGAUUCUCACCGAUUGCUUACAUGGGUUUCUGCUCUCUGCUAGCAUCGUUUUCAUAUUUCUCGGGGCGACCUCUUUGAGGGAUUACUUUAGACACCUCCGUGAAGUUGGAGGAAACAAUGCUGAAAGGGACGAAGAAGGUCAAGAAAGGCACGGCGCUCGUGCUGUUAGGAGGCUCGCGGGCCCUCCUAAUAGGGUUGCCGACGGUGAUGGAAAUGCUGAGGAUGCAGGCGGCGCCCAGGGAAUUGCCGGUGCAGGUCAAUUGAUUAGAAGAAAUGCCGAGAAUGUCGCUGCUCGCUUGGAAAUGCAGGCUGCUCGUCUCGAAGCACAUGUUGAGCAGAUGUUUGACGGACUAGACGACGCUGAUGGUGCAGAAGAUGUGCCCUUUGAUGAGCUUGUUGGUAUGCAAGGACCUGUAUUUCAUUUGGUUGAGAAUGCGAUAACAGUAAGUACAUUUUCUGUCAUUGGCCUUAGUACUUUUGCAUAAUAUUCUUCUUCUUUUUUAUGUUUCCUUUUUGUAUUGAUAUUAACUUUCUAUUAGAGACCUUAUGGUGUUUGUUGCUUCUCCUGUUUAUACUGUAUUCUUUUGUACGAAGUUGAAAUGUAGCUUCGUUCUUCUACUGUCGUUAAUUGGUAUUUAGUAACUUAAAUAUUACGUGGAUUCACUGUCCGAGGCUCUGAACUCUGGGUAUUUUUGGUUCCUAAUAUUUCCUCUGUUGCCAGGUUCUGGCAAGCAAUGCGAUAUUUCUCAGCGUCGUAAUUUUCAUCCCCUUUUCAUUGGGAAGGAUAAUUCUCUACUAUCUCUCAUGGUUAAUUUCUUCUGCCUCUAGUCCAAUGCUGGAGAAGUUUAUUCCACUGACUGAAUCAGCUCUUUCUUUUGUUAACAUCACUUUGAGGACUGCAUUAACUGCUGUAAAGAACUUGUCACCCGAAACCCAUUCUGAGGGUGGUAGUGGGCAUGUGCUGGAUGCCGUUGUUGGAUCCUUAAAACCAAAUGCAACCGGACAAGGCCUCCCUUAUGGUGUAAUGAACCCUGUUUCAACAGAUAUACUGAAAGGAACGGUCAUUGACUCUUCACGUCUUUCUGAUGUUACUACACUUGUGGUUGGAUAUAUGUUUAUAUUGUCUCUUGUUGCCUUCUAUCUUGGCCUUCUUGCUUUACUUCGAUAUGCUAGGGGCGAGCGAUUGAGUAUUGGGAGGCUUUAUGGUGUAUCUACAAUAGUGGAGACAAUUCCAUCUCUUUUCAGGCAGUUCUUGGCAGGAACAAGACAUCUGAUGACUAUGAUCAAGGUCGCUUUUCUUCUAGUGAUUGAAUUGGGGGUCUUCCCAUUGAUGUGCGGUUGGUGGCUUGAUGUGUGCACUUUGAAGAUGUUGGGUGCGACAAUUGCCCAAAGAGUUGAAUUCUUUGCACUAGCGCCAUUUGCAAGCUCUGCAAUCCAUUGGUUUGUUGGAAUUGUUUAUAUGCUCCAAAUAAGCAUCUUCGUCAGCCUUCUUCGAGGGGUAUGAAUCAAAUUUUGGUUUGUCUAAUGCAUAAUUUGCUCUAUCAAGACAUGAUUCUCAUUAAUAAAGUUCUGGGCUCUUUGUAGGUGUUGCGGAGUGGAGUCCUUUACUUUCUCCGGGACCCAGCAGAUCCGAAUUAUAAUCCAUUCCGCGACCUAAUUGAUGACCCAGUGCACAAACAUGCUCGACGUGUUCUGUUAUCGGUUGCUGUAUAUGGAAGCUUGAUUGUGAUGCUCGUCUUCUUACCCGUCAAACUGGCAAUGAGAUUGGCACCUACCAUUUUCCCGCUGGAUAUUGCGUUAAGUCUCUCUCUCUCUCUCUCUCUCUCUCUCUCUCUCUCUCUCUCUCACACACACACACACACACACACACACACACACACACAUUUUCAGGCAACAUCAAUCAAUAUCCCUGUGAAAUCUUAAUUUUCAAUUAUAUGCAAUCCAAAACUUGUUAUAUAUUUUCCCGUGUACUUAGAAAAAUGCCCUCUUUGUUAAUGUUUUUUUCCCUAAUGCAAUCGCAACAUUCCUUUCCCCAUAAAGUGGAUGGUUUACCAACUUAAUAUAAGGGUAUUAUUGUAAGAGACACCACUCUCUGGGAUUAUAUGUGAAGAUGCAGAUUUCGGAGGACUUUAUACCCAAAGAGAUAAUUUUGCAGGGUUGUUUUGUCUCGCACUUCUUUCAAGCACUAUUCGCUAUUCGCAUUCUGACGAUCAUUACCAAUAACUGCAGCAUUUUCGAUCCAUUUACGGAGAUACCUGCCGAUGUGCUGCUGUUCCAAAUAUGCAUUCCAUUUGCAAUUGAACAUUUCAAGCCACGUGAAACAAUCAAAGCCCUUUUACGAUAUUGGUUCUCUGUGGUUGGUUGGGCUCUCGGUUUAAUCGAUUUCCUACUGCCCAAGCCUGAGGAAAACGGUGGGCAUGAAAAUGGGAAUGUUGUGGUAGCAAGAAGAGAUAGACUGCGUGCUGAACGUGGGCUGCAUGACCAACUUCUGUUACAGCAUGUUGCUGCUGAAAAUCAUGACUGGAGAGGCCGUGCUGCUGAGAAUACUGAUAUUGGUGAAGACUCUGACGUAGAUGACCAAGCAGAUUCGGAGUAAGCAACUUUUAUAUUUGAUAUUUUUGUUAUUGUGAACCUUUACUGUUUUAUUUGUGGUAAAAAAAUCUGAACCAUGUAGUGUGUCUGAGGCAUUCAGCUGCUCGCAAGAUGAAACCUACUGUGGGACUUCAGCCAUGCGAUUGACUGCUUGUAGUCUUGUUAUCAGCUUUUAAAGCUUAAAGUAGGAUAACUGAUCAGGAAUAGUACUGUUCAACAUUGGUUAGUCUGGUUUUUUUUUGUUGUUUACAAUAUUUUUGCCUCUUAAAUCUCAUCUAGAUGCAAUUGUGUUUCUAAUGGUUCUUUAUCUGGUUAAGCGUUACAAAAUAAGAUCUUUGUGGGGAUAUUUAUAUCUAAUCUCUCGGCAGGUACGGUUUUGUACUUCGUAUUGUGCUAUUGCUGGUUUUGGCAUGGAUGACUCUUCUGCUAUUUAAUGCAGCUUUGGUUGUUAUUCCGAUUUCACUUGGGCGUGCAAUUUUUAAUGCCAUCCCUCGCCUCCCGAUUACACAUGGCAUUAAGUGCAACGGUACUCUUCAUUUUCAAUUGGAUAUUGUUGGAAAGUUAUUCUGGUUAUUAGAGUUUUGAGUGUUUGACGCUUUUGUUCAUCCCUUUGUAGAUCUCUUUGCUUUUAGUAUUGGAUUCUACAUUAUCUGGGGUGUCGCAACAGGAGUCAGAUAUUCGGUUGAUUAUAUUAGAGCUCGAAGAGCUAGUGUCCUUCUAUCGCAGAUCUGGAAGUGGUGUACUAUUGUUGUGAAAAGUUCUGCUCUUCUCUCAAUAUGGGUAAGCAACAACUUCAAGGCUAAAUUGCCUUCUCAUCUCUGUUAUUCUUUUUAUAUUUUGUUUAUUCACUAAAAUUUUAUCAUUUAUUUUUUCAGAUCUUUGUUAUCCCAGUGCUCAUUGGGCUUCUUUUUGAGCUGCUAGUGAUUGUGCCAAUUAGGGUACCAGUGGAUGAAAGCCCAGUUUUCCUUUUGUAUCAGGACUGGGCUCUAGGACUCAUAUUUCUUAAGAUAUGGACUAGACUGGUAAGUGAACUAUCAUCUUUUUAAUGUUCAGAUAUUGAAAGUUAUACAAUUUAUUUGCACCAUAGCCAAACAUGGUGCCUUUACAUAUGCAUCCGUGCAAGAUUAUCUAUAUUUCUAUAUGCUCCUCCAAAGUUCAAUUUCUUAAAAAAAUAUACUUUUAUUGAAGUACAAUGGUAUACGUAUAACAAAUUAAGUUUUUGAAGGUGUGUAUAAGAAAAUUUAGAUUUUGUAAUGUUAUCAGUGUACAAUGUUAUUUGCAGGGGUACAUCUGUAGAUACAUCAAAAGAGAGUAGUGCAAAUCACACUCCCUUAGAUCGACCUUAUAAGUCCUAAUCUUGCUUCUUCUUUUUUUUUCUGUAUUAGGUAAUGUUGGAUCAGAUGGCACCACUGGUGGACGAAAGUUGGCGAAGAAAGUUUGAGAGGGUGAGGGAGGACGGCUUCUCUCGUCUCAGAGGUCUAUGGGUUUUCCGCGAGAUCGUCAUCCCAAUUAUUACAAAAUUGCUAACACUACUCUGUGUUCCUUAUGUCUUUGCCAAAGGGAUCUUUCCCGCAUUUGGCUAUCCUCUCAUUGUGAACUCUGCAGUCUACCGCUUUGCCUGGAUCGGCUGCCUCCUUUUUGGCACUCUCUGCUUCUGUGCUAAGAGAUUCCAUGUUUGGUGCACCAACCUCCACAAUUCUAUAAGGGACGAUCGCUAUCUAAUAGGUAGGAGAUUGCACAACUAUGGAGAAGAAGCUAUUCAGAAGAGUGGUGAAUUGGAGGUGAUUCCGCAGAACUCGAAUCUGCAGGAUGGUGCACUGAUUCGGCUCGGCCGAGAAGCAGAGCUGGGGCUGAGGUUGAGACAUGCUAAUCAGAAUCCGAACCAACAAAUAAGGCAUGCCAUGCUGUAGAAGGAGUAUGUCUGCUUAAAUAUUUGAAUGGGUUUUGAUGUUGCUACUGCUGCAAUUUAAGAUUGGUAUAUGAAAUCCCGCAGUUAUUUGGAACUUUAACUAUAUUUGUUGUUGUAAAUAUAACUAGAGUUGUAUUUGAUGAUUGGAUCCUGUGAAACUGACGUGAAACUGAGGUUAAUUGCAAACACCACCUAAGGUGAGUAAAAUAUUUUCUGUAAUUUUGGAUAGUCCUGCACUCUAGAGAUUAGAAUCCUUAGAAGAACGCCGGAGUAUACGAUAUGUAAGAUAUUGUUGAGUAUAAUGGUUUGUUGCCUUUAACCUUUAAUUUAAGGUUUGUUGUCGCAAAGAUUUUACUCUCUGGCUCUUAGCCUAUUUACCCUUUGUUACUGCAUUCGAUUGUUAACCUUAUUCAGAUCUAACCCAAAUUACAGGGGGUUGAUGCAGGAAAUGGAAAAGGCUACUUGAUUUUAAUUGAAUAAAACGAAUUACAUAUGUCUGAGAAUUUACCAAGUAUUUUAGGUACAAUUUGGACAAUGAUGCAAAUAGCAGUACUUAGGAGCUUAUGGACUUGGGGUUUGGAUCUUCUUUGAAAACAAUUGGUAUGGUUACCACUUCUUUCAGCUAGGGGUGGAAACGAGCCAAGCUCGAGCGAGUUUACCUCGGCUCAAAUUCAGCUUGAAAUUAAUUUUGAGCCUAAAUUUAAGCUCAAGCUUGGUUUGAAAUUAAUUCGAGCCGAGCUCAAGCGAGCCUAAUUUCGAGUCGAGCGAGCUUGAGCCUUACAUGAGCAGCUUGAAAUUUUCAACAUCGUACGAUCAAUAGUUUAAUUUGUAUAGAACAUUAUCUACAAUUUGAUACAAAAAUAUGUCUAAUAGUUCAAAGUACAAAAUAAUUAUAUGAAAUAUAGUAUUAUAAUAUGAGGAAAAAUAAUUUAUGAGUUGAAUAUCUAAUUUUUUCAGCCUCACAUAUCNAAUUUGUAUAGAACAUUAUCUAUAAUUUGAUACAAAAAUAUGUCUAAUAGUUCAAAAUAUAAAAUAAUUAUAUAAAAUAUAGUAUUAUAAUAUGAGGAAAAAAUUUAUGAGUUGAAUAUCUAAUCUUUUCAGCCUCACAUGUCUUUUCUUCCGCUUUCAAUCUCCAUAUUAUUCAUUUUUAUUUAUGCGGUCAAAAAUAAAUAAAUUAUAUAGGUAAAUAUUGUAUUAAACUAUCCAAUCAUAUAUAACUAAAAUUAAAAUUUUAUAUAAAUAAUAUUUUUUUAUUUUAAAAAUAUUUUGUAUAUUUUCUUAAGCACAUAAUUAAUAACAAGAUAUGCAACAACGAGCAUAUGCUGUUACUUGGUAACUUGGAGGGCUUCAGGCUUGGCCACUUAGGGUAAGAGACAGAGAAAAAAAGAAAGAGAGAAACAGAUUGAAAAUUUAAAGCUCUGUGAAAGAAAGAAAGGGAAAAAGUACAAAUUUAGUAAAAUUUUGCUUUUUUAUUUGUCUAUUGGGUUUGUUUUUAUGGACUAAUAACAUUGGCUCAAUUUUAAUUAAACUCAGGUUAUUCACUCAGCCUAUAUAUAAUUAAAAUAUAUUAUAUUUAUAUAUAUAUAUAUAUAUAUAUAGUGUAGAACUACUAUGCUAUCGGAAAUAUAGAGGAUUUGUUACUUCCGAAUUUUUGACCCUUUGAUCAAGAAUUGUAAGGUUGGGAUGAUUGCGGUCCCCUCUAGGAUUAAAUAAUACCCCUAGAGUUGAGUGGUCCCUACAAGGUACUAGUAUUAAUCCAAAGUUUAGAAAUGAUUAAAGGGGUUGAUCUACGGGUCAAAAAAUCGGAAGUACCAAAUCCUCUUUACUUUCGAUAGCAUAGUAACUUUACUAUAUAUAUAUAUAUUCGAGCUUUUUGAGCCUAAUUCGAACGAGCCGAGUAAUACUCAAGCUCGACUCAUUUAAUUUCGAGUCGAGCUCGAGCGAGCCGAGUAAUACUCAAGCUCGGCUCAUUUAAUUUCGAGUCGAGCUCGAGCGAGCCAAAUAUCGAAUCGAACGCGAGCCGGCUCACUCAUUGGCCAGCCCUACUUUCAGCCAUGUUCAAAUGUAGUAGAAUUAAGUGCAAUUCAUGGUACAACCACAGUAGCAUAGAACCAGUAAAAGGCAUAUCUAACUGUCCUUGCCUGUGUCCAUUUGGUGCUUCUUGUGCAAGCAGAAACUAUGACCUUCUUAACAAAUCAAGAAAAAGAAAUAUUCUGUGAGGCAAAGCUGGGAAAACAAAUGUAUAAAAUUUUCUUAAUCAAAUAUUGUUGUCAAUACACAACACAGAAAAAUAGCCUGCCACAACUUAAAAAGGGAGAAACUAAGUGACAUGUAUCACAAAGAAUUCACAAAGUAAAUUAUAAACCACUUCUCACUCUAGAAGCAAAAUAAUCAGGAUUACAAUUUUGAAAAAUAAGACCAACUCCAACAAUCUUUCAGGGGAGCACAACAGCAUCAGAAAAUCACUUUAUGUUUCCUUUGAAUUCAAACUUAGACACCAAAAAAACCAAACCGACACACCCGUAACUCACUAGCCCCCCGACAUCUCUUUAUUGAUGAAAACUUUUAUAUCCUUCUUUAUAAGCAUGUACACUUACUAUAUGCUUGAAAUUUACAUCUAAAGCAAUAUCCUAUCAACAUAUACAAAGUCGAUCCCUUGGCUACGUAGAAAAAAAAGCUCGAAGGAGAUUUCGUCAAGGCUUGCUUUGUUAACUUGGGAAAGUAGUUAGCCGUGUGGGGCGGGAAACUUGUCAAACAAAAUAGAGAAGAGAGAGAAGGUGGGUUUCACUUCACUUUACGAAGAGACGCAGGUCUCGGCCUCGCCCUCAUGAUCGUUUCAUCGCUAUGUCGGAUUAAUUCAGACAGUCUCCAGGGCUUUUGCCAUUUCCACUUGAACUGCAAUAGCCAUUGAUGAUGGCUCCUUUUCCAUCUCCAAAGCCUUCCCGCAUGUCCGACUACAGCGAGUUUCUUCUUCUCCAUAGACAAUUGCCCAAUUGGGACCAUCUACAUCAAAGACACAGUUGCUUUUUAGCAUUCAAACUCAAGAUGAUACUAAUAUAGGGAAAAAGGGAGGGGGAAAGCAAAGGAACCUUCAAUGGCUUGUUGUUGAAUGUGUUGCUCCCCUUGCUCGGGCUAUUAGCAAUGCCAGCAGAGUACUUGAGCUGUUUCUGUGCAGGAACUGCAACUGGAGAAAGCGGUGUGUUGUUUUCUUCGACAGAGUGCUUCAUUGAGCCAUUUGAGUUGGCCUGAAAAGUAUCGAUCAUGCGGAGUUUAGUUUUAUAGCAUCUGAGAUACAGUGAAACUUAAAGAUGUUCCUCUUGACUAUGCAGGUUUAUAAACAUAUCACAUCAGAAAAAUAAUGACAGAGGAGAACUUUUUAUGGAGAUUUAAUCCAGCGUAAAAUGUGAUGGACUAAACUGAAAUAUUAUAUCAUUUACAGUUGUAUAUACAAAAACUCACCUGAGAUGAUGCGGCUAAUGCACUUGUGAGUGCUUGCUCUUUCAAUUUCAGCUGUUUUUCCACCUCUCUUCUUCGUGCUUCGCUGUGACGAAGAAUACCAACAAGCUCAUUCAGUUGUUCCUUCAGUUCCUUCAUCUCGAUUUCCCUUUCCUUCACCUGGCACCUGUUCCGAAGAUGACCUACUUUGUUAUAGGCUGUUAUAGUUAUAAACAAUUAACAAAAAAUGAUUGCAUACAGCCAAAUGGAAAAUGUAAAGUACAUUGUAUGACACGAAAGAACAAGAACGACUUUAAGAAACGAAUGAUAAGUAUGUUAAGUUCUGCUAUUCUGGGCAAGCAGUAAUAUUACUAGAUCAAUAAAAUUGAAUCUGCAGUCUAAAACCAAAAUGCGAAUUUGACUUUUGCUUCUCUUCUAGGGAUAGCAGAAUAACCACCCAGGGAUAGAAAAAAGUACCAUAACCAAAAAAAUUUCUUCCUGCAUCAGAUACUCAAAGUUUUGACGGCACAUCUAAUUAAACAAACAAUUUAGUUUCAAUUCAGGGAAUACUCGCAAUGCUGACACACUGAGAAGCAAAUCAAACACAAUAAUAGAAAGCCAUAUCAAAUUAGUAGAAAAUGGAACCUUGCAUCAGCUGCCACGUUGAACAUGUACUGAAGCAAAUUCUUUGCGUCCCCCAUUGAUCGCAGUUGAUUCCAUCGGCCACGCCCAGUAAAUGCACGCUCUCUUUCCUCAGCCUCAGAAAGUUGGGAAGCCAUCGCUACGAGAGUAUUUGAAGAAAUGCUCACCAUGCUCUCAAGUGUUGCUAUUCUGGCUAAUCUUGCAUUUGGUGACAUGGUGGACACCCUAAAAAAGAAUUAAAUUCUUAACAGAAGAAAAAAUAGUACUUAUGAAACCAUCUGAUACAUCAGAUGUUUUUCCUUUUUAACUCGACCAGCAUAGACAUUACUGACAAAACCAAGUCGAUGAAGAAUUUUGUACGGAAGAUAUGAAAUCUUACCUAGAAGUUCCAUUGUUUCCUCUCGGAGGGCUAGCUCCCCCAGAAAUUGCCUCCUCUUGCUUCAAAAUAGCAAGCUCCUCCGCCAAUGCAGCUCGUCUUAAUGGGAUGAGAUGCGAAUGGUAUCAAGAUAACCGAUAUAUUAACAAGAAAAAUGUAACUAUGGAAAUAGGCAAAAAAAGAAGCAAACCGAGCUUAUAAUACAUACAAUUGACUUUGUUUCUCGUAUUCGUUCCGAACUUCAUGGACAUGUACCAUGACUUCAAGCUCUUGAUCUAGCCAUCGUUGCAGGGACUUUUCACUCAUCUGAAUUUAGCAAAGUAAUUCUAGCUGACUACCAUCUAAAAUCAUAUUUGUACGGAGAAAAUAUAUAAUGUUCGCAUGAGUUACCUGAGAGCUGGGAGAGUUACCAUUUGCAAUAACUGGUUUUAAAAAAAAAAAGGACAAAAAAGGAGGAAACAAAAGAAUAUUAGCAUUGCAUGCAAGGUCUUGAUGCUAAUAGGAAUUUCUUUAGUAAUAGAAAAAUACCAGAGGUAUCACGUGCUGAGGAUUUGCGAGCUUCUAGCAAUUCUUUUAACUUCUUGGUAGCCAUGGCAGCCUCUUCUGUCUUCCUUUGAAGAACCUAUGCCAAAAAAAGGGUCCAAUGCAUAGUUAGUUUUGAUUACUAUGAUCUAAUGAACCAGAGAAGUGUGAAAUAACUUGGGAAACGAACAAGUAGGCACAACUCUUAUUUAUAUGCUCAAGAUGCACAUUUGGGAAAAUAAAAUCUCAAAAAUCAUCAAAAAAACUAUUAAUGUAUGGAAAUUAUCUGCAAUAGAAAUGACUAAACUAUAUUGUCUCCAAUUGUCGGUAAAUGAACAACCAGCAGCAUGAUUAUUUUGAGGAAUAAGAAAACACUGCAUGGUCAAAAUGCUUCAAAACAAAGGUGACACUAAGGUAAACCUCUCAAAACUUAAUAUAGAAACGUGUAACUUUAGACCGUGCAACUUCUUCUGCUCAUAACUUUUGGAAAAAACUUUUUACCAUUUUCUGCCGCUGAUUCAAUGCCUGAAGUUUAUGUCGUUCAUACUCAUUUCUCCUCCCCUCUUUCCUCAACUAUUUAAGAGAAAAGAUCAAAGUUAGCUUUCCCAUGCAAAAAAACAAAGGAAGAUGAAUUUGGACAACAUACACAUAUGCACAUAAUAAGAAAUAAGAGCAAGCAUAUCAAGCUGCUAGUAUAAAUUUCUGGCAGGUUUGAUGGUCAAAUUUUUGAUCUUUAGAACAGCUCAAAUUUCUGCACCAUCUCAUUUAUUCUACUGUUAUAACUUGUAACCAAUGAUAUAAUUCUGCACACCUGGAGUAAUUCCUUUUCACGAGAAGCCUUCCAUUGACGGAAUUGUUCUGCUUCUUGUUUUAUCUUGUGUUGCAAUUGAACCUGUAAGGAUGGAAAACAAUAAAUUGGAUUAAAAGGAUGAAGUACUGUGAGAGCUAUAAAUAUCUCAUUAAUGAAGGUCAGAGAAGAAAGUUGAUAGUGGAAGACAUCAACCUUUUGAGACUUAAUAAAUUGAAUUUCUUCUUGCAACUUUUUGGCUGCCUCAUCACUCCUUUGCUUUUCCUUCAAAAGCUGAACUUGGUUUUCUUGCUUCUUUUUAAGGUCCAAAAUCUGGAAUGAAAGUUAUUCUACAAAUUACUUUCAAACACAGACAAAGCAUCAAAGCAUUUUUAUACAUAUCUCUGCAAAAUGAUCUAUUAUGUAUAUACCCUUGUAAAAUCUUAUAUUCAUAUAUAGCCCUUCAAAGUGCAGUUGCAUAAUUGUAGAAUCAUCUAAAGCAUGGGGAAAGCUGGUUUGUUAUCAUAAAUAGUUCUCUCAUCAGGGAGACUUUUCUAAGGUGUUCGGAGGGCACAAAAAAAGUUUUUGUACAUUUUGCAAGGACACACAUGUAGAUAUUUCGAAAUCUUUUUGUGAAACAGAGACAGUAUCAUUCACCUGUGCUUCAAGGGACUUCAGUUUCUGAGAAUGAAUAUCUGGAGGCCUGUGCAUGUGGCCAUCUGAGUUAGCAGCAAGGUUUUCCACUUCAGCCAACAACCGGUCUCUCUCUUGCUGAAAUUGAUAUUUUUUAAAAAAAUUUAAUUCCACUUUCAGUGCAUUUUAAGAGGAGGAAAACAAAGUAUAAUUAGAGACAACAUCAAAUGAAUAAAACAGUAAUUGACCUGCACAGCUCUUUUCUCUUCUUCAAGCUCCAUGAUCUUCUUUCCAAAAUGCUGCUUAAGAGCAAGUGUGUUGAACCCUUCAAACAUUUUCAUCUCAGACUGCAUGGCAAGAGUAGUGUUGGUUCAAAACUUAUAAGCAAGAGGCCAACCGAUACAUUGAAGCUGCUAAAAAAAUAAAUCAGCGGAAGAUCCCCGAUUUUUGAUUUGGUAGUACGACAUCUAUUUUCACCAAAGAAUUCCAAAUUGGCAAGAAUAGAAAAUUAGGUGUUGAGCAGGUCUUAGAUUAGAUCACCUCCUUUUGCUCCAAUCGCCUAUUUAACUCAUUCAACUCCUUGCCCAUGCUAUCUUGCAGCAUUGUAUGUUCCCAUUCCUUAGCUACUUCAUCAUCAAUUUCCUUAGAAUUAUCACCUGCUGGUAAAAAAAUGGAUAUACAUAGUUACAAACUGAAAAAAGAAAAUAUUGCAGGAAAGCAAUUAGUAAAGAUUAAUAUGGACUUGCCAAUAUAAGGCAUUAUAACAGAAUUAAGUAGUCUAUCAGAAGUAAUUAGAUACAACCUUAAAAGGUGCCAAAAAGUUACCUCUUAGAGCAUCAGCCAUUGGGAAAUCAAAUGUCUCUGUGCUUUGCAGGCUCCUUUUCAACCCUUCUGCUUUUAUGCUUCCGCCUUUCUGAAAUGCCAACCAUAAACAGUUGUUAAGCUGUUUAUCCCAUUAAUGAUGAUCCUCUAUUUAGGGUCAGUCAAGAGCCAUAAAUUCAUUGACAUGGGUAGGCAGGAUAACAAAUAGCAUAGAACCAUUUUGGUUUACAACAGAAAUCCAGUAAAGUCUUAGGGGCAAGGAUUUAAGUGCCGUGACAUAGGAUAGUGUCGAAAACUUGCUUGCACAGUGUGUGCCGGACAGUGCUAAUGCGUGCCGGUCACAAAAAUACAUGUGUAUCGACACAUGAUGGCAUGAAAUCUUUAUUUUCUUUAGCUACAAAAUAUUCUAAUUGCUUAUUAUGUAUCUUUAUUAAAUCCUUUGAAUUUUAUUGAGAAAAUUACCUACUAAUUUAAAAAAUAGAGGGUUUUGAGCUGCACCAUCGGCACGGGGAUUGUAUCGUAUCGAUAUCAUGUUAGUACGAUACGGCACAAUGGAUAAGGCCAUGCCAAUGGACGCUUCAAUCCUUGCUCAGAGGUAUAUAUUCUUUCUCAUAGUUUAGCUUGACGAUGACCGUAGAAUAAUCAUUAGGAAAUAAUACAAUACUUAUAAGGAUAUGAAAAGAUGUAACAGUUCUGAAGUACUCUAUACAUACUCGGCUAUCUGUUUCAUGAUGAUCACUGUGAGGAGAUUGAAUGCGGUAACCAUACAGUUCCCUACAGAGGUCUUCAUUGGUAGCCUCCAGCCAAGAAAUCCUUUCCUUGAGAAUCUAUAAAUAAGUUUGUUGAGGAUUAAAAUUUUUGAUAAUUGAAAAAACUCUUUAUUAUAUAAAGAGAGCAAAGAGUAUUGUAUAAGAGGAUGUACAGGUGUUUGCCUCCUUAAAAUAACCAUAAACUACAAUCUGUUUUAUAUAUUGUAAGUUGAUCAGAAAUUUGAUCGGUUUUCAGUAGUACCCGAGUUUCAUCAGACGCAACUCCUCCACGAGCAGAAACCAGCUCAGCCUGCAAGAAUUCAAUUUGCUGACGCAUCCUUUGCAUCUCGUCAGAGAUUGGAUUUCUAUUUACCUGGAAAAUUGUUGGAACAGAAAAAGAGAGAGAAUUGAGCUAUGAUCUUUUAAAUAUAUAUGAAAUAAAGUAGCAGUAUCUGCAGCUGACGCGUGGACACAGACGCAAGAUACCUAUUUGAUAUAUGACGCAUAUACCCAAGCAAUUAUCACAUUUUAAAAAACUGUAUGUUCUUUGUAGAUUAUACUCAGUUCAUACUACCUUGGUAUGACCCUAGUCAUGUAUGAAUAUAUUAAGCACACUUGCAGAGUAUCCUAGAAGUAUCCAAGUCAUAUCCAAUUUUUUUUAUCUUGUUUUGAAUAUCUAGUAGGUGAAAGAAGUAUCAGACAUGUAACUGUGAAGUAUCCAAAAGUAACCAGUUGAGUACAAACAUUAUAACUAUCUUUUUCUUUUGAAGAUAAGAGUAUAGCUACCACGCAAUUUAGGUUUUAAUAUAGUUCUGAACUCACUAUGGGCUUAUUCUGAAUGUUCCGAGCACGAUUAGCAUAUUUCAGUGUGUUUAGAGUUUCCUCUGCAUUUAUAUCUGCUGGGCUGAUACAAGCUGGACAAGAAAAAAAAAAAUUUAAAAAGAAAGUUAUAGCAUUAUGAUUUAUAUAUUUUAACAGACUUCAGAGAAACAGCAUUGACAGGUAAAUAGCAUUUAGCAGUUAGGAGGUGAAUUACAUUACCUAUCAUUACUGUCCUGCUAUUUCCACCUAGAGAAUCCUGCAAAGAGAUGAAGUACAUAUAUAAUCAGAUAUAUGACAUGCUCUUUAUAUGUUGUACUUUUUAAACAGGUGAUAGAGCAAAAAAUUUCUAUUUGCACAAAGAUGAAAGUUCUUUUUAAGUCCAAUUUCAAUCAAAUUCUUUCAAAAAGGUUAUGCAACUCUUUCUCAGUUCAUAAUUUGAUAAUACUUGAUAAACAACAAAUAAUUAGAUACAUAACUGGGCACAAAUUUAAACACCACUAAUUUUAGUUCUUCAGUAAAGCAGAGUAUAAUAACCAGGUUAGUGUAAAGAAUAGUUCGAGCAGUGUAAGAUUAGAUAGAAAGUAUAGUAAGUAUUCUCCUCCACAAGUUCAUGGUAAAGAAAAUGGCCAUCAAGAAAUCAUUAAGCAAAAGGAUCAGAAAUUGAUUGGAACCAAUUCCACUAUUGCAAAACUGUGCUGCUUCCAGAUAAACAUAUGAGAAUAAAAAUAUUCUGUCACUUUUUAAAUUGAUAUAGCAUAUCCAUUAUUGUAACUUAUUAUCGGAUAAUAAUAUACGGUCCAAACCUGCAAGAGCCGGGUCAGUUUGCUAUCACGAUAAGGGACAUGAGCACCUUCUUUCCUCUUCUUCUCAUCUCCAAGAGCACUUAUGACAUUGCCUAGAGCUAAGAGUCCUUUGUUGAUAUGAACACCUGAUAACAACAAUAUAGGGGUUUUUAAUUUUCACUUUUCUUUCAAGAUAAGCAGUUGGUUUAAUGACAUGAAGAGAAAACAGAACUACCUUCCUUAAACCUAAGACCAUCUGAACCAGUUCUCUUAGCCCGUUCUGAUCCAGCAAGAUCUACCAAAUGAAGCUUUGCACAGAGGUAGUCUUCAUUCAGAUCCUCGAUCAUGGAGCCAUCAGAAGUCAUAAUUGGAUCGAGUUUGCGCAUCUGCUCCAAUGUGAUUGUGAAGAUAGCAUGGGAACGGCUGUUGCAUGAUGGCAAUAAAAAAGAAAACAAAAUAGUUCAUUAAAAUAAAGGUAAGUAAAUAGUUUGAGUAAAUUUAAGGGCUACUUGGACAUUUUACAUAUCAAGUAAAUAAAAAAGAAGGUUGUAUAUGCUUUGAAUAAAUGAAAUAUGCUUUCAAGAGACAACCAUUCUACAAAUUAUUUCAUUUUCAUUGCUAUUCACUUCAAUCAGAAAAUCUAUAUUACUGAUGAGCUAAUAUAUCAAGUAUGAGAAAAGGAAAUGUGCGAAUCUGUUAUUACAAUUAAGAACAAAAAAUAUGCAAUUUUCUCAAUCUUGAUUCGGCUUCAGUAGUGCCAUAGCUGGAAGCUAUUAUAUUGAAUAAAAGCAUAGAUGCAAGAUCUAGUUAUAUCAAAUUUCAACAACAAAGUGAAAACAAAAUCAGACUCAUAAAACCACCAACCUUGACUGGUUGUUCAUGUUUGUACUUCCAGUAGCUCGAUUUGUUGAACCUUGCUCCAAGCAUGCAGCCAUUUCUUUUUGAGUACUAACAUUAAUUUCAGUAGACCCAGCAAGUGUUAUUGCCCCAUUCGAUGCCUCACGGAUUUGUACAGGAGGUUUCCCAGGUACUGUUAGCUUCCCCACAUGUCCAUUGCCGUUUUCGACUUUGCUAGGAGAAGAUGCAGGAUCUAACAAGUCCCGUACCUCUUCUUUCAGAAUCUUCACAAAAGUGUAACUCUAGUUACAUUAACCGGUCACCAAAAAAAAAAAAGAACUGUAAUGACGAAGUUAGACAGAUGAUGACAUUACAUUCACUAGACUGUAUGACAUUAAUGCAAAUGGCAUAUUGCAUUGUCAUGCUAUAAGAUAAGGUAUUGAAAAUAAAUCUUAUUGUUUCAUUGGCCAAAGAAAAAGUAAUUGUGUGAGCCAGGAAGCCAAUUUAUAGAACAAUUUGCUAUGACAAAAUUUAAAUUCUGAAUAACAUGAUCUUUGCUCCAUUGUUUUGGGAAGUCAUUAUAUAAUAGAAAAAGAAUACAUGAGAAGCGAUAAAUCUGGAAAUUUUGAAAGAAAUGACUGCCAUUCUGGUUCGUAGAGAAGCAUUGAAACCAAAGCCUCCUCUAGACUGUCCAAAAAAGUCUAGAAAGAUAGGCUAUAUAGAAUGAGUUAGGAAAGAAGAAGAGGCAGGGACAUUUCUUGUACCUCAAUGAAAGAGACUCGUAACUGGAACUCUACUUGAUUCUUCAAGGUAUCGAUCUUGUCGAAUAAUGCAUUCAGAACUUGAGGAAUAAGUCCAGUAUGAGAGCCGUCCCUACAUGACGUCCCCAUUGUAUAUGUUUUUCCUGACCCAGUCUGCAGCACAUCAGAAAUUUCAAAUGUUUUUAAGGCUUCGGAGACAUGUAUAUUAUGAUGAUAAUGUGACAUGCCAAAAAAGGGAAAAGAAAAAGAAAAAGAACAUAAGCAGGAGUUACAAUACUUAACCUGACCGUAUGCAAGAACAGUUGCAUUAUAUCCUUGAAACAGACCAUCAACGAGCGGGGCAACACAUUCUUCGAACAUGGUAGAUGAUGGAGAACCGGUGCUCCCAUAAACAUGAUCGAAGGUAAAAGAAUGGGUGCCAAUUUGCACCUAUGAGAGGAAGAUUAGUUAUGAAUAUUUAAACUGACAAUUGAAGAUUGCUAGCAUUACUUCUACAAUAAAAAGAACAAGAAAAAAGAACGUAAAACCAAGAUGAACUAUGUCAAUGUAAGUUCGUAAUGUCGCAAAAGCAGUUUAUAUCACCUUGAUUCAGAGUCCUUACUAGUGUCGGUACUAAUUUCCUUCUUAUUCACAUAAGUUUAUACUCUACUUAUGCAGCUCUGUUAGGCAAUUACCUCCACAAAGCAUACAAACAUACAAGGCUUAGAAGAAAAUAGUCUUGCUAUGAGUAGCAAGAUAGAACUUCUAGCACACAAUCGAAAAAGAUUACACUGUAAACUAAAUCAAAACGAGUAUGGGAUUGUUAAAAUUCUUUGUCUGGUGGACAGGGAGAAUUGUGAUAUAGUUAAAAUUGGCGAGGCAUAUAUGCAAAUGAAUGCAACAUAUGUACACUGCAAAAAAAAUAAAAAAAUAAAAAAUAAAUAAAAAAAAGGGAUCAAGAAGAAGAUUGACAAAUAUGUUAAAAAUGGACAAUCAACCCUCAGAAAUGGAUUACUCUCCUUUCAUAGUCAUCAGAAAGGGUCAAAGUAGUUUACUGGAUUAAACUACAUGUACCACAAAAUGUAUAUUCAAGGUGAUAUACAGCAAUAGCUGACACUUGAUUGCUUUGUUGGAGGUGCCAAAAUUCAGGGUAUUCUACAUGAAUUUUGGAGGAAUUUACAAAAAAAAAAAAAAAAAACUAGUAUCCUCCCAUAUAAAACAGAGUAAAUUGUUCGAAAAAUGGGAGAAAAAAAAGAUUAGACUUAAAAAAAAAAGGACUUUUAGUUCAAUGUCAUCUACAAAAACUAAAAUUCCUAUAUUGGAAAAGAAGCCUUAUAAUAUGGACAACAAAUUUAUAUAUCACAUCCUAAGAUGAUUGAAAAAUAUUUGCACUAAAAUUGUAUCAUGCAAUCUAAACUGGAUGAGAUUGCAACUUCCAAACCAAAACCCCCACCAAAAGAUCCUCAAUCAAAUUCACACAAAUAGCAAAAAAACAAAAAAAAAAAGAAAAAAGAAAAAAAUCUCCUAUCCUUGAUCAGAUCCUUUAGAAUUGAAUGGUGAAUCCAAGAAUGGGGAUGAACCUGCGGCUUUCCGGGCACGACAGUAACGCAAUCCUCGCAUCCCUGCAGCUUCUCGUCUCCGAUAAGCGGCCUGAUGUGGACCGCGACCUUCACGCAGCAAUCCUCUCCAUUAUCCAUCGUCAUCUUCCCAAUUUGCUACCAAAAUUACACUCCAAAAACCAUCAAAAUCCGAAAGGGGAGGCCAAGGAUUGCCGGAGGAAGAGAGGGUGGUACAGGAGUGAAAUAGGAGAUGGGUGGUUGAACUCGGAGAGAGGAAGUAGCAGCAAAGGGAGAGGGAGAGGGAGCAACAACUGCUAUGAUUCUUCCUUGGAUUGCACAACAAGCCCCUGUAGACCACCAAAUGGGAGUUGGAGAAGGAGAUGAUGAUGGUGGUGGUAAUGGUGGAGGAGGAGGGAGGAGGGAGGAGGAGAGAGGUGGAGGUGGUGGAGGUGAUGGUUGGUGAGGAAGAGCAAAACUUUGGAGUACUCUUUAACCAAAUGUGUCCCUUUUCUUUUUUCCUUCUCUUUCAAGGAGUUUUCCCUGGGAAAAAAGAUUAGAUAGAGAGAGAGAGAGAGAGAGAGAGAGGUGGAGAAGGGUUUGAGAAUGAGGAAUAUUUGGGGAGAGAAGUGUAGCUGAAGCAUGGAGGUGUGCUAACUGUUUAUUAUUACCACUGUUCCUGCUACAAAGACAUGGCAUCUUCUUGGUUGUUACAAUUAGAAUUAAGUAAUGGUGAAAAUCCUCUUUUUUUUUUUUCUUUUUUUUCUCUUCCUUCUUUUGAUUUCUUGUUAUUGGGAUGAGAUGCAUUACUUUGCUAACACUAAAGUGUCACUUUCCUUCCUUUUAAUUUGCCCUUUUUAAGAGGACCUUUGCUGGGGGAUUUGGGUGUGGUAAUGUGAUGGGUGACAGCAGAUCCUCUGCAAUCCAAGCUGCAUGAACUUUCCUACAGCUGGGAUUACCUGGCAGGCAAUUAUGAUUGGCCAAGAAAUCUUACAAGUUUAAUAGUUAAUUUUAGUUCUCUGUAUUAAAAAAAUUUUCUACACUUGGGGUUAUGAAUUGAGUGAGGAAAAAAAAAAAAACAAAAGAAGGAAAAGGUAAGCUAGGCUGAGUGUAGCCAUUUGAGACUCUAUGGCCCAGAAUUCAUUGCCUAUUUGGCUCUUUCCAAUGUUGGCCUCUUGUUUUAUUUGUUAUUUAAUAUGCAGGAGUCAGUCCCUGAUGAAUGAUCCUGAACCCAAUGCUGAGGCUAACUGACCAAUGUUUUGUCCCUCCUGUUUACACCAUCUGACAUGAUCUUUCUGAGCUAGAUCACAGCUAAAUUUUGGUACAUUGUUCUAGGCCAUAAAACAAAUUUAUGCAGUUCCAUUACAAGCUACUUGCAAUAAAAUAUUUGAGCAUUUUUAAUUUGUUUUUCGUUUGUAAGUAUGUAAAAUCGUUGUUUUCAGCAUGCCUGUUUAAAGAAACAUUAGUGAUUUAUAAUGACCUGUUCUGAGCCAACCCUCAUUUCUUGGACCUUAUACGUGACUUACAUAUGCAAAAUCAAAGAGCUUGCGAUUAAACGUUCUGUGGCGGAGCAGACCAAACAAGUCCUUAAUUAUAACCCUUUAAAUGACAAUUUAAGUUCACACAAAACUGCUAUGUAAAGGAGGAUAGACUGUUGGCUUAAAUAGGCCAGCAUCCUACUUUGUGGCAGGAGAUCAUGUUGGGCCGAGUCAUAUUCGAAAUGACGUGAGCCUGGGUGGGACGAGUCAUGUUCGAAGUGACGUGAGGUUGGUUGGACUGAGUCACAAUCAAAAUCCGUGGACGCUGUAUCUGUUCGUUUUAAGUGAAUUAGUUGCGUAUUUCUAACAGCUUGAGUUUUUAGGAAUAAUGGUUAGCGCCAACGAUCUGACAUAGACAAAGGUUAAUACGUUAAGCAGCUCUCAAAUUUUCUUCUUAUUUUUCGUUUUCAAAGACAUUAUAUUCAUGGAAUGAAAAAAAAUAAUUGUACUUGGAUUUGAUACCACAGUAAGUUCGAGGACACUGAUUCGCCAACGGCUAUGUUUAGGUGGAGACGAGAAAAUUGCACCCACAUUUGUCUGCUGUUUGUGGCCAUUAGCACUACUUGGGACACGCAGUUGUGGGGCUCAAACGUUGCACAUUAAUUAUUAUUACAAAAGCUCUAUGUUAAUAUUGCUACCCCAUCUUAUAUAAAUAUAUAUAUGUAUUAUAAUAUUUGUACACCUUACAUAUGGGAAUGGGAGGCCCAGCUGGAGCUUUUGCAUGUGGAGUGGUACAUUUCAGACAAAACUUCACCCAGUACCUUCUCAAUAACAUUUUGCUCCCAUUUAAUAAUUUAUUGUAUUUUUUAAUGCUAAUUUUUUUAAAAAAAAUUUAAAUUUUAGAGAGAAAAAUUAUAAAUUUUGGAUAGAGAUAAAAGUGAUACGUGGUGAUAGAUUAGAGCUCCUUAGCGAGGCAUUAUUGGAGAGCUUUUCUCUACUGAAGUGUUUUUUCCAUAAAUUUCCACCCUACCCAACUAAUCCAAUAUGGUUUGGAUUGAAUUAUUUGUGUCAUUAUUUAGUGUAAUAUUUCAUUACUGUAAAAGCUUAAUUUAUUAUUAAAAUUUAAUAUUGCAUUUGUAUUCAAUACUUCUUUUGGUGCUUUAAUUUGAGAUAUUUUGAUGAAUCCAAAAUGUCUCCAUAAGUUUAUGAAUUUUUCUAGUAGGCCAUAGUAGAAUACUCAUUUUUAGGUUCUUAAGUGAUAAAUUUGUUAUAUAUAAUUUUUCGCUCAAAUAAUAAGCUUUAUUGACAAACGUAUAAUCCCAUACUUUUUGUACCGUUGCAGAAGCCAAAAUUUGGGUUGUCACAAGCGCGUACGAUUUCUAGAAUCCCCUGCUACACUAACUCCCAUAUAAAAUUGUCCAUUUUGUUGGAUCCGUUUGGAUAUUGAGAAAUAUUUUUUUAACACAUAUGUAAUUGUCAUGGCCCAUAAGCUCCUUAGAUUUAUACAUUCUCUAUCAUGACAGAUAUAAAAUAAAAGAUCCAAAAUAAAGCUCAAAUGUGAGAAGAAAUUAAAAAAAUUAACAUAUGGUUCUUUGACUCUAAACAAUAAUUACAAACCAUUAAGUGGAUUAGUACAACCAUUAAUCUAUAUACUUGAAACUUACCAAUGUAAUGAUGCUCUUUAUUUUUUGAUAAAUUACACCCAAAGUGAUGGAUUAUCAUAAAAUAACGCGCUAAUUAGUCAGGUAAAAUUUCCAAUUUCCCCUUAACCAUACAUGCAUGCCAAAGUUAAAGUCAUAGGAAUAUAAGUAGCAGCAAAGGCUUAAUUGAUCCUUAAUUUCUUUAUUACAUUGAACAGCUGUUAGAAAAAGGACUUUGAGAUGCUGCUACUUAAUUUUUUAGUCCUUUAGUACAGCUGUUCUUCUUAGCUGGUCGAGCGAAGCAAAGCACUUAUUCCCCCCACACACACACACACGUACAUACACGUAACACUCAUUAUAUGCUCUCCUCAAUCACAUGCAGAGCUCAAGAUUAUUAGCGUACAUGUACAAGUACGUUUCCAAAACCAAGUUAAAAAAAUCGUCUGGUUUAAUUGAAGUGGGUGGUACAAAUUAGUAUGUGUUUCACUAGAACAUGCUUUGGAAGUUGGGAGAGAGGCCAAUAAUAUUAUUACUAUUCUAUGAAUUAAAUUAAAACUAUGAUAUAUGAAUUACUCAUUGUGAAUAUACAAUUGGUGUAGGGUGAGAGGUGAUCAUAACUUUUGCCGAAAGUUAAGAAGGGGUGAUUUUGUACUUUUAUGUGGAAAUUAUUGUUUAGUGAGGAUGCAUCCAAGUUGAUUUUAUGAUUUCUCUAUUAAAGGGUAUAUGGAGUACAUUUAUGUAUAAGGUCUAUGGAGCUCAAUGACCACUUUAGUAGCUUUUAGGAAGCAUGGUGGAUCUACAAAAGGUUUGUGAUCAUUGGGGCUAUUUGGUCCCUUGGGCUCCAAAUGCAGUGUAUUCGUAGUCGCGUGCGAGGGAGCAGGGUCAAUUGCAAACAAUAUAUAGUACGGGUGAUGAGCGUAUACAAAAGAUAAAAGAAAACUUAGAAUCUCGAUUAUUAAUCAUUAAGUUUUUUGUUACUUACAAUAAAGAUAAUUGAUGAUUAAACAUUAUCUUGUAAUAAAUUUUUAAUUCGUUUGUUACUGGUCAAAAACUAAAAAUAUAUAUAGCGCACACAAAAAUUCAGAAACAAUGUAGGAACAGCACAUGGACCAUUCGUGCCCUGGAAAGAUCAUGAAUUAGGCAUUGUAAAGAAGAGUACAGGGAGGAUCACGUGAUGUGGAAUCUUAGGUGGAAAGAGAGAGAGAGAGAGAGAGAGAGAGAGAGAGAGAGAGAGAGAGAGAGAGAUAUUGGGUGCAUAUAUGCUAACAAAUACGGGAAUUGCAUGGGUCCCUCUUUAUACAUGCAACAAUAUAGCAUCUUCUCUCUAUCUCUUUAUAGAGUUAAUUAACCGACCACCACGAGCACUCCUCUCUCUCUCUCUCUCUCUCUCUCUCUCUCUCUCUCUCUCUCUCUCUCUCUCGUACACACACAAACUAUGUACAAGAUGAGAGAGAUAAAGAGAAAAAUUGAAGCGCCCUUUUCGCACGAGGCUGUGAGCCCCAUGAUUAUUCUCCACUACUUGCUUGCUUUUUUUCUUUUUAUUUUUUUUCCCUUUUUGUUAAAUUUUCUUAUAUAUAUAUUUCUUAUAUAUAUAUAUAUAUAUCCUCUCUAUCAUAUUCACUUAUGAUCAAUGUGAUCUCGACACGUUGCGCAGCGUGUUCACGAGGUACUAGAAUUCAUUGGCAUGUUUGGCUUAGGCUUCGUUUGAGAUUACAAAAAGAUUACGUUACGUAUGGUGAGAAAGAAUGAUGAAAAAAUAUUCUGUUUAUAUCCGUACAUAAUAUUGCGUUUCACAUAUCGCGAUCCAUCAAAGAACGCAGAAGCAUAUUCCUAUAUACUUUUUAUUUUAACUUUAUUUUAUCUAAUGACGUCAAUCUUAAUACCAAACCAAGCUUUAGACGGUAGGAUUAGCAUUUGGGGAAAUACAUUGGUGCCCGCGUAGAUUUUAACUUUUAUGUUUCGAGAAAGAAAAAAAUAGUAAGUUAUCUGUUUCAUUCAGUAUAAGCAAUAAAUUUAAAUUUCGCGCAGCAAUAAAAUGUCAGUCGAUGUCGCCCUUCUCGUGUUGCCGAGAAUUCAGUCCUCCAAAAAAUUCACAAGCUCGGCCAAGACCUCCGUAACGGAUUUCCCGUAUUCUAACAUAAUAACAGCUUAUAAUGAUAGUGUUUUGUGUAUCUACAGUGAAAGAAAUUAAAUGAAAUAAGAUUGGAUUGAAAAUUUAUCCACUACUGCACUUCGACUCGAACCUAAAAUUAUAAAAAUUCAGUUAACUGGAACCGGGUUAUCGGGUCAACUCGAAUCGGGGUCCACGGAUAACUCGAGCCGGGUUAUCGGGUCUCAACAUCAACUCCAUACGUAGGUUUAGCACCCAUGCCAUGCAAGUAUUAUAUAUUGUAACCAUAGUUAGUUAAUUCGGAUUCGGCAAAAAUUCGGUACGGAUAUAAUUCGAAUAAAAUUCGUUUUCUAAUUUUUAAAUUCGUUGAAAAAUACGGCUAAAAAACGGAUUUGUCAAUUAUUCGGAUACGUGAUUUAUACGGAUAUUAUACGUUCACCAAUUAAAAAUUCGGGAUCAAAAAUUCGACUAUUAAAUUAAAUUUGUUUUCUUUAAAGAUUUAUACUAUUAGUAUAAAUAUUUAUAUUUCUUAAGAAUAUAAGAAUAAAGAGCUACAAAAUUAAGUUAAUCAAGUAAAAAAAAAUAGCAAACUGUAUUAUACCUGAAAAUAAAUAAAUAAAUAAAGCAAAUAAGAAAUUAAGAUAGUCUAUAAAAAAUUAAAUUAUUUUGAUAGAGUGAUUUUUUUUUUUUNUCGCGAGCCGCGAGGCCGCGUCUUUUUGGCGAGCGAAUAAUUCGGCGUGCGAAUUAUUCGCGAAUUCGUAUUUUUACCCAAAAAUACACGUUUUUUUUCCGAAUUUUUCGGAAAAAUACGAAUUCGUCCGUUUAAUUCGUUUUUCCAAAAAUUCGCGAAUAAUUCGCGAAUAAUUCGCGAAUUAACUAACUAUGAUUGUAACACAAAAUUAUGCAAGGUGUACAAGGGAGUGGAGAGGGUGCACAUGCCAUGUACUAUCAUUUUCGUCAUCAUCUGUGCAUCCACCCAUCACCGAGUGAGAGGGAGGCAGACGGGAAGACUGGAAGAGGCAAAGAAAAGGCGGCCGAGUCGACAGGGAGCAAAGCGUGGCCUGCCAUCACGUGGCUUAGUUGUUAUGCUUUGAGUGCUGUUCCUCCCUCAACUUCAUGGUCCCCCCCCCCCACAUUGUGUUAUGGGUUUUGGGGGAUAUCGACUCCGCUAACCCGCUAGCAACAGCUAGCCCGAUCGCGAAUCCGUUUCUAGCUUACUUCAUUUCUGUUAGCUUAAAUGGGUUAGCAUCCUAUCCUGUAGAGGGAGGCUAUGUUAGGGCAAGUCAUAUUCAAAGUGGCGUGAGAUUGGAUCGGUCGAAUCAUGUUCGAAGUGCCGUGAGGCUGGUUGGGCCGAGUCAUAAUCGAGACUUGUGGGCGCUGUAUCUAUACACCUUAAGUGAAUUGAUUCCGUAUUUCUAACAUCUCGAAUUUUUGGGAUUAAUGGUUAGCGUCAACGAUCCGACAACUUCGAUCUUGUAGUUAGUCAAAAGUUGAGUAAAGUAGAACAUCUUAGGAUUAGAAAAAUCUCAGUCAACUUGUAAUUUCGUUUUCUCAAUAAAUACAAACUGUUCGGCUCAUUCAGCCGAGUUUGGUUUUGGGCCAGUUGUGAAUAGUUGCAGAAGAAUCCGAUUGAGUCGAUCCUUUCUCAACCAAGUAAGUUGCUAGUGGCGCAUCCGAGGAUCAUCUUAGGAUUAACCGACUCACAUUCCGAGAAAGAACUUGACUUCAUCUUCACUCUGAUCCGGUCAGUGUCGCAGUGCUAGGCUCCAUACUAAGGUGUGUCAGCCUCAGCCUCGCUCUAGAAAACUUCUCAUUCAAUUUCAUCUUCAAAAGGCAAUCACAGAGCAGCUCAAGGCUAGCUUACGAAUUUGAGACGCUAUGUCACCGUUAUCGUUUAAAAUUAAUUGAGAUCGAUGGGAUAUGCGACGGUAUUGUAGUAGAGGUAUUGAAUCACUCCGAUUCCAGAGGCUUAUGUGUGGAGCUUGUUGUAUUGGACCAUCUUUGAUUUCAAUUUAGCAUAACAUCUUAUUUGAACCACAUGAUGAUGUAUUAUAGUUAGGUCGAGCCAUUUUGUGGUAGCAGUGUUCUAAUUUGCUUCUGACUUUAGGUGCCUCAGUUACUGUGUAGGCUUGGUGAGUUAAUGCUGAGGUGGGACCAUCACUUGUUUCGAUUGCAAUUUUUGACCAAACUAGUAUACUGUAACAUUAAAAUAUUAGAUCUAGAAUUAAAAGCAUAGGAGCCUAAUUAAUUGGGAGUUACACAACUGGGGUCUACAUGCAUAUGGGCGAUAUAAGUUAAUCAAAAGUCCGAUGAGAUUUAAACUCAGAAUCUCUUGUUCUUUUAUUAUUUUAAAUGGACAAUAUUUCAUUUCUUCAAUUGUUUGUAAUUUAAAAUUUUGGUAAAGUGUGACAUGAGCUUUUAAUGUUUGAGAUGUAUCCAUACCCGUAUUGUAGGUGUGUCACUAAUGAACUAACCGGGAACAUGUUUGUCUCAUGGAUAUAUAUAUAUAUAUAUAUAUAUAUAUAUAUAUAUAUAUAUAUAUAUAUAUAUAUANUUAAAUAUUCGCGCUUCCGGUGGCAUGAAUUUUUUUGCAUCCUCGGAUUGAGAGAGAUAGAGGUAUAUAUAUAUAUAUAUAUAUAUAUAUAUUUUUUAAUGAUGGAACAUUUGAUUUGACGAUCAACUUCAUUAAGCAUGAUCUAUAUUAUUAAAACUAUUUAGAAUUUAAAUGUGGCUAAAUUACAUAAAACUUCUCUGUCAAAAUCAGAUUUCGCUUUUCCCCCAUAUCAUUUAAAAAUCUAUAUUUUGCCCCCUUGUAAAAUAAAAAAUAUUCACAGGGGGUACGGUAUGUACUGUGAUGAUAAAAUGACCAUUUUGUCCCUCACCAUUUUUGUCUCCUCCCUCAUCUUCCUCAACAGCAGCCUCGAUCGGUCGCGGUUCACGUCUCGAUCGGCAGUUUUUCUCCAUUUUCUUCUCCACCUGCUCCCCUUCUCCUCCUGCAUCCUCGCCGCCCCUCGAUUUCGGCGACAAUAGAAAGGAAAUCGAGGUGGGCGUGGAUGGAGAAGUGGGUAAUGGCAACAAGGGCGAAGGCGAGGCGGCGGAGGAGGGCGAAGGGGUGUUUGUUGGCGUAGACGGAGAUGUGGGCGAGGGCGAGGCAGUGGAGGAGGGCGAGGCGGCGAGGCGGCAGAAGGCAAAGCAACAGGGAAGAGGGCGAAGGGGUAUUUUUGACAUAAAAAAAAAUUUAUAACAGAACCCUAACGGAUCACUAACGGUAGGGGCGAAGUACACAUUUUUUAUUUUACAAAGGGACAAAAUGUAGGUUUUUAAAUAACAGAAAAAAAGGUUAAAAAUCGAAUUUUAACAGAAGGGUUUUCUGUAAUUUAGCCUUUAAAUUUUAUAAUUUUUUGACAUUAUGUCUAACGGAUCUAAUUGUCAAAUCGAAUGUUUCAUCGUGGAAAAUAAUUUACAAACGCAGAGACCUCUAUACUUUCGAAAGCGUAGGAGACGUACUCACUCUCUCUUUCUCUCUCUCUCUAUAUAUAGCCAAUAUAUAUUGGACCAAAUCAUUGUUUGGGAGCAUAAUAAGUGAAUAUGAGACACAUAUUGAUAUUAACUUUAAAUCAAUGAAACAUGUUGCGUGCUUUUCUUUCUCAAAAAAAAAAAAAAAACUUUAGAUCAAAAGCUUAUAUGAUCUUGCUCUUUUUAUUAUUUUUAUUAGAUUAUAUCUCAAAACUACCAUCAUUUAGGAAUAUCUUAUAUGCCCGUUUUGUAAUUACUAAUAAACAGUAUCUUUAGCAUUUAUUCUAAUGUUAUUAUGCUCGCAUAUAUAUGUGUAAAUAUAUUGAAAACUUAAAGAUGUAUAUUUGAUUAUAUAUUAAUCAAUAACAGUUUCUAAUUAUAAGAUUACUAAAUAAAGUUAAAGUGGGUGAGCGACUUAUUAACACAAUAAAUUUUUUGGAAGAAUUACAAAUUAUUUAAAUACAUUUAUUAACUUAGCUGUGAAAUUAAUUUGAUAGAGUAUUAAAGCAAGAGAUAUAAAGCCAAAAAACAAUAAUAAUAAAAGGAGAAAAUUGGAAAAGAAUAAAUGUACGAAACAUUGUGCCUACCCCACUAAUAGUGUCGUACACCUUAAUUACUUGUCAACAUUAUAUUUUGUUAACAUUAAUAAAGUUUGGACACAUGCUUUGUACGGAAAAUAUUUGGUACUCUUUUUAUUUUAAUGAAAAAUAUCUCUCAUUAGGAAAACUCUGCAAACUUGCGUAAUACUAUAAAUUGCUAAAUAAAUCUCGAAAUAAUAAUCAUAUUUUCUCUGAAUAUUUAUAUAUUAGCUAUUUCAUUAGUCGGGCUAAUAAACUGAAACUUUUUAAAAAAUAAUAAUGUUUCACGCAAGUGAUAUAAAAAUAAUUGUACGAUCGUUACAGAUACGACAAUAAUGAAUAUAUAGCUAGAGCCUAGAUGAUCAAUAUUAUUUUUCAGCUUAUUCCAAUUCAUAACACAUGCAGGGUGUUACAUCAAGUUUCAAGCUUUUAUAUAUAUAUAUAUUUCAUAAUUUACCUAAAGGGCUUAUCAAUUGAUUUGAUUCACCACCAAUUUGCAACAACAACAACAAUAAAGCAACAAUAUUUUCACUGGUCCUUCAUUUGACCUGUCCAAAAUGCAGCACCAAAAUAUUUUCCAAACAAAAAUUAGAAUAGAAAUAAGUGCUUGUGGCUCAAAAUUAGAACAGAACUUGCACAGUUGCGCUGAGAAGCUAUUAUAGAUUUUCGAAUAAAAUUCCAGUGCUUUUUCGAAUGUCUUUACUUAUAUAAUACAAAAAUUGCCUUUACUAGUAAAUUCUCUGUAAUAUUGUUUGAGAAUUAUAAUAGUAAUUUUGUACGAAUUCAAGAAAAAAAAAUCAUACCAAAUAAGGCUUCGUCUAAACGUAAGACUUAGAGACUGUUUAUAGAUAGCUUGUUCUGUAAUCAUACCAAAUUAAGAGUAUCCAGAGAGAUGUCGGUAGAGAUAAGUGAUUGAUCAACUAAAACAUCAUAAUUUAUCAUAAAGUUGCAUUAGUUAAGUCGUAAAAGUUUACAUCAUUGAUGUUGAUUAGUCCAUGUAGUUAGUUACUGUUUCAUAUUUGCAUGUUCUUAGGCUUUGGAGAAUUAAUUCUACCUAAUGUUAGGGUCCCACUAUCCGAUGGCUCGUCGACGCCUCAACUAUCUCAUAGAAAGGAGAACAGUUGCCCUUGCCUAUUAUGAAGUGCUCGAUCUAUCACAAGCGACAAGAAAAUUUAAGACUUAAAGAUGCCUUAGUAUUGAGAAAAAACCGGUGAAGCUAACGAUCGAUUCAUAUCAUCAACAUAGAGCAACAGAAUAUGUGAGGCCAUUGCUUACAAAUUGCGAAAGGUUUGGUGCAUAAAAAAGACCUUUGCAAGAACUAUAUAGAACUUGAUAGUUGGUUAUAGUGAUAGAAACAGGAAAUCUAAAAGGUACUAUUUCUGGCGAGGGCGAUGUGAUCCUCAUGAGGGAUUUAAUUCGUGAGUAACUCUAUAAUGUACUUUAGAGGGGGGGGUAAAAAAACAUGAAAAAGGCAACUAGUUAGGGCAGUUUGAUAUUGAAGGCUAUCUAACGUUGUUGAGGGUUACAGUUAAGAAAUAUGUCUUUUUGUUUUCCUAUUGCGCUACAGACGCGACAGUUUUUAUGAAAACAAAUAGCAUGCUUUCUCGUCGUAUAUAGCAUAUUUUAUCUGCAAUCUUAGAUGAAGCCUUCGAACCGCACAAAAAUAGUAAUGGCAAAAGAUUUAUGGAUCUCAUUGAGUUGGAGCGUAAAAGUUGAUCUCGAAUACUUGAGGUUUGAUCAAGAGCUAGACUAUGGGCGGUUUGGUUAGGCUUAAGUUUGGGCCCAACAAAAGUAUUGAAUUUGGGUCAGUGAAACUUGGCUUCUACCAUUUUUUGGGCCUAAAUUUUGAGCUGCAACAACAGCUCACAAUGGAUUAAAUGAUAAAUAUUUAUUUUUAAAUUUAUAAGCAGUAUGGUUAACAAUAUGCUCGAGUCACAAUAAAUUUAAAAAAUAUCCUUAAUUAUAUUAUCUAAACAAUUCUUACAAAAAUACUAUAAUAUUUUUUUAAAAAUAAUAAUGUAUGGACAUUAAAUUAUUUUGACUAAUAAUAAGUUAAAAUGUUAAAAAAAUCUAAAUGUGAAUCUGAAAUUCAACUUUUUCGGUCAACUCAUAGUACUCAUAACAACGUGAUUUAAAAGUCAAUAUUUUUUCAUUAAUCUUAUGAAGACUGUUUUAAAGCAAAUUUCAGAAAAUUAUUUAUGGACCCUACUUAGGUGUAUUUUCUAAUGUGACGACCUAAUUUCUCAUAUGGUCACUCAUUUUAGGACUACUUCCGUCCUAAUACAUUUAACUCUUUUAAGGAUCUAGCCACCACCUAAAAUGCUCAAGCUGAAUUAAGAGUAGUAGCCUUAUUAUAUCAUAAUAUAGAACUAUAUGGGAUCUCACACCCCCUCCCCCCCCCUCCCCCUUCUAAACUCUGACAUUCUCGUUAGGCUCAGACUCAUAAAUAUCAGGAACCGACCUUAUGGAAGAGCCGCAUUUUACCCACAACAGUGAAUCAUAUGAGAGUCUCGUUCUCUCCGCUAUAUACUUCUGGCUCAGUCGAGACUCAUCUCAUACCAACUGGUAAUUGACUUUAAUACCAAAUAUAACGAUUCAACUUUCCAGAAGGUCACCUAUCGUAGGACUACUCCCAUCCUAGCACGCUUAACUUUCUUAACAUUUUGGACCUAAUCAACAUUCAAAAUGUUCAAACUGAGUUAAAAAUAUUAGCCCAAUUAUAUCAUACAUAAAUAUAUAGAACUAUCCGGAUUUCAUAUUUGUUAAGUAAUUGGAAAAUGAAUAGACAUUCACAUGCACUUAGGGAUGCAAACGGGGCGGGAGAGUUUCCCCACCUCCCGCUCCAUUUCUUAUCGGGGCGGGGCGGAUUCGGGGCGAGUUACUUUUCAUUUUAUUUUUGGCUCCCACUUACCGCUCCAUUCGGGGCGGAUCGGAGCGGGAGCCGGAUUUUUGACGGAUCGGGGCGGAUUGAAGGAAGAAAAGAGUCUCCCACCUCCCGCUCCAUUUACUUGGCGGAUCGGGGCGGAUUCGGGGCGGGUUAUAUUUUUUUAUAUUUUUUAUUCCCACUUACCACCCCAUUCGGGACGGAUCGGGACGGAGCUCCACCAACCCGGAUCCAUUUGCAUCCCUACAUGCACUAAAGAUUAAGAUUUUGACACGUGGGCCACAUUCUCAUUUCACGUCAACUGCUACUUCCCCUCACUCAAUAAUCAAUAUGGCAUCUGACACCUCACGUGUUAUGCAACCAUAGCUUUUUUCUUUUUCUUUUUUCGGUUAUAUAUUGCCACUAUUUUUUUUGUUUUUUUGAGAAAGAUAUUGCCACUAUUAUUAAAGCCCAAAUCCUUUGUGUGAUGCAAUGCAUGAUGUCUUUUUAGCAUAUACGUAUAAGAUCCUUUAAACCAUUGGUAUUCCACUAUAGAAUUCAAAAUUAGAUUUUGUUAAAGUUAAAUUAUGAGCUCUUUUUUUAUUAUUUUUUUUAUGGAAAUCAUCCCAUUUAUGACGAGUAGGUUGCUUCCAACAAGAAGGAAAAAAAUUAAAUAAAAAUUCUAAAUGGUAUCAUGAUUGGUAUGUGUACGUGCCUAAGUAAUCGAGUUUAAAAGGGCAUUAGAUAAAAGUGUUAAUUCAUAUAGUUCCUUGCAAAUAUAGUAAAUAUGUAGUGAAUGAGAAAUAUAUUUUUACAAAAUUCAACUUUCAUAUAUUGUUUCUAUAAAAAUUUUGAUAUUUUCAAAUAUAUCCCUACCGUUAAAAUCGGUUAGAAAAAUUUAUUUAACCAUAGGUUAAAUAUUGAAGCUUGAUUAGUUUUUGAUAUUUUUACCCUUUUAUAUUAUACUGUUAUGGUUUUUAGAGGAACAUAUUUGUGAUGACAAAAUUGAAAAUAUAAACGAUUCUUUAACAAUAACAAACCAGAGAGACAUUUGAAAAUAUUAAAACUUUUAUAGGGACAAUAUAUGAAAGUUGAACUUUGUAGGGAUAUAUUUGUAAUUCACUAUAUUUGUAGAAAUCUGUAUGAAAUUAAUUCUAGAUAUAUAAAAUUGUUUGUUUUGUAGUGGUGUACCUUACAUAAACAAAUGAUUACAAAAUGAAUGGUCUAAACUAGUGAACUCCAAGCAGUGAGAUACAAGAAGAGAAAAAGGUGAGAUCAUGCUGCCAAUCCGAGCUCACAAGUUGGAGUGCAGUGAUAUGUUACCCACUUCAUUCAUUAGAAAAAGUUUGUGGGUUUCACAAUCUUAAUUUUAGAGAUUUGAAUUGUCUACCACCCACGGGGUUGCUGAUACAACUGUUAGAUUUUUAGCAGAAUUAAUCUGUGCCACCUAUAUUGAACAGUGCAGGAUAAUUAUACUAAAAAUCAAUGGCGGGAUGAAUCUUGUGAGAAGAAAAUCCUGCACACAGAAUUGUAAGCUUUUGCUUCCUUGAUUUAGUACCUUAUCUGUCCGAAGUCAAAAAACCGAUCUCAAAAUGUUCUAAAAAUUCAUGUUUCCAGAGAAUCCAGCUACAGAAGAACCAGGAACAAAGAGCUCUCCCUUUUGCCUGCUUGAUUCGUUGGUCGAUAGGAGGAUCUCGUCAGUUGGUGGAUGCAGAUGCAAAUUCAAUCCAACUUCAGCCUUGUCCAAUGGACCAAUAUGGGCCAAAUGGGCUCCAUUUAGCCCAGACCACAAUUCACACAGGCCCAUUACAUUUGAUGGGCUUAAACACAUUAGUCUAGACAGGGUUGACCGGGUCGGAUCCCCAGUGCUUUGAAAAUUUGACCCGGUUGGACUUUGCACGGGUCUAAUCAAUACCAUAUUUUAGGCCGAUGUUAGGACACAUUCGGUUCGUAAUUGAAAAAUAAAAUAAAAUAAAAUUUGAUUAUAUUAGAGUAAAAAGUAAAAUAAUAUAUCAUUCACAAUUUUGAAUUUAUUGUUGAAAUGAAAACCAAAACAAACUAUUGGGAUAUUUAUGAAGUAAAAGAAAAUUUUGAAUAAUUUACCAAUUAAAAAUUCAAAAUUAGAUUGAACUAUAAAUUGCUGGGACCAUUCCGAUUCUAGAAUUGAAUGCAAAUUAAAAUCUGUUUUCACUAAAAUAAAUAACAACUAUCGAACUCAAUUGAUUUUAUUUUGAUUGAGGGCCUAAAAUCUAAUGGUUAAUGCAUUUUUAUUCUAAAAUAGACAGCAAACAUUAUAUACUAAAUCAAGAUAAUUAUAAAUACAAAGAUAAGAAUGGUAAUAUUGGGCUUGAUGCCGUUGACGGACAUAUUAAAAAGAGGAAAGGGACAAAAGUAAAAAAACAAAUAGAGUUUAAGGGAGGUAAAAAAAAAAAUUAAUUGGAAAAAAAGAGUGAAACUUAAAUUAGAAAAAUUGGGAAGAUAAGUCAGAAGAUAGAUGCACAUCGCCCUUCGUUUGCGCUCUCUAAUCUAAUAUAUAUAUAUAUAUAUAAUAAUCUAAUCUCCAUUCUUUGCUAUAUAUGAUAACUCCCACGGGUCUCCCCCUUUUCCCAUUUCGAGGCUCUCCAUUCAUUCGACAACGCCAAUAAGCGAAGAGAGAGAGAGAUAGAGAGAGAGAGAGAGAGAGAGAGAGGGGGAGAGAGAGAGAGAGACCUCGUCUCGCGAAGGAGAGGGGAUCGCACGGAGGAGGCGACGCCAUGAUGGAUCCCUCCAGCGGCGGCGGCGGCGGCGGCGGCGGAGGAGGAGGAGGAGGGGAAGGAGGAGGCGGAGCGGCGGGGGCGAUGGAGUCGUGGGCGGCGGAGGCGGCGCGGCGGUACCAGCACCUGCUCGACCGGGCGACGCCGCACGUGGGGCGGCGGUGGGUGGGGCUCGGCGCCCUCGCCCUCGUCUACGCCGUGCGCGUUUGGUUCGCCCAGGGGUUCUACAUCGUCUCCUACGCCCUCGGCAUCUACGUCCUCAACCUCUUCAUCGCCUUCCUCUCCCCCCAGGUCGACCCCGAGGUCGAGAGCCUCGGCGACGGCCCCGCGCUCCCCACGCGCUCCUCCGACGAGUUCCGCCCCUUUGUGCGCCGCCUCCCCGAGUUCAAGUUCUGGUGCGUAACCCCUUCAAAAUCGGUUCUUUCGAUCUGUUUGAUGCGUGAUCUCUGGUGGGCAGAGGAAGGAUUUGAUGUUCUUGUUUAUAAGUUUAGGGUUUUUAUGCGGUAAAAUUGGUGAUUUGACCUAAAUAGAUUAGUACCAGGACAUGAUAAUGCGGAUUGAGCAUUCCAGGGUACUUGCAGUUUGUGGGAGUUAUGUGAUAUCGGCAGAUCUAGGAGGGAUUUGCUUGAAAGCUGAAUAAUUGGCGUAGAAAUGAAAACUUUGUAGCUUGGCCCGGGUAUUGAUUUCUCCCUGGAAUAGAUAUUGGUGUUCUUACAUCUUAACAUUAGUUAUGUUAUCUUUUCUCUUUCUUGUGAGGACGAUUUUUCAGUUUAGGAACGACAGCUCUAUGUCGGAUCUCCUGGUGUUGCUAACUCUCUUUGCUACAUGGAGUAUGAUGGGCAGAAAGAAAUAGAAUUAAUAGGCGUAAAGAUGGUCAGGAGAGUUGAAGAUUAAGCCUGUUUCUGCAUCCGCGUUUACUUGGAAUUUUAAUGAAUUGAAAUUCGUGUAAAUGCGUAUGUUCUUGCUUAUUAUCAUUGUGCUUAGGAUGUGCAACCUCUUGUAAGGCCUAAUCAGGAAAUAUAUGUUGCCCAUAACACUAAUGCUUUGAUUCUUUAGAGGGUCUAAACACUUCCAUUAUCAAGCUUUUCUUCUCUAAUGCUAUGAAAUAAUGUUGGCACCAGAGAAGCAUUUGGUGUAACGUGCUCUCAGGGUGAUUCCGACGACAAUAUUUGAGCAUCAAAGGAGGGAAGUUCUAAAUUUCUUUUAGGCCCUUAAAAGUGUCAGAGUCGAUGGGGAAUUUUUAGGCCCUUAAAAGUGUCAGAGACAAUGCACCACAUUUCCAAACGGGGUCUGCUAGAAGCUUUUCAUUACAAAAUGUUGUUGUAGUUGUGAUCCUAGUUAGCUACCUUUGUACAUCGUUGAUUUAUUGAUUUUAUGUUCUUAAAAAUGUCUUAUUAUUAGUCAUGCUGUUUAGCUGCUCUUUUACAAUAUUGGUUGUUUGGUUUGAUGGAGAUACUAAUCUAUCUGGUCCUUGUCUGCUUAUUUUCUAUGUUGAUGUCUAAAUCUGUUGGUGCAUUAUCAUUCCAGCCACUUCUGAAAAGAAAUUUAUGUUAUUUGUAAACACUGUCUGAUGCUUGCUUGUUGUUUGGGAUGCUUGCCUGAGUUGGGUAGUUAAUUGAUUAAUUUGUCUCAUCAAAAAUAAAUUUAUGGUCGACCAAAGUAGGUUUUAUAAAUGGAUAUAAACGAUGACUAAAAUUAGAAUUCAUUAGCAAUUCUAUUUUGGCUUUAUUUUACCAUGCAAGUUAUCCAGCCGAAAUAACCACUAAAUGGGAGAAAAUGAGUGGAAAGUUCAACAAACUGCAAGAUUACAUCACAAGAAAAAGUCUAAUCUCAUAUUUCCUUCUAAUGCCAUUCUCAGGUUCUAUCUUGUCCUUGUUAAUACUAGGUAAUUUAUAGCAUCCUUAUCCUGGUGAUGCUUUCUCAUAUCUAACCAAUAGUUUUAUCAUCCUUACCGUGUCACUUGGCAUUUCUUUCUCAUAAGCGGAUGACUAUUGAAAUGAGGGAAAAUAAUCUCAAGUUUUAAGUUCUCUACUAGAAAAGACAUAAGAUGGGCAUAUAUAAAGAUUAAGAUUCUCACUUCUCCAAUAAAAAGUUGAUCAGUUGCCUUAGUCAUUAUGUGAUUAGUUAGUGGUUGGUGGUGCUUGAGCUUCUACUCUUUGAUUAAGCUACUUUUGUGUCCUGACAGCCCUUCCAGCUGCAUCUUCAAAUGCAAUUUAUCAACAGUUCUGCAUGAUUUUUUAACUUAACCGGUCUCUUUCUUUCUUUUGCUUUUUUUCUAAUCAUCGAAAUUUGUUUCUCUUAGGCAGGAGAGAUUAUGCUUGGCCGUCGUGCAUGCCCUUUCUUUGUGUAGUAGUCCACUUUGUCAAUUGAUUUAUUGACCUUACAAAGGCUGUUGAGUCGUUAGAGCUAUCUGUACUUUCAUAACUAGGUGCAAUUAAUAACUUUCCAUUUUCUCCUGUGCAGGUAUUCACUUACUAAAGCGGUAUGUAUCGCUUUCGUGGCGACAUUCUUUAGUGUGUUCGACGUGCCAGUGUUUUGGCCGAUUCUACUUUUCUAUUGGUUUGUGUUGUUCACGGUCACAAUGAAGCGACAAAUUCUUCAUAUGAUUAAAUACAAAUACGUUCCUUUCUCCUUUGGGAAGCAGGUAAGUCGAGCUCAAUAUUAAUUAGAAAAUCUUCUAGUUUUCUAUCACGUUUAAUUUCUUAAUCUUUGGCUUUCUUUUUCAGCGCUACACUGGGAAAAGGGCAGCUUCUGUCGACACCGAAAUUCUUCCUAAAGAUUAAAUAUUACCAUUGGGAUCGAAAUGCUAUUCUUAGAAGAUAGCUUUGCAGGGUAAUCCAGAGUUAAAAGAUGAUUUACUUUUUCUCAGAUCGAAGGAUUAGUGAUUUUCUUUUCUAGUAAACAUUUGGUGUCAAAAGUAAAGACUGGGAAAACCUUUUGGGAUCCCGAACUUACAGCCAGCUUCAGGAAACCAGUUAUAUCUCCCCCUCUUUUCUUGUAUCUGAUUUUGUUAAUGCAAUAUCAAACCAAGCAUAAGUUUUACUGUAUCAGAUAAUUGGAGGUGGCUAAAUAUGCCAACUCUUAGUUCUAAUUUAUCGCUCUUUGUAAACGUUCCUUGUACUGAGGUAUUGGGGAAUGAUCAACUCUUUAGAAGAAUAAAAUUUGAGCAACAUCCUCGAUCAAACCUGGGAUUUCUCAUGUGUCUUGCUGCAAGCAGGAAAGUUCGUAUGUUUUCUUUCAUUUCGUAUAAUAGUUCAGGGAAUUUCACUUGAUUAGUUCGUCUCACAGUUGAUUUAAUUGCGUGGAAGAAUCUAAGUUGUUGAACCUAUAAUUUUGAAAUCAUAAUAUUUAAUUAAUGGUACAUACAUAUUUAAUGGUGCAUAUUGUUGAUUCAAAAUAUCUUUAGUUGGUACAUCACCUGUAAAUCAUAUGUACGUAUACUUUCCCACCGCAAACAAAGAUCACUUCCUCACAAUACACACGGACAGGUCGGUAGUACUAGUACAUGAACCCUCCUUAGUCCUUACUCGCCUAAUCGAACGCGACGGUAUCACACAUGGCCUUCGCCGCCGCGCUCCUCCUCGCGCGAGGCGCCCCGCUCCUCCUCCUCCGCUGGAGCGCGCGCGCCCCCCGCGCUGGCGCCGGGGCCGCCGCGCUCGGGGCGGCGCGCCGUCACCUCUCGGCGCUCUCCACCGCCGACGACCUCCCUCCGCCAGCGCCGCCGCCGCACGUCGACGGCGGGGUCGGCGCUCCGCUCGGGGCCAAGGGCCCCGCUCCCCCCUCCCUCUCCAAGGCCUGGGCCGACGAGCCCGGGUUUCGCCGGUGGAAGGAUAAGGAAGCCGAGAUCCUUAGCGACAUCGGGCCCAUCAUCGCCCUCACCAAGAAUAUACUCCACUCCAACAGGUACCGGAGAGCUCGAAUUAGAAUUAUGGUGGUAGGUCAUCGGGUAAUCCUUUUUUGAGAAAGCGGAUUCCUCAAACAGUGGUUUCUAAUGGCGUUUCCUGGACUCAAAUGUCCUGAUAAAUUGAUUGGAGAAUCGAUCUCCCUUUUUCUGCAAUCUUUCGUGGCAAUUGAGAUUACUCACGCUAUAUGAUAUGUAUGUCGAUUGCAUUCUUUUUCGGCGAAGCCAACAGUAGAAAAAGUGCUUUUUUUCUCUGUACAAAUGAAGCUUUUUCUACACUUGUUGGUUUGCACCACUAAUCAUCUACUACUUUGGCAUGUUAUGGGAAGCUUUAUGCUACAGAACAUGGAAGUGAAGCACUAGAGAGCUCCACGAACUUUGUGUGUUACAAAAAUGAAAAUGCUUAAGAUAAGAAGGCAACUUAAACUCUAAAUGCGGAAGCCAUGAAAAGGGCACGGAAGCUAAAGACGACUUGAGUUGAAUUUAGCGAAUUGGAAAAUAUAUGUAAGUUUUGCAGCUUGUGCUCAAGCAGCUCAUUAACCGAAAGCUUUUAGGGAGCAAAGUGAUAACUUCGACCUGGGGAGUCCCAUUCUUCUAGGAAUCACGAAAAAUGAAAAAUCAGUGAUAGGCGGUCGCACUAUGUGAAUGUACUCAACCAAGUUACGUAUUUCAUAGUGCGAGAAGCAUAAGACUUAGGUGUGAUACCUGUAAAUUUUUACAAAAACAGAUGUCAUGAGAUGACGAGAAAAACUAAAGUAUCACUGCCUGAUGAUUCAGUGCAAUGAUGCUUCAGUUUGAUUGUUGGUAAACGUCGAGGAUUUUCUGAAGACUGAGCAAAGAUGAGGAAAUUGGUUGUAAAUUUUCCAUUUUCCCUUGGAGUUGGAUCAUCUGGAAACCAAGCAAGUAAAACUUGCUUAUAGGUUGCUUACGAAUUGAAGCAAAAGAUUUUUCAAGGCGGUGUAUGCGGAGGCCAGGAAGAUCUGCAGUGUUACUACUCGUCGAGUCGCAAUUUUCACAAUGUUGUAUGGUCUGCCACAGUUUAUUCUACCCUUUUAACUGACUCAUUUUGCAGCAGAUACAGGGAUGGUGAACAUCUAAGUGCAGAGGACCAGAAGGCUGUUGUAGAAAAGCUUCUCGCCUAUCAUCCACAUUCAGAGGAUAAGAUUGGUUGUGGCCUCAACUCCGUAAUGGUAAGUCCCCAAUUCAUGAUCUUGCAUAUUUUCUCUUGAAUAUUAGCUGUACAAUCUUAUAACAUUUUACCUGUAUUUUAGUUGUUUUAUAUUCACACAAUUUUGUUUAUUUGCACAGAUUCGUAUGAAUAAAUGUAGUUCGUAAUCAAUAUCACGUUGUGUGCCUUAAUUAAACUGGUAAAAUAUUUGAGCGAAAAUGAAGGCAACUUCAGGGCCCAUUUAAUUGAGCUGCAGUGUGACAUUGUUAGAUGACAUUCAGUUGCUCGUUCUUUUUUGUGCCUGCCUUAUUUCUCUUUCCCUUGUUUUUUUUAUUUUUUCUGCAUUAUCAGCAUCUCAUGCAGGGAUUUUCAAUCCAUUGGUUAUGGAUGAAAAUACCACAAAAUUUAGAAAGAUUUAAGCUGUGGACUGUUAAAUAUUAAUAUACAUGUACGAUUUUUUUAAAGCUUGUGCAUCUUCCUUGCCUUUUGGCAUGAUUGACUACUUUAAGUUAGUGUUUGCCAAUUUUGUUAAAAAGGUUUUACCAAAAAUCCUUUUAAAUUGAACAUGAACUUUCACAUAACUUGUCUUCUUUGUUUCUUUUCUUUUUUUUUUUCUGUAUUUAGGUCGACAGACAUCCACAAUUCAGAUAUUCAAGGUGCCUCUUUGUUGUACGAAAUGACGGUGGCUGGAUCGAUUUCUCAUACCAGAAAUGUCUUCGAGCAUACAUCCGAGAGAAGUAUCCAUCUCACGCAGAGAGGUUUAUCCGAGAACAUUUCAAACGGAACUGAAGGUGAGGUGAAACCUGUCUUAGGGGUUCUUGUGAUGGCUAGCAUAGUAAUUUGCUGAUCUUUUAGCUCACCAUCUUCAAUCAUUCCCAGGCCGUUGAAAUUUAGAGUUUGGAUGUAUGAACUAGGCUCCAAGGAAGCACAAUUUUAUGAACUGGAUAGUGCAAAAAUUUAUCAGAUUAGUUAUCUGUUUUGCCUCUAAACUAUUUCUCUAUAUCAGAUUCACCGAAUGCGGAAUUAUUUGCUGUAUCCUGUGACUUUUGUUAAAACUCGGCGAAAAGCUUAUGCAAAUUUGGUUCUUCGUACUCUGUAUUACACCUCUGGACUCUUUUUGUUGUGUAUUUGAAAGCGAGAAAAAAAGUUUAAAAAAAUAAAAAAGACAGAGAAUCACCCUUGACUUUUGUGGAAGCUUUUACGUUUGUCCCAAUCUUUUUAUUGUGGGGAUGAAAUCGUAUUUUGUUCUUAUAUCCUGUUUACCCUUGAUUGAUGAUAUUAUAAUAAUAAUGUGUGAAAGUAAUUCAGGCUAAAUUACACUUUUAGUCCUCAAACCACAAGGCGUGUAAAAUUUUAAUUUAUUAUAAUUUUUAACAUAAGUUUUUAAAUUAAGUUUUAUAAUUUAAUUUAUAGUUUAUUAAAUGCUGAUAUAUAACCGAUGUGUAGGUAAUAUUAUAUUUGGAGUACAGCAACUUAUAGAUUCCUUUAUACUCAUAAAUUUUCAAACAUAAAAUUUCGGCCUUUGAACGAAAAAUGUGAUGUUAGGAUGAUUAGUGAUUUUCGGUUACGGUGAUAAUGGUCUUUUAGGGUUGAGUGGAUGAUUGUUGAAUAGUAUAAUUUAACGGAUGGAAUUGAUUAAAGAGAUAAAUUUAACCGUUAAAAAUUUAUGAAUAAAAAAGGAUAUAUAAUGAUAAGAGUAUAAUAGUUAGACUCAUUUCUAUUUUUUGUAUUAUUAUUGGAUUAUCAGUAACAGUAUCAUUAUAUAUUUAGUUGGAGGACCAAUCGUGUAAUUUUGCCCUGCUGACUUCUUCAGCUCUCUGCUGCCGCACCCCGGACGAUAUUCUUUCUCCCUCCCCAACCCGACGUCCCUCCUUCUUCUUCUUCUUCUUCUUCUUCUUCUUCUGUAUCUCUCUCUGCUCUUCAUGACCGCAUGAGAUGGGCCAGAGCCCACCCCCACUCUCUUCUCCGGAGAUCCAACCCCCAUCAUCUGCAUCUCCUCCUCCACCCCAUCGCCACCAUCUCCCUCUCCGCCGAGCUCUCCCUGACCGAGUCCCUCGUCUCCCUACUCCACUCCCUCGUCCGCAGCGGCGUCGUCUUGCUCGCCAUGGCCGUCUACAACCGCAUGAUCAAGUCCGACUGCCGCCCCAAUCGCGCCACCUACAACAUCCCAAGGCCGUCGAGGCCUUCGCCCGCAUGCCCGACUUCGGCGCCCGCCCCAACACCUUCGUCUUCAACACCCUCCUCCGGGCCCUCGUCCGCAGCGGCGUCGUCUUGCUCGCCAUGGCCGUCUACAACCGCAUGAUCAAGUCCGACUGCCGCCCCAAUCGCGCCACCUACAACAUCCUCAUGGACGGCCUCUGCAAGGCCGGCAUGGCCGACGACGCCCUCGCCCUGUUCGACGAAAUGCUCGGCCGAGGCAUCCCCCCCAACACCGCCAUCUACACCGUGUUCCUCUCGUCCCUCUGCAAGGCCGGUAAGCUCGACGAGGCGAGCGGCCUCUUGCACUCCAUGAGGCGCAAGGGGUGCGGCCCCGACGCCAUCACGUACAACGCGUUGCUGAGCGGGUUCUGCAAGCUGGGCCGCAUCGACGAGGCUUUCCAGCAUUUGGAGUCGUUCCGGGAGGAGGGCGGUUUCGUUCUCGGAUUGAGCGGGUACAGCUGUUUGAUCGACGGCCUGUUCAGGGCGGGGCAGUUCGACGAGGCGUGUCGGCAUUACAGGGAGAUGCUGGAGAGGAAUGUGGCGCCGGACGUCGUCCUCUAUACGAUAAUGAUCAGAGGGCACGCCGAGGCCGGUAGAAUCGAGGAUGCUUUCGCGUUCUUGGGCGAGAUGUCUAAUCGCGGUCUAGUCCCCGACACAUUCUGCUAUAACACUCUCAUUAAGGGCCUCUGCGACGCGGGUUAUCUUGAUCGGGCGCGUUCUCUCAGGUUGGAGAUCUCGCAGAACGACAGGUUCCCCGACUCGGCCACGUACACUAUCAUGAUUUGCGGGCUGUGCAAGGAAGGUCUUGUUCACGAGGCGCAGCAAAUCUUCGAUGAGAUGGGGAAGCUAGGGUGCUAUCCGACGGUCAUGACGUUUAAUGCGCUCAUUAACGGUUUUUGCAAGGCUGGGAAGCUAGAAGAAGCCCGCAUCCUGUUCUAUAAGAUGGAGAUGGGACGAAACCCUUCUCUGUUCCUUAGGCUCUCCCACGGGGCCAACCAGGUCCGCGAUAGCGAGAGCCUUCGUCGGCUGGUCGAGGAGAUGUGUCAGUCGGGGCUUGUUCUGAAAGCGUAUAAGCUUCUCCGAGGUAUAAUAGACAGCGGAGUUGUGCCCGACGUUGUCACGUAUAACAUACUGAUCAAUGGCUUAUGUAAAGUGGGGAAUCCGGAUGGGGCGCUGAAGCUCUUCAAAGAGCUUCAAAUGAAGGGGCAUUCCCCUGACGCAGUCACUUACGGGACGUUAAUCGAUGGGCUCAUGAAGGCUCACCGAGAAGACGAUGCUUUCAUGGUGUUUCAGCAUAUAUUGCGGGGUGGGUCCACCCCUAGCUUGUCGAUCUACAGCACCCUCAUGAGAACUUUGUGUAGGAAGAAGAGAAUAUCGCAAGCAGUGAACCUCUGGUUGAACUACUUGUCUCAACAGUGCCAAAAUCCUCAAGAAGCUGGAGUAGUUGCAGCGGUGAGGAAACAUUUUGAGGACGGUGAGUUAGAAGAAGUAAUAAGAGGCUUAAUUGAUAUGGAUCGGAAACACGGUUCCGUUCGUCCAUUUCCGUACACAAUUUGGCUUAUUGGGUUUUGUCAGGCGAGAAAAGUCGAGGACGCUCUUAGGAUUUUUAACAUUCUGAGAGAGCUCGACAUUGACGUUACUCCGCCAAGCUGCGUCCUUCUUAUUAAUUGCUUAUGCAGGACUAGGGAUCUAUCCUCGGCAUUGGAUGUUAUGCUCUAUGCAUUGAGAAAAGGUUUCAAUUUUAUGCAACCAGUUGGCAAUCGCCUACUUAAGAGACUUUGUGUUGAUAACAGGAAGCAGGCUGCCAAAGCCCUCGCAUGGCGAAUGCAUCUUGCUGGAUACGAUAUGGACGCAUAUCUGCGGGAUACUACUAAAGUCCUAUUAUACAAUCAUUAGAAGUCUCUCUUGUAUUUUACUUACGACUUCACCGUUUCUUUCAAGACUGAUUGUAGGAUUUUCGUAUAAUUGGAAGAAGUUGCUUGGGUAAAUUACCCAUUUUCAAAAUGAAGCAGCUGCAGAGGGGGUACCAAACUUUGUAUGGUUGGGUGUUUUUUUGACCCCUACAGUAGUUUGUAACAUCAAUAAUAAGGUAAGGUAGUUGAUGAGGAUUUUUUUUUUUCUUUCUAAUUUAUUUCCUUAUAUUAUGCUCUCUCAUAAGUUUCUGAUUGCUCUUCUUCACGCAGUUUAAUAUUAUUUUGAAGUUGAUAUCUCCGUAAUCACAAAUUAGCAACCUUAGUAAACCUUUGAAAGUGUAUAUAACCACUAACUCGAAUUGCAGUUAUUCUGAAUUCAUCAGUCAUUUUUGACUCUAGAAUUUCCCCCUUCUAAGCAUUUCAAGAAUGAGAGCAUUCUCAGCCUCAUAACCCUAAUUCUCAAGUUUCAACAUUUACUACUGUAAUUCUUGUUCUUGUUUCUGUUCUUAGUCUCUAUGUUAGUUUUAACUCUAGAAUUUCCCCCUUCUAAGCAUUUCAAAGAAUGAGAGCAUUCUCAGCCUCAUAACCCUAAUUCUAAGUUUCAAUAUUUACUAGUGUAAUUCUUGUUCUUGUUUCUGUUCUUAGUAUCUAUGUUAGUUAAUGCUGAACUCUGUUCCUUCCGAGAUCAGUAUACAUUGCAUUGCAGUUUGCAAUUUCUUCAGGAGAUUAAUGCAGGGAAGGUCGAUUUGCGAUCCUCAGAGAAGCCGACGCAAUUGUUGAUACGUUUAGCGUAGCGAGCAUCCGAAAGCUAUACCUGAUUCGAGGUAAUCUUUUCGAGUAUCUGUCUUUGGGUUUUCCACUUUCCAGAGAAGCUGCAUACAUUCUAUCUGGUCUCUGAAGUUCUCCAGCAAGUUACAUAUUCUUUGUUUAGAGGUGCAAAAGUCUAAUGUUCUUCUGCAUCCAAGUUAGAGUACUUACUCCUCUGAAAAACAAAAUUCAGAGUAAUUCUACUGCUUUUUCUGCAUCCUUAUUCUGGUGGGAAUAAAAUAAAAAAUUCUAUUCUGCAUAACUGCACUCAUAUUCCAGAAAAUAUUAUUCUGAACAUAUGCUAAUGUACCCAAAAGAAAUACAUACCACCGAUGAAUUUUCGCUCUGAGAAGCUGGUUUUGAAAACUGCCAUCACCAUUGAAGUCGCCGACGAUAGUGCUCGAUUCAAAUUCAAAUACUUCAAAGCAAUUUUAGUUUAUUAUCUAUGAAAGGAUGAGCAUUUGCGUACUAGUUCACAAACAAUUGUUGAUUCCUAGUCUAGCUGUAGCGUUUUCGACUAUCAUAACUACCAUUUAUUUUGUGAGUUGUACAAAUUAUCCAGUUAAUUGUUACAUAUUAAGUUAGGUUUUUGACUCAUGAUAAUUUGAACUGGGGAAAUAAACACAUAAUAGGUUUGGUACAAGAAAAACAUACGACACGCAACACAUUUCUCCAAGUAAAAUGAGAUUUUCCAUAAAUAAUAAUCAAAUUGGGAAAAAUGCUAGGUGAUGAGGCUUAACAAGUUUCAAAUCGCGAAUACUUGCGCGAGAACGCAUAAUAUGCCUUAAAAAGUAUUGAAAAAGUUAGCAUGAAAAGUAGGGCUCCAAACACCCUAGAAUGUGUGGUAAUGAAGCACGGAAUUAAUUGGGUGAAGAGUUCAUUACAUGUCUAAUGUAUAGUAAAUUAUUAGAAAAAUAAUAAAGAAGAUACAUACUUUGAUGACUUUGAGAAAAGAUUUCUUUUUACAGACAAUUAAUAUAUUUUGCAAAAUCCAUACGACGGUACUUUUAAAAGCGAAAGAGUUUAACAUGCUUAUAAUUUUUUAGUCAUUAAAUUGCCGCAAAAUCAGCCCAACACUAGCAAAGAAAACUUAAGAAGACACAUCGAUAAUAGUGUUGUAUGAGUUUUAAGACGAGUUUUAAGAAAAUCUGACGGUUAAAAAGUUACAAAUACAAAUAUUUAUGAGCUCAACUCUCCAUAUGACAAGGAUUACGCGUAUUGAGAAAGAAAUGCGAUAAUUACAAAUAUACCCAGUUGAAAACCCCAGCACAUGUCUUCGGAUUUGUUCAAAUAUUUGGAUUGUGAGUAAGAUGGUAAAACCCAGGAGCAUGCAAUAACUUUUCCUUAAUUUGGUGGUUGUAGCUGUAAUUAACAGAACCACUCCAGUACUAGUCACAUGGUCUCUGAGCAACCCUAGCUACUGAUCAUUAACAGCUUCUUCCUUCUCCACUAACCCUGCAAGGUCAAUGCUAGGGCCCAGGUGUCACCUGGAUGUUUAUAACUUCAUCCAUAUGUUAAUAAAUUUCAUCUGAUAUUUUAGGUUACUUGUAUACAAUAGUCAAAAAAAAAAAAAAAAAAAAAAAAAAAAAAAAACUGCAUAUCAUGUAUAUAUAUCACCCAUGUUAUUCUACGCGAAAAUACUACGAAGUCAACCAACAACUUACCAUAAAUAACAAAAUCUCAUUAACUGGUUAGAAAUUUCAUGUAGAAUCACUGAUAAAGAGAACCAUCUUUCUGACUAUUAGAAGUAUAACUGUAAAAAGUACUAUAAAUGUGUCAUAUAAACUCGUCAACAUAUUAAGUGUUUAGAUAUUUUUUAAAAGUAAAAAAAUCUAGGUGGUCGUAGAUGUCGAGUUAAAGAGACCAACAUCUUAUCCUGUGGCGGAAGAUCAGAGUUAGCCGAGUCACGUUCGAAAUAGUGUGAGACUGAAUUAGAUCGAGUCAUGUUCGAAAUAGUAUGAAACAAGUUGGGCCUAGUCACAACAAUCGAGAAUUAUGAACGUUAAGUCUGUAGGCUAUAAGUAAUUUGAUUAUAUUUUUCUAACCACUUAGAUUUUGAGAUUAAUUAUUAGCGCUAACGAUCCGACAAUAGACUCAUACAAUUUAUUCCUCUGCUUCUUUAUAACGUUCUUCAAGGUCAAAAUAUUUAUGGCGCGCUCUUCUGCGCCUAAAAUGAUCCCCUUCAAAAUUUAAUGUCCUCUGUGCUCUGCUCCUCUUUCAUUACCACACCCCAACCCCUCCAUUUCUCCACACCCCUCACAUCACUCCACCACUUCUCCUCACAACACAUUUUUGUUCAACAACUAACUAAACCCCUCAAACACCACCACCACCACCUCCUCCUCCUCCUCCCCUUCUUCAUAUAUUCCACCCCCAUAAAUCCUCUUUCUAAAGCACACACAUUUUGUGUUGUCCCAAAUUUGCUACAACAUAAACCCCUCCCCAAAAACAAGAAAAAACACCACCAUGCUCAAUUCCACUCUCUUCCUCUCUUUCCUCCUCUUCCUCCUCCUACUGGCUUGUUCGAUCACGGCGCUUACGCCGGACGGCGUAUCGCUCCUCUCCUUCAAGUACGCCGUCCUCGACGACCCCCUCGCGGCGCUCGCCGACUGGGACUACGCCGACGACACCCCGUGCUCCUGGAACGGUGUCGUCUGCGCGGAAUUCCCUGCAAUCACCAACAGCAGCAGCAGCAGCAGAGUGAUCGGCCUGAGCCUCCCCAAUGCUCAAUUGCGAGGUGCCGUCGCGCCGGAGCUUGCGCUCAUAGAGCACCUCCGCCGCCUCGACCUCUCCGGCAACGCACUCGCCGGUCCGGUCCCCGCGGAGCUCGCGCUCCUUCCCAAUCUCACCACUCUCUCUCUGGCCAAUAACUACUUCUACGGCGAGCUCCCCGCCGGCGUGUCGGAUUCCCUCGAGGUGUUCGAUGUGAGCUCCAACCUCAUCAACGGCUCCCUCCCGCCGGGUCUCGGCACGGGGAGCCUCCGGUACCUGAAUUUGUCGCACAACCGGAUAAGCGGCACGGUACCGCCGGAGCUCGGUUCGGCGCUUCCCGCGAACGCCAUGAUCGACCUCUCGUUCAACAACCUCACCGGGCCAAUUCCACAGGCCGGAGCUUUCACCGCACAGAAUGCGGUUGCCUUUGCGGGGAAUCCCGGUCUUUGUGGCUCGCCGCUUAUCAAGAAAUGCGCCAUCUCCUCCUCGCUCUCCAACGCUCCUCCUAACAAUGUCUCCGCCGCCACGGCAACUCCCCCGGUGUCCAAGGCCUUUGCGGCGAUACCCGAGAGCCCGAAUGCGGAUUCCUUAGCUGGGAAUGGCGGCGGUGGGGGAUCGGCAAGGCCACGGGGGCUCAGGCCGACUACUAUAUUCGCGAUCGCCGCUGGAGAUUUCGUCGGAAUCGGAGCACUCUUCGUAGUGUUCUUGUACAUAUAUCAGGUGAAGAAGAGGAAGCAUGAGAGUGAAGGGAUUGAGACGAAGCAGGUUGAAACUGCCGCCGACGACGAGGAAAAUGUGCAAGAGCUCGGCGGCGGCGUCUUUUCAUGCUGCUUUAAAAAGCACGACUGCGGCUGCAGCGGCAGUGGCGACGGCGAUGGCACCGAAGAGAGCUCAGAAACGUCGGCAUAUGCUGCGGCGGAAGCAAUGAAAGGUGAUGGAGAGCAAAAGGCUACACUAGUGUCUGUCGACGGAGAGACGGAGAUAGAGCUCGAGACGCUACUGAAGGCGACGGCGUAUGUAGUCGGAGCCGCCGAGCGGGGAAUUGUCUACAAGGCAGUGCUCGUCGACGGGACGGCCUACGCGGUUCGACGGAUCGGCGAGGGGAGAGGCGACGGCAGCGACAGCAGCAGCGGCAUGGGGAAGUUUAGGGAAUUCGAAGCGAAUGUGCGCGCCAUCGCGAAGCUCCGGCACCGGAAUGUGCUUCGGCUCCGGGGGUUCUACUGGGGACCCCAGGAGAAGCUCCUCAUCCAUGACUUCGCGCCCAACGGUAGCCUCAACAACUACUCUUUCACCGGUAAGGACCUUUUUGCCCUUUUCAUUUAAAUGGAAAUAUUGCCGCGAACUAGGGAAAUUAUAGAUUUAUUUUAAGAAGUUUUUAAUUAUUAGGUAUUUUCAUUUAAAAGUUGUUUCCAUCGAUUAGCUGAUUGAUUAAAGUUGAUUUUAUCUAAUGAAAUGAUCAUUUUAUUUGUUAAUUAUUAGGUAUUUCAAUUCACUUUUUCCCCCCCACCCGUAUUUUACCUGUCAUUUCUUAGGCGUACCACCUCUGAGUUUUUAACUCUUACCCAAUUAUACAAAUCUUUAAUAUUUUAAAUAUUUGAUAAUUAAAACUUUGCGGUUAUAAAUAAUUACUUUUCGAAAUAUUCCCUCUUAGGAGGCACUUGGUUCUAUUAAGUGUUUGUACUGUUGUUUAACAGAUAAGGCGUGCUCGCCGUCCCCGUUCCACCUGAGCUUCGAAACACGGCUGAGGAUCGCAAGGGGCGUCGCGAGAGGCCUCGCAUUUCUUCACGAUAAGAAGCAUGUUCACGGCUACAUAAAGCCGAGCAACAUCUUGCUAGACGCCGACAUGGAGCCGCUGAUCAGCGACUUCGGCUUGGAUCGUCUGUUUUCUGUCAGCAGCAGCAGCAGCAGCAGCUCCAAGCGGAGCAUGUCGGCACGGAUAUUCGGAAGCAAGUGGUCUACAGCCGACCUCCCCGACCUAUCAAGCCCGUGCGGCGGCAGCUCUUCCUCGUCUGCCACGCCGUACCAUUCGCCAGAGAUGACACAGAAUCUGAAACUCAGUGCAAAGUCGGACGUGUACUCGUACGGAGUGGUUCUGUUGGAGCUGAUCGCCGGGAGGGUGCUUUCGGAGGUUGAGGUGUGCCAAUGGGAGUCCGGGUUUGCAGCACCACAAGCAGAGAAGAGCAGGGCUAUGAGGAUGGUGAAUCCAGCGAUGCGGGGAGCCGCCGAGGGGAGGGAAGAAGCUCUGCUCAGCUGCUUCAAGUUAGGGUUUUCUUGCUGCGCAGCGGCUCCGCAGAAGAGACCUGCUAUGAAAGAUGUUCUGCAAGUGUUAGAGAGGAUAUGCAUUUGAUAAGUUUAAUUUCUCCUCUUUGCCAUACAACAGUGGGAACAAUUGCUUCCAAAAUCUCACUGAUAAGCUAUUUUGCAAUUUGUACUUCACUGAAAUUGUAAAACUGUUCUCUUUGCCGCGGUAUGAUCCAAUAGCUUUAUAUGUGCUUUUCUCGCGCACCAAUCAACUUUUUCAGUACUUGUUUCCAUAAACAAAGCAACCACAUGAUAACAUUAUAAAAAGAGGUGAAAACAUACCUUCUACGAGCGAAGGAUGAUCCACAUUAGAUGUUCAUUUCUGACAAGUAAAAUUUUGCUUCUCCGGUGGUAGCUCACUAGAAUGUUAAACUUAAAGUAUCAUUGAGCUUGUUGCAUAGGAAAACUAUGUAAUAGCCUAUACAUCACAAUACAAUAUUAAACCGAACAACAUAAAUAACUUCUGAUACAAACAGUAACGCACAUUCCUACAUAUUUCCACUGAUUUCUUGCAUUAAACCAUAUUCAAUGAGUGAAUACCUGAUGCAAACCUAAGGCCUAGGACAGGAUGCUGCAUCAACUAGUUUCGUCCUCCCACUUACUAUUGCUAAUUGUAUAUUAGCAAUGAAUGGGUGAUAUACAAGCUUGAGCCCAUCAGUCCCCGAGUAAUCACAACAAUACUGCAAAUGAUAUCUUCCUCCUGGUCUUCCUUCUGACCAGUCGAAACUGGGUUCAAAAUUUCGAGGAAUAAAAUGAUUAGAGCAUCAUUUCUGAUAGAAUCACAAAGUUUCACGUUUUAUGAACCCGAGAUGAAAGGGAGGUGAGCAACUGCUGUAGGAAUUGAGAGAUGGAGAUUUUGCGCCGCUAAGUAUGCGAUGAUACCAGCAGAAUAACCUGCAAAUGCGAACCCACUCACCUGCAAAUAGGAAUAGCGUUGAAAUUUGAGACAGCAAAAAUUUGAGCAUCGGAAAAGAAAGAAAUCUAGAGAAAUCCACUUUUUGGAUCAGCAAAUUGUUGAGAAUUACAAUUACAAGUAGCUGGCAGUAACUUCACCUUGCGAAGAUACCAAAAGAAAUCCACCUUUUCCAUUCCCAUAAAUGCAACUCCCGCUGCAGAGCCAAUGAUAAGCAUAGACCCACCAGUGCCUGCACAGAAGGCGACGAGCUGCCAAAACUCGGAGUCUCGGGGAAAAGAAGUUAGAUCAUACAUUCCCAUUGUGGCAGCAACUAGUGGAACAUUGUCUAUAAUUGCCGAGACCACACCAAUCGCGGUAGCAAUCAGUUCAACAUUUGGAAUGUGAGCAUCGAGGUAAUUCGCUAAUUCCCUCAGAAUCCCGGCAGCCUCCAAGCUACCCACAAAACAAAGACAAUUAUUAGGAGCCAUAGUGUAUAAAAAUAUACUGUUUCGCUAACUAUUUCCAGGAAGAGAGAAUGUACAACUUGAUGUGCAUGCCAGAAAAUUCCAAACAUGUCUACAUAAUUAUGUUAAGAGGAUCACUAUGUCCUCUUGCUAAUCUGUAAUAUGCGGCAAGCACAACUUUCUAGCUAGAAAUAUAUAGAGUUAAAGGGCCUUUUCUUGGUGUGUGAAGUUUCAUUCAGAGAAAAUAUAAAGAGUCAAAAAAAUUUAAAUACACUAAUACAGAGUUUUGGCAGCAGUUGUUGUACGAUUUAUAAUUAUGAAUAAACACUUUGAACUAAGAGAUAAAGUAAUAAAUAGAUUAUAUUCUCCAACUAUUAUGUUCCAUCUAGAUCUUACCAUCUAGUUCAAGUACUUAUCUUUAUUAUGCAUUGAUCAGGAUGGGGUAACAUGCAUACCUGCUCACUGAAAGAAGGAUUCCCAAAAAGAAAAGGACUCCUUGUGUAUCGAUCCGCGACAAAGCCUGAGGCACUUUCAAUUUUUGCCUUCCAGAAUCACCAUAAUGAAUUGCAUCAGUUAAAAUCCAGAGAACUCCAAGCCCAAGCAGCAUGCCCAUGUAAGGGGGAAGGCCAGUAAGGGCUCUGAACACCGGAACAAACACUAAAGCUCCUAGUCCGACAGCAAAAACAAGUCGUCCUCGAGGAGCCAUCUGCUCGGUUGCCAACAAACCUGAAGAAUUCUGAGCUGUCCCAUUGACCUCACUAUAUUUUAAAAUUGAAACCAAAUGUCAGAGUAUACUGUUGAUAGAAAAGUCUCUUUGAACUGCUUUGUUGGCAAUAGCUAAUCAUUGAUCAAGUACCUAGUCAGGGACAUGAGAGCCAGUGGGACAGCCAAAGAGAGAACCGCGGGAACAAACAAGCCCUGCCAUUAAAAAAUAAAAAUAAAAAAUUUUAAAACAACAACAGCAUCCACAGAUCAAAGGCAGUGAAAUAUCACAAAGUACAGUUCCAUUCAUAGACAUGUUAUCAACCAUAUCACAAGCAUCCACAGAUCAAAUCAACAAAGGGAGAUCACAAAGGUAGUCUUGAGAAGUGUGCUAUUAUGUGAGAGUGUACUCCAAGGAUAGAAGAAGAAGAAGAAGAAAUUUGUUUAUAUUGUCAUAGUGAAAUACCCAGUGCACUAAAUAUAUACAAUGAGCUUUCCUGACUUCUAUCACAAAAUGUUGUCAAUUAAUUUUUCUUCAUCUGAUAUUUUCCCAUCUCAUAUUCCUUUAGAGGAAAGUCCAUAAUUCAAGAUAAAGACUAUCAAGGGACACACAAUUACCAAGGCUUAGAUACUACAGUACGUGGUAAGAUGGGCAGCAACUAAAUACUGCAGACAAAAUUUUAUUAUAAUGUAGGGAGCCCUUCUUCAUUGCAUUUACUUCACAAAAUAGGCCUUCAUAUCCUCACAAGGGAGAACUCAAAAAUAAAAACCACCAGGGAAUAUUCUAUAAUGGUCAACAUGCGAACAAGAGAAUUAGGAUGUGGACAUAGUUUGGAAAUGUUGAUCUGGACAAGUCAAAUUGGAAUAUUUUUACCCUCCUGCAGGCACCAAUACUGAUUUGAGGAGACUAAUAUCCACAAUCACGAAACAUUAUGCACAAUCACGAAACAUUAAUAUGGAAGAGAUUGCUGCAAAGUAAUUACAAAGUGGGCAAUGCAAAUCAAUUUUAAUAUACAGAAUCCGAAGCCUAUAUGCAUUUGGAAAAAGCAUGCAAAAGUUUCAUCAAACUCACAGUCAAACCAAGAAGAUACAAGUUUUAUGGGAAGCAUAAUAAACCCUAGUAGUUGAUAGUAAUGACUAGUCACACAAACAAUUAUGAAAAGCAUACAAACCAACUCAAGGCUUACAACUAUAUCGCUGUAAGAAAGAGAACAAUAUGAGUUGGCCAAGUAGUGCAAUCAAACAGCACAGACCUGCAUUAUUUUCAAAGUCGAGAUCUGACCAUGAAUCCACAACAUUGUUGUUGUGACAUCACCAAUUGGUGUCCAUGCGCCACCAGCAUUUGCCGCUAGAACAACAACAGCUCCUAAUAUUCUGCCAAUACCAAAGAAGACUCAAUAAAAGGAUAUAUACUAGAGAUUGUGGGAUAAAACAAGACAAAUCUGCACUGGAGGUUCUUAGCCGGUAACAAAUUUAAGGGUAGAGAUUCUAAACAGACAAAAAGAGGGAAAAAAAUCAACUGUGUUAUGGUGCACAUUACACUCUAAACACAAAGCUGUAUACAAGAGAGUUAUAGGAAAAUAACCAAGUAUCCAAUAGUAACAAAAUUGCAACAUAGCUAUUGGAUCCAAGCAAAAAUAAGAACACAAUAAUGUAACAUGUCACUCUGAAAGAAAAUGCAUUGCCCCUAGACAGAUAUGGUGAUCCUCAAAAGAGAUAUAAUCACUUCGAUAGAAAAUCAAAAUCGUAACAUAUCCAUACAAUUAUAAAAAAUCUUUGCAAGGAGUCGCUAGAGAAGACAAUGCAGUUCAUACUUCCUGUAUUCUGACGGAGGCACUAGCUUACGCAACAGUGAGACCAUCACUAUAGUCGACGUCAGGUUGUCAAGUACAGAACUUAAGAAGAAAGUUACAAAACCUACCUGAAAAUUCAACCACGAAUAGUUAGCUAUGGAGAAACUGCAAUAAAUUAGUUUUAACAAAGCCUUUAAAGUGAACGUUAUAUGAGACAAUUAGCUUGUUAGUCAAGUUCCUGGUUCCUUUACCCACAUCGUACAUUUUAGGGUGCAGUACAAAUCUGGAUAUAAAAUGGAACAAAAUAACAUAACAAAUAUAAGAAAAGAUAACAUAACAAAUAUGAGACAAGAAAAGAACAAAAUUGAAAAUAUUGCAUCUGCCUGCCUUGCAGUGCAAGGUAAAAAUUUUCACCUUCAUUUUAAUGAGCAAUUUAGAGAUGCAGACCAGUAAUUGAAGUUUGCAAUGUGCUUCUCAUCUUCCAUUUCUCAUAUCCAACCAAAUGAAUAAACAGUAUGGAUUAGCAAAAACCAUCAUCGAAGAUAACAACUUGCAGCUGGAAUUUACUAUUUUCAGCCAUGUACAAGGCAAAUCAAAUGAUGCACAAUAUUUUUGCUUUAGAGUUGAUGAGAUAACCCUUUAGCAUGCUAAAGGAAUGAAGAGAAGCAUUGAGGAUGUGUGUGUAAGCAGAAAUUCCUUUUCAGGAUAAAUUUGGUUCAGAUACAAAACUAAUAGAUCGAUAAAGAUUUGAUUGAACUAUAUUGAAUCUAUUGGUAAUUACGUAUUAACUUGUGAUAGAAAUAAGUAGAUAAGACUCAUGAAUGACUAAAAAAAGAACUUACCACCCAGAGGAGAAUUCGAGGAUUUCGAGUAGUAAUGUUGUCCGUAACCAGCUUAAAUCCUUGAUGUGCAUCAACAAUCUCUACAAUGGUCAUUGCACCAAGCAAAAAGAAAACUAUUUCACUAACUUCAGCAGAUGACUGGGUUAAUUCUGUAACAGCUAUGUCUGUUGAGGGAGCCUGCACCACCAGAAAGCGAUACUAUCAUCUUGUCAACCUAACCGAAGUAUAUCAAGCUAAAAUAAAUUUAUAAUUCCAGACAAACAUAUGUGGAAACUGAUACAUGUCACACUUAUUUGAGGUAAGAAGAGAACAAAUAGUACAAAACAUCAAUACAAGAGCAAAAGCAAAAUUUUACAGCAAAUUUGAUAUAUAUAUAGAGAGAAAAAAGAGUGAAUUCAAGUAUCAGAAGCUUGAUGGUCUAAACAUGGCUCCACACUUUUCAAAGGGAAAGAAUACUAACACAAACUAACUAAAAAGAUGCCAACAGCCAAUGGAAGGUUUAUUCUGUUUUCGAGUGUAUAAUUUAGAUUACCAUCUAGUAUCAGCAUUAUGAUUUUCAACCAUAUGUUGUGGUCAAGAAUCACAGCAUUUUCACAGCAUGACCGUCCAAUAUCAGCGACUUGCAGCUGGAAGAACUUCAGAAGGGGGGUGCCACAAGUUUGUGUAGCAUUAAAAUUAGGAACCAUUUUUAAGGUGGCAGAAAUCUGCCAAAUUCUGUCAAAGUAAAGAUGAACAGAAAUUUAAUUAAUAUUGUAGAAUAAAGCAUGUCUAAGCAACCAUUCACGUAGCAGUAAGUGAAAGUUAAAAAUCCAUUAUCUGCAAAUGUCGCUGAAUAACCAGCUGAAAAGCAAAGGAACUGCGACAAGAGAGAGAUCAUCAAAAUUCUCACCCCAAUGCUUCUUAUGACCCAUAAGCAAACGGCCAUCAACAACCCAACCCCGCUCUUGUUGAACGCAAGAGAUUCCUCAAAAAUAAUCCCUGCAUAACCAAUGGCAAAUACCAAUACCAUAGCAAGAUCCUGUACAAAUUAAUAUGUCAAAUCACACUACCACUGAUAGCUAAAUAUUCACAUUAUGCAGGACAAUAAAGAAAAGCAAAAAAGAAGCGAUAGAAGGGUGACCUAACCUGAUUAGCAGCUACCCAAGAAUGAUUUAUUGCAGCAGCUCCCGACAGAGAUAGCGCGAGAAUAGUUAGAGCUUUCAAUAAAUCAGUUUUGGGUUGGUAAUUUUCUUCGAAAUCCUGUGAGCUUACAUCAUCAACUGAACACAACGGAUCACACUUUCCUGAUGUAUCCAACAGCUGCAAAUGCGACGUAGCAGUACAAAGUCGAUAAAGAUAAUUGUUUUAGGUUCAAAUUAACUUCACCCAAACCAAACCAAAAAGUACAGCAUCAGAAUAAAAGUAAAAGUGUGAGGAAAAAGUAGCUAAAUUUUAGCCCUUUCGUUUACAAUACAUUACAACUAAGAAGCAUAAACUCUAUUCUUACUCUAACAUACCCAAAUGCAUCAUACGAGCACACAUAUGUACCAAUUUCAAGUGUGCCUGUUAACAAUGAAAGGAGAAGGGUAGUGAGGGGGGCACGAACCUCGUAGUCGCGGGGAUCAAUGGGGGCGGGAGAAGAGGAGGAGCUCUUGUCUUUGUCCUCGGCCCUCGCGAUUACGACCAUCUCUCGCCAUUGGUGGCGACGUGAGCUCAACAAGGAAGGGGGUAGUGGUAGGGGAGACGAUCUAUGGCUAUGGCGGAGGCGGAGCUCGCGAAAGGGAGAUAGAGAGGAGGAGAGGGCUUGGGAGGGCGAGGAGAGGGUUCCGAUCAAGUAGGAGGUGGAGAGCGCCAUUAGAGGGGGAGGGGCGAGGUCGAAGUUGCGGGGGUUGGAGAGCGAGGAGGGAGUGGGGGUAGGAGACGGUGAGUCCGAUGUAUGCGAAGUGAUGGUGGUCGCGACUCACGAGGAGGAGAGAAUCUCUGGGGUGAAAAUUGUAGAUACGUCCCCUCAACGAUAGGACGUUUCGAAAAUCGCCCCUCAACUUUGCUCUUUUUUAUUUUAGGUAAAAAUGAUGCAAAACUUUCAAAAAUUAUGAAUCAUCUUGAAUCAAAUAUCUAACUUUCUUGAUUUUACUGUACAAUCUUUUAAUUUAUUAUUCAUAGUAUUUUAACUUCAAAAUUUAAGUCAAUUGCUUACUUUAUUAAAGUUAUAGUUGUAAAAAAUGCAUGAAAUAUUCUAAUUAAAUCUGCAAAAAUAACCGAUGUAUUUAAAUUUUAAAAUCAAAUCCCUGUUGACUAAUGCAAAUGAAAUAAAUUAAAAUAUUAAGUAUUAAAAUUAGAAUUUUAAAAAAAUUGGAUAGACAGAUUAAAAUGAUUCAUAGUUCAUGUAAAUGUUGUACGAUUUUGCCUAUUUUUUAUUGGAAUCCUUUUAAUUUUUCAUUUUUUUAAAUUUGAAUUAUCUUGUCUAUUUUAAUUAAUUAAGUUAAAUUUAUAACUAAAGUAGUUAAAUUUUGAUAAAAUUUAAAAUUAUUUAAUUGAAAUUACUUAGAUUUUAAAAAAAUUUAACUUAUCACAAACUGAAUGACAUCAAUAAAAAAAAAAAAAGGUGACAUUUUAAAUAGGGGAUCACAAAUACUGGGUAAAUUGCACCACUAUUUCCUGGACUCUUGGCUCAGUUUCAUUUUGAUCUGCAAACUUUUAAGCUUGAUAUUCAGCAUCUUUCUUAUGUAUGUACAAAAAAAAGUGUCCCUUUGCUCAAAUGAAUCAACUCAUCAUCACUACAAAGGCAACUACAAACAGCCAUAUUUCUUCUAUAUAAUAUAUCUCAAAGUUUUGAGUAAUGACCCACCUGUUAAUGGUAAUUACAGAUAGAAAUGAAUGCCAUAAAAACCAUGUUAAGAAAUAAAAAAAAUAUAUUAUCAGGCCCCAAGAAAUUUAGUGGUAGUUGAGAUAAAUGAUGCUAAGCACCACAGCCAAUAAGCAUAUAACUGCAUUUGCAGAAGUUCCUGGUUGACCACUUGGUUCUGUUGGGGCCGGCGGUGUUGCAGCUGGCGGCGCCGAUUUCUCAGAGAGGUCAGCAACCGGCGGCAGUGGCGGGUCAACGACAUCGGAAGCUUCUAGAAUUGGAGCAGGGGGUUCAGCUGGAGGGGCUGCUUCUGGCGGGGCCAAGGAGAGGAGGGAUCCAGGCUCUGUGGGCAGUAUCGUGUAGGGCAGUUUCGCGUUCGCAUCGGAGCAUGGACUCCCUGUAGAAGUUAUGUUUCAGUAUGGCAUGCAAUAAAUCAUCGGAAACUUGAAUUUGCAUGUUGUCUAACUUUUCUCACGUAAAAUGUUUCCGACAGGUAGAUAAGGUGAUGAAUAAGGAAAGGUAUCAUGACGCCUACUCACGGUGAGAACUCCGUGUUACCGUAAAGUAACAAAGUUUAAUCUAGUGGAAUUCAUGAUAAUGGCAAGAAUCUAUGCGGGUGAGUACUUACUGAAAUAUGCACUUGCAGUUGCAGGAAAUUCAGUUACGAUCCCGUCGACUCCGACUCCCCCAACAUACGUGGCGAUCUCGGCCAAGGGGUCCGAAAAGAAAUCGAAUGCAAUCAUGAUGAACUCAUUCCUCAGCACCGAGACAUAAACAGAUAGAUUCGCUGCAUGCAGCUCCUUUACCACACCGGUAUAGCUAGAAAGGAAGAAGCCGGUGCUCGCCACAAUUGAAGAUCUGGGUAUGUUUACUGCUUCUGCAUACUGCUUGAUCUCAUCCACUGCUGGCUUCGGAGUAUCACUUAUGGUUUCUUUAAUAUUGAGGACUCGCUUGUAGGUAGGAUAUUUCUUGAACGUGGAGAGGACAGCGGUGUCGUCAGAUUGAAUGAGUACUUGCUGGUUGGUUCGAGUGUCGUAGCUAGCAUUUGUUAAGGCACCAGAGACAGCAUUGACGAUGUCGAGGCCCUUCUUAGAUGCAAGGUAGGGAGCAUUCUGAAUUCACAGAAUAAAAUGAAUGGCUUGUGAGAUCGCGAAUCACUAAAGUCUAAAGCUAAACAAUUGAUUAGUCUCUUAGAAACUCAAAUUCCUAGUGUGAAGGUUUUGCAAUAACAUGAUAAACUAACAAGAGAAUGUUACCUCUAUGUUAAUUAAGACACCAGAGACUCUGCUGUUCUUUGCAAAGUCCAGGAAAUCAGCAAGUGUCAUGAAUUUGCCCUGAUUUUUCGCUGCAGGAUUUCUCGCCAUGCCAGACUGAGAUAAAGGACUCACUAAAUCGGCUGAUGAGGGGAAAAAAAAAAGGAUUUGGAAACAAAAAAAAUUGUCAAAAUAUUGCUCAAUAUAGCUAGAAAUUUCAAAUUAAAACUCAGCCUGCAAGAUAAAUUUUGAAGGAUUCAAGACGCAAAACGUGGAAUGCUGCUGACAACGAGAAAAAAUAGUAACCAAAAAAGAAAGUCAAGGAGAAAGGUUCAAAAAUCUUUACGCUUCAAACUUUGAAUCUCGCUCCAUGUGAGGUCAAAUGAGAAGAUUCCGUUGUUCUGUUGUAUUUCAGGGACCAUCGUUGCUCGGGACAUGAAAGAAGCUAUUGCCGUCGUUUUGCCCAUAAGAUCUGGCGAAUCCAAACAGAAAGCAACUCCAUCUUUCGACAUCUGAACGGAGCAAUCGAUUACAUCAGCACCAUCUUUCACUGCUUGCUGAUAUGCGAGAUCAGUGCACCCAGCAAAUACGCCACUUGCGCCGUUGUGAGUCACAAUCAGCGGUCUCCCUAUAUCCAUAAGAGUUGCGAAACAAGAAUUAUUAGCUAUAAUGUGACUAAAAUAGCAUGACAUAUUUAAGAAUAAGAACAUCAACCUAACCUUCCUUGCGGGGAAUAUCAUUGUUGUUAUGGGCCAAGCAAGCUGCAUAGAUAAGCUCAUUAAUUAAAAAGUUGCCCGAUUGAAUAUUGUAGAAACUGUAUACAAUAAAACCAUAAAAUAUGGGCUUUUCUGCAAAGUCUAGUUACUUGAAAGAGAAAUUAAUCCUAUUGAAAAGGCAACGAAACAGAGAUAUUUUGUUAUCAGCUUACAUUUUAAAACACCUCUUCGUUUCAUAAAGAAAAGAUAGGAAGUACAAAAUCCUAUUGACAGAGAAAAAAUUCUCUCACCUACAGCCUCUGAUGCCGUAGAGGGGAAGUCCGUUAGCACACCAUCGACUGAGAAAUUGGAAUUAUCUAUGAACUGUAAAUACUCAGCGGUUGGAUCGAAACUAUAGUUAUAGCUCGCAGGGGCGUCAUUUGCAAAAUUAUAUGCAUAUACUUCAAGUCCCAGUCCAUGGGCAUCUGCAACCAGAGUAGUAGGUGGCUCCAAAUAUUGAUCUUUAGUAACGGGCCAUAUGUAAUUCUUUGGAACAAGAAUUCCUGAAGCAAAGGACUUUAUCAUCUUCAAGUCUUUAAGGAGGGAGCUAUAUGUUUGAUUAGCCGAGGGUUCAACGGCAUCCUCAUCGAGGAACCGGAAGAUUAGCUUUGUCUUGCCUCUUCUUAGCUUCCCAUUGAGACCUUUCAAAAAACCAAUUUCUGGAGAAGAGACAUAGUCGAUACUGAUUUGCCUCGAUGCAUCUAAUAUAUAUCCUGUAACAUCUAGACUGUGUUUCUCAAAGAACGAGUUAUACUGUAACAAUUCAAAGAAAGAGUAUCAUCAGAUCAAUGUUGAAUAAUUAAGAGCAUAAGAAACCAAGUAUGAAUAGCACUUCACGGUUAAAGCACAUCAUGCAGAGUCCUUUUCAUUAAAAGUUGAGCACUCCUGCAUUAGAUCUUAAAUCUUAUUCACUGUAACUAUAACAAGCUUGAACUAAAAUUAUACUGCCAAAACUUAUAUUUUAGUUCAAUUAUAGCCUUUUCCAAUCAUUGAGGCUUCAAAAUCAGAAAAGAUAUCUCGAAGAAAUUAGGGUCAACAAAGAUACGCAAGCAUAGAACAUGAGGAGAAAGUUAUAAAUACACAGAAGAAAGAUGAUAACUAUCAAUAUGGUCAUGCUUACCUGCACAUUCAACCAAAAGCGACUCGGCCGAAGCCCAGUCACAUCCUCAACAGCCAAUGGUGGUAGGUUGCCAUCAAAAACACUAGGUCGAGAGAAGAUACUUUGGAUCACUGUGGAGAUGUGAGAUGAACAGCACGAGAUAACGAUCAGUAUACAUUGCAAUAGAAUAAAUUAAUAAAGCAAUGCAGUAACUAUGUACAAAUAAAUGAAUUUUUUGGAGAGUUAAUGAAAGAAAACAUUUGGCUUCGAAGAAUUGGUUGCCUUAUUCAAUUUUACAUGCGGUAGAAGAAGAUUUACCACAUUAUAUAAGGAUGUUUGAAGAGAGUUACAUGAAAUAAACUGUUGUAUCCUUCAUAUGCAGCCAUAUACAAUUAACCAGAAUCUUCUAUUGUCCGAACCAACUAUCAGAACAAUCAAAAAUAACAUACAUAUUGCAUGAUUUCCAACACUAUUUUUGCAUGAAAAUUAUACGAUUUUAGGUAAGUGCAAUAGAUGAUAGAUACUUACAUGCGACAUUGUUGAAUAUCUCGUCAGCAGUGAAGUCCACUGAAAACCAUCCACGAAUUCGCUCUCCAUUUACAGUAUAAGUUUUCUGCCCUUUCGGGAAAGCACUUGCUAUUGUCGUGGAAUUAUCAAGUCUUAAGUCACUGUGGCACAUGCUAGCCCCAUCUUUUGUUAGUUGAAGGUCACAGAACAGAACUACACUUUUUAAACUUGUCGACAUGGCAAAUUGGUAGGCAUAUUGACUGGAUUCAGGAAAGAGCCCAGAGUACCCGCCACGAGCAAUGACUAAUGGAGCCUCACCUGCAGAUACAUAUCAAGAAUGCCUCAGUAGCAUUUCCGUGGUUAAUAAUAUCCGAUUCCUAGAUUUAAAGCUUACCGAAUGAGUCUUAUAGUUCUCGUAAGAGUCGAACAUUUUAAGAUAUCAUGAAAGUAACUCAUAACAAGUGCGCAUUCGUAACUACGUGACAGAUAAAGAGAAUCCAAUACGGCAGUUUUGUUUCGAAAUUCUCCUCACAAUAAGCCUAGCUUGAAGGUGAUAGAAAAUAGAAACAUGUCUAAGUUAAGCUGUUCAAUUCAUGUUCAUAGACAAUACAAAGACGCGUAGCGGAUAAUCGUUCAUUAGACCGCAUUAUAGUACGGCUCUGGAAAUUCAUUUUAGUUAAUCAAAUUCCCUUUGCAGAACAAAACCGACAGGCAAAAUAUGGUGUACGGCGCGAAUCGCAGCAUUGAGAUUUCAUAGUUCAAACGAAGGAGGCAAUGCUCUACGCAAAAGAUUUUCAGAAACAUGAUGUUUAUUUUAUCAAUCUUCGCUUAACUUGAAACUGGAGUUAAAAACUAUCAUCAUAAUAGCGAAAUCAAAGUAAUUAAAGAAUAAUUCGCAAAAUUCGGCAUUAGCAAGACGAAAUCAAGCCGAUACCGCUUAACGUCUGCCACUUGGGCAGCGGCGCCGCCGGAGAAUUCGCAGCGGCUGCGGCUGCACGGAGCAGCAACAGAGGAAAAAGAAGGAGGAGAUGCCUCUUCAUCUCCGGUUCCCCCGAGGAAACCCUACAAUUGAAACAGCAUCACCAACAUCACUCCAACUCAAUCACAUAGCAAUUGAAUCGAAGAAAUUCAUUAGAUGAGUUAAUAUUUUGAACCUCCGAUCACGAAACUCCACCCUAAAAUAAGCUUCAAAGAUUUGGUGGGCAAUAUAACACAAGCUAUAUAUGCACAGAGAGAGGUUUGAGUUUUUUUUUUUUUUAAGAAAAAUUAGGAAAAGGGGAAGGGAAAUUUGUGGAGAAAAUGAAGUGAUUUUUUCUCUCUCUCUCCAAAUAUAACGGAGGAGCUAAACUCUCUCUCUUAACCAUUCCUCUUGUAACCGCUCUCGCUGUCUCUCCCCUCUCUCUCUCCGAACCGUCCAUUAAAUGGCGGGAAUUCCUCGUGGCGCGGCGAACUCGGGACGUUGCGCGGCGGACGGGGGAUUUCAAUCCGUCGAGAGGAGUAAAUGUGCACAACAAAUAAAAAUCUUUUUUUAUUAUUAUACUUUUAUUAGCUAGAGUUUUUUUUUUUUUUUUUUUUUUUAAGAGAUAGAUAGCGCGUUACCUACUUACCUGCUUCGUUUAUUCCAUUUAGAAAUAAAUUUAGCUAAAAAUAUGAAUCAACUAAGAUUCGAACUUGCGUCUCAGAUACCAACCAUCAUGUCCUUUGCCAGUUGCCACUUGCUCUAAAGACGGUCAGCAAAUAAAAAUCUUUUUAUUAUUAUACUUUUAUGGGAAAACUUUAAAAAUUCUCCAUUUGGUUUUGCACUUUCUUAUUUUAGUAUCCUGAUUUUAUUAUCCUGUAAUUUAAAAUAUAUUAAGUUAGUACCUUGUGGUUUCACACUUUCUCACUUUAGUAUUCUGUGGUUUAAAGUGUAUCAAGUUAGUACUAUGUGGUUUCGCACUUCCUCACUUUAGUACCAUGUGGUUUAAUAUUACGUUAAAUUAUAUAUCUCGAAAUGGAUAAUAAAAAAAAAAAAUUGAAACUAUAAGGUACUAACUUGAUAUAAAAAUAAAACAAUAUAGUACUAACUUGAUACAUUUUAAACCACAGGGUACUAAAGUGAAAAAGUGCAAAACCAUAUAGUACUAACUUGAUGCACUUUAAAUUAUAGAAUAUUAAAAUAAAAAAAUACGAAAUUACAUUGGAUUUUUUGAAGUUUCCCUACUUUUAUUUGCUAGAGAAUAUUAAGGGCCGUUAGGUACUAAGACCUAUUUGCGGCGCGAAAAUGAUUCGAAACAAAUUAAUAUUUAUUUUAUUUUAUUUAGAAACGGUAUAAGCGGAACUAAAUUUUUGACGAAUUAAAAUAAAUAAAUAAAUAAAUAAAGCAGAGUAGAGCAUAUUUAGAACGAUGUUUUUUAGUUUUAAUAUUUAUUUAUUAUUUUAUUUGAAGUAGAUCAAAUAAGAGACGAAAAGAAUUAAAACAAAAGAACAUGAAAACAUAUUUUUUUAUUUUUUUUACUAUAAAAUUUUAUAUUUUAAUAGGUGAAAUGGAAAUAACAUAUGCACCCUGUUAUUUGCAAUUUCAAAAUAUAUAUAUAUAUAUAUAUAUAUAUAUAUAUAUAUAUAUAUAUAUAAAAUAAGAAAAGAAAAACAUGCUUUUUUUUCUGGAUACAAUUAAUAAAAUAUAAUGUAAACGAUUUAUUAUGUACAUAUCAUAAUUUUUUUGCGAUUCCAUAAAAAAUCUUAGCCAAUUGAUCUGGCAUCCUCAAUACGAAAGCAAUUACGAUAUUUAAAAAAAAUAAAUUAAAAAUAAUUAAAUAAAUAUUUUUGGUUGAAAAUAACUUAAACUAUUAAAGUAAUCAAAGUUUACUUAUCCACGAGGUACUGAGUAAAUAAAAUUUAGGAAAAACUUCAAAAACCACCAUAUAACUUCGCACUUUCUUAUUUAGUAUCAUGUGGUUUAAAGUAUAUCAAGUUAGUAUUCUGUCGUUUCGCACUUUCUCACUUUAGUAACCUGUGUUUCAAGUGUAUUAAGUUAGUACUUAUAUCAAGUUAGUACAAUAUGGUUUUAAAUUUUUUUUUUAUUAUCCAUUUGGAGUAUAUAAUUUAACAAAAUAUUAAACCCACAUGGUACUAAAGUGAGAAAGUGCAAAAACUAUAGAAACUAAUUUGAUAUACUUUAAUUAUAGUGUGCUAAAGUGAGAAAGUAUAAAAUCAUAGAGUACUAACUUGAUACACUUAAACCAUAUAGUAUUAAAAUAAAAAAUGUAAAACUAAAGUAGGGGUUAUUAAAGUUUCCCUGAAAUUUAUUCACUUUAUGGCCGUUGUAUAAACUAUUAUAUGAAUCAAGGGCGGUGUAGUGAGGAAAGGCCUUAAUAAAUAAAUAAGUAAAUAAAAGCAAGCCAUGCACAGGUGUCAGCAGCCCUUUCGUUUUGCCCGCGCUCUUUCAUAAGCAGCUGACAGCUCUCCUUCCUUUGCUACCUGCCACACCACCCAUCACCCCUCUAGCAGCUACCACAAAAACAAUAAACAACAACACUGUAUAUAUAUAUAUAUAUAUAUAUUAUAUAUAUAUAAUAAUAUAUUAUAUAUAUAUAUAUACAACUCUCUACAAAGAACCGUGUUACUACUCAAAACCAUAUAGGCCUCUUUCUCUCUCGUUCUCUGCUUCUUUUAAGAUGUCGAAAUACGCAAAAUAGUCCUUUGCAAGGUUACGUGCUAAUAAAACAGGCAUGCAUAUAUAUUUUUUUUUGAAAAAAAAAAAUGCUAGAUUAAUGCUGCGGUUGCGUGCGUGCGUGCGUGCAUGGAUGCAGGGUACGACGACGAGCGGCGACACGGAGACGAGUCGCCGGCGGGGGGCUGCCCGGCAGGAAGGGAUCGGGGAAAGAAGGAGACGAAGACGGUGCAGACGGUGGACUACCGGGAGUCGGCCUGCGGGCAGCAGCACGACACGCGGCCCGUCGAGGUCGUGCACGAGAUCCCCUCCAAGGACAACGAUCCCAAGCAGGACUGAGCUUCUUUACCAACACCAGGAUCGAUCUGAGAAUCGAUUUAUAUAUAUAUAUAUAUAUAUAUAUAGCUUAAUUUCGCUAAUAAGAGAUUAGUUAUUGUUAAUCUCCUCUGUGUGUGGCUGAAACGUGAGUAAUUAAUUAGAUUUGCACUUUUGUUAAUUUCCUCUGUUUUUGAAAAUCUUUUUUGCUUCUUUUUCUUUUUCUUUUUUCUUUUUGGGUGUGUGUGGUGGUUGCAUGGUGACACGGGUUUUGGAUUGCAAUAUUGCCUAAGUGCUUUUCUCAUGGAUCCUGCAUCUGAAUUAGCCUUUGUGAUUCAAAGUUUUUGUUGAAUGCUUUAAAGAAGGCUAAAAUAAAUGCCUCAUUUGGGUUUUUUCACUUUUAUAUAAAUGUAAUUUUUUUUCCUUAAAAAGUGCUUUUCAUUCAAAGAUAAGGACCUUGCGGGGUCUGUCUAAUGCUAAUGUUAAUAGGUGAAUUGGAGUUGGGACGAGAAUAUAUAAAAAUAAUAAUAAUAAUAAUACUUUUGUUAUAUAUCGUAAUCACUCGCUACAAUAUAUGUUACAAUAUGCAUGGUAUUAAAAUACUCUCUAACAAGAAAUAAAAUAAUUUACAUUCUUAUAAAUUGUUGUGGAAAUUCGUUAUGAAAUGAUGAUUAAUCAUUAGAUAGAUGAUAUCAAAAAUAAUUGGUAAAAAAAAGUACCUAUCCCAUUAACAUCAGGAUUUAAGAACUCAAGAGCACAGAAAUUAUUGCUUCGCUUCUGAUUAUCCUUAAUUGAAGAGGGUAUUAAGAGACCAGCAGUGUUUGGUUCAUCAAAAAAGUAUAAAAAAAUUUAUUUUUUUUUUAAAAAAAAUUAUAAUUACUUGUUUAUAAUCUGUAUUUUUUAAAUAAAAAAUUUAAGAAAUGAAAGCAUGCAGUACUAUAUUUCCACGAGAUGUGAACAAAAACAAAAAAAAAAAUAAUAAUAAUAAUCAGAAGUAGUUCUUCUAAAAACCAAACGAAAAAGUUUUUUUUUUGGACCAGAAAAUUACUUUACAGGAUAGUUUUUAGGAAACCAAACACUCCCUAGGAAAUUCAAUGAGAGAACCAAUUGGAUACAACCAAACCAGAUCAAAAAUGUUCAUAACAAAUAAAAACUAACCAAAGCAUAUAAGCACGUGCCCAUAUAAAAUAUAAAAUUAAGAUGAUGAUAGAAUCCCAAAAAAAUAUCAAUAUUGUGAUACCAGUGACAAAACCUGUCUAAAUUAAUACAGCAGCAAAAGAAAUACUUUAUGAAACACCCCAAAAUAGGGAAAUUCUUAAUGCUAUAAUUGGAGAAAUAGACAUAUCCUCAACCAGCUUCGUAAAGUUGUUCGAUCGAAGUCGACACGAUUUCUGCCGAAUGUUCUGCAAUUUGAUGAAUGGCACCAUAAUUUCAUCAGUGAUCUACAACUACAUUUAGCCCAAAACCCUUUAAAGUGCGCUCACUAUUUGUUGAAGAUGCAAAUGCCCACCUGGGAAUAAAUUACAACCAAAGGGUAAGAACAUAUUGGAUCUAACGGAACUUCCAUCAAAUGAUGUUCAGAAUAAUAUAGCAUCGACUAAAACCUGGAGCGUCUGUUAUAGAUAGAGCAAUAAAAAUCACAAUUUAUGGACCUCUAUAGCACAGUACUUUAAGCCGUGCACUUGCAUAAUUAUGAUAUGAUGUUCAUAGAAGCAGCCUGAUUUCAUACAUAAUAUGUUUUUACUUGAUUAACCAAAAUGAAUAUGCAUGCUUCAUUAAAUGAAUGCCUAGAUAUAGAAAGAAGCACAUGUCACGUGUUUUUGUGCAAAAGCGCACUGAGAGACAAGAUGAUGAAGAGGCUUGAGAGAGAGUGAUAAUGAUGAAAAAGGAUAAUGAUCUGUAUCCUGAUCAAAUCACAGGAUAUAAACAAGUUAUCCUGGCUAUAAUUAGCUUAGUUAUCAGAACACCAGAAAUGGACCAACUAGAGUUUCAUAUCAUCAUCCAGAUAAACAUAACUUGUUGGCCCCCAAGUUAAUAUAACUGAAAAAUUAUUAUAGCCUCGUCUGAGCAGCCUUAAGGCGCAGGCCUGUGAGCCUCGCGCGUAGGCGCUAAGGAGAGCGCCUAUUUUAAUCACUACUAUCAGCUAGUUCUACAUCAGUGCAAUACACUGGUCCUCAUAAUCUCCUGUUUUAAGCCUUCCACCUCCCAUAUCAUCAGGACAAUUAAACGAACGAGGCUUCACGAAAUGAAAGCAAAGAAGUUUGCAACUCAAAAUAAAACUGAUGAUGAAGGAAAAUCUUAUAUGUGAUGUUGUGACAAUGCCAUCAGAGGCACCUAGGGAUGACCUUCCUCGAUUUUGCUAACUCAGAUUAUAUGCAAACCAUUCAAUUUUGCUAACUCAGAUUAUAUGCAAACCAGUAUAUACAGCAUUUUGUUUGAUGGCAAAAAACAAAAGUAUGGCAGUAACUUCUUAUUUCCUUAACAAGCAAAAGCAAAGAAAUGCAUCUGUAGAUGCUUUCAACCAUAUUGAGCUUCACGAAUGCCAAAAGAACUGCAAAAAGAAUAGGGAAGAAGGUAAAAGAGGCAAAAUAUGAGUAUAACAUUUGGAAAUUACUCAAUGCUCAUGAGAAAAAUCUAACAUGCACUAGGAAGAACCCUAACCAACCACAAAUGUGUACGCAAGUCCCAGCAAUAAACCUGCAGGCAAUGUAUAUGUGUACCAUGAACUGUGACAACACAGAAAACCAGCAUGUGGGAUCGAGAGGAUGCUGCACAAUAAUAUGGACCACAGGACGUUAAGUACUUGCUUGGACAAGCAUUGGAACAACACAUAGGACAAACAUAUUUGGAGCAAAGCUUAAUCAAAAUUGAGGCGGCCCCUUGAACAAAUUUAGAUACAAUUUCAACCAAAUUCAACUCAUUCAAUACUCCAGAAGUUUCUAAUGUAUAAUAUUGAAAGAAUAACUAUUGCCAUCAAGCCACAACAGGCAUUUGGAUUGGCUUAUAUAUGUGCAAUUCAUCCAUACACCAUGUUUGGUGAAAGUAGAAACUUAGUUCUGCCAACGGCUACAACAGCACCAAGGCUGUUGGCUCAAAUCCUUGAAAAUAGCUUCCGUCAAAAAAUACAGAAUCAUUUUUUUGUGGAAACCAUAUCUAUCAGUCCAUAAUGACGAGGAAAGAAAAAUCAUUUCUCCAGAUACCAAUCCAAAUUCUAAAUUGCUAAUGUCUCCACUCUUACAAACUUAUACUUGCGAAUUGCGGCUGAGGUGCACUUAGGACAGCCCAAACGCCUGCUAUGACUCAUAACUAGGAAGAGUGAUACCUACUAGGUUGUAGUUUAGCAUAAACUCAAGAAAUUGUCCGAUUAAAGCUUCUCUAGACGAAAGAGAUCAAGACUCAAAUGUGCCAGGAAAACAGCCCUGAGGUAACGUUCUGGUCAGAAUUACUUUUUUGCAUCAAACUAUGCUAUUUAUGGUCGUACUUGCCUGUACGCAGACCACAUUAUAUGUCAAAUAAUCUGCACAUAAUGUUUUGAAAUUUUCAUUAUCCUACAUAACAGUUUCAGAUGUUCAUGCAAUGAAUCACUAGAACAAAAAUCAGAUAUAAAGAUGAGACAUAAAUGUGUUAACUUCAGAGUGAGUUAUAACUCGUACAUGAAAUUGUCCAGGCACCAGAAAGUAAAGCGGCUACUGGGUCUUCUUCUCUUUUCUCGAUUCUCCAGUCUUGCUUAAGAUGUUGUCAUACUGCUUCAAAAAUAAACUGUGUGCAAUACCAAGCUUCUCAUCAACAUGAUCCUGGUAUUUGUCAUACAGAGCAGGUACAGUGAGAGAUAGGAGAAUCCCUGUAAAAAAGCCAAAGUCGACAUUUUAGACACAGAUCAAGAAGCAAAAAUGAUACCAACAGAAUCACUGUAAAAUAAAAUUCAACUAAGAACACACCAAUGUAGACAACUGUAAGGAAGUUGAAGAACCUUCCAAUAUACGAAACAAGCCACAAAACCAAGAUAACCUGUACGAAGAGAGUGAUCGAAGUUAUACACAAAACGACCGCAAGCUCACAAGGAGAACAGAGAUUCGUGACGGGAAAUAGAAUCACACCUCAAGGAACACCUUCCUAUCUCGCUUAAUGGCAAUGUCAUGGCCAAUAGCCAACACGCGGUUGAUCCACACUCUGGCCUCAUUCGCAGCCUUCUCUACGACCUCAUCGGACACUUCCAGAUUCGGAAGCGGCGGCAGAGGUCUAAAACGUCCAAAUUAGUAGCAAUAGAUCAUCAAUUCAUCAUCAUACUACACGCCAACAAAUUCUACUGAGAGCAACAAUGAGAUCGACAAUCCCCUAUACAACAACUGAUCUAGAAAUGAGAAGAAUCUAGAGAGGAAAAAGGGAAUCAAACCUGUUGAGGAGCAAGGCGGAUUUGGCCCAGAAGAAGAGGAUGGCGACGAGGAGGAGGAGGGCGUUGAGAGAGAGAGAGAGAGAGAGAGAGAGAGAGAGAGGGGCCUUUGGUUUUGGGAUCGAGUUAGGUUACCGGCGGCUAGGGAGGAGGAGGAGGAGCCACCGCGGCGGCGAGAGGUGGCGGCGGUGCCGGGGGAGCUCGAGGGCCCCGGCGCGGGCCGCUAGGCAGGUGGAGCGGGAGCCGCCGCCGAGUCCAGAGGGGGGGUUGGGUAGGGGAAGAGGAGGAAGAACAUGGAGAGAUCCCAAAAGGAAAGGGCACCACCACUACGUAUCUACGAAGGCACGAACAGGGUCACCGGCUGCACGAGGACACCGCCGCCUCCUCGCGGCGGCGGCGACGGCGCCGCACGCGGUGGCGCAAGACCAUGAAGAAGCUCGCGCGGCCCAUGUCGAAGGAGAGGCAGCAGCGNUAACGGCCGUUAGGUGGGCCCUCCACGUGCCAUCCACGUGAGCACGCUCGUAUGUUCUUUUUUUUUUUUUUUUUUUUUUUUUUUUUUUUCUUUCGGGGAGAAUGUGCGGAAGCCCCUUCACUAUAUUUAUUACAUGUGUAAAUGGUUCCUUCACUUUAAUCUUUUUUUUUAAUUUUAAAUCCUAAUGAUUUUAGUUAAAUUAAUUAAAAAUUAUAUCAAAUUUCUUAUUAAUUUUAUAAAAUUUUGGAAAACUAUAACAAGUUUUUACCAGAUUAAUUUCUGAGAAUCUAGUAAAUUGGGAAUUUGAUGUGUGAUGUUGUGGUUGGAUGCAGCAGUUGAGGUUUUGAAGAACUUUACUUAUAAUUUAUAAUAAAUAUGAUAACAAAUGAUGUUGAUGAUAAUAAUAAUAAAUUGUUGGUGGUAGGGCACUAGUUGAGGGGGCAUGGACAAGUAAAAUGACUACAAAAAAUGACUACAAAUAAUGACAUGGUCACAUGCAACCUAAAUAGUAAGUUCUUUUUUUUUUUCUUUUUCUUUUAAUAAGAUGCAUUAUUCUGAUCACAAACACGCGGUGCCAAAGAAGGUUCCGGAGUUGUACCUUUUCUUUUGUUAUUUUUCAUUAUAUUUAGUUACAUGUAGGACUAAAUUUAUCAGAAUUUUUUAACUUCGCAUCAACUUUGUUGUGACAUUUACGAAAAAUCUAAAAUGUUUAAAAUUAGUACACCAACAGUCACUCUCUCGCGAUUCACCAUCUAAUUAUUCACUAUUAAGUAUGUAGUACUAAGUAUGAAUUAAUUAAUAUCAAGGCUAAUUUGGUAACCUAUUGACUAAAAAUAUAGUUUUAUAUUUUAAAAAUUCCAAAAAAUAAACUCAAAAACACUUCCGAUCACUCCAAUGUUAUAACAUUACUUAAAAAGCAUAAAAGCAUAUAGUUACGCUUCUUCGGUGGCCAUUGCUAACAAGUGACAUGAAGAACAUAUGUCUCUGACUUGUUAAAAGGAUGUUUGGUUUUUUAAAAAAUAUUGCAAAAAAUUAAUUUUCUAGAUGAACUGCAAAGUAGGACUAAAUAAGGAAUAAAACAUACCAUAGUGGCUAGUUUGCAUUAUGCAGACAUACGCAUAAAAUGAAAGAGAGAAAGAGAACAAUACAACGUGCCUAUCAACAAACUCAUUUUCUGGAAAAUUAAUUNCAUAGUGGCUAGUUUGCAUUAUGCAGACAUACGCAUAAAAUGAAAGAGAGAAAGAGAACAAUACAACGUGCCUAUCAACAAACUCAUUUUCUGGAAAAAAAAAAAAAAAAAAAAGAAAGAAAAACCUAGAUCAUGCUCUAACAUAAACAUUGUUGCACCAUAGCAUUGUUGCAGCAUGCUCCCAAAUCUCUAAUAGUAAGAUUUAAGCCAGUGAGUUAGCUGAUCCUCUUAAAGAUCAAAAUCUAGUUGUAUCACUAUAAUGCGAAGUAACCCAUGUAAAUUUUUACAUUAAACACCGAAUGCGCGAGAAAGAGGAAAACAUUAACAAGUAAAACCCGAAUACGACGACAAAGAAACGAAAGACAAGCCUCCCCCUUUUCCUACAAUGAUCAACUUCAAGUCGGCUUCGCUUAAUGAUCGCUUCGCACGUUACAAAGAUUAAUGCUGCAAAUUUGCUUGACGUUGCGUCGAUUUUGAUUUGCAAAAAGGAGAACACAAAAGAACAGAGAUCUACUAAAUAAACCAUUUCCUCACCAAGUGUGUGUAUUGACCUGCCAUUAGUAAGUUCGCCAGAGUACUUUUCCUGCCUCGGCCGGAGAAAAAGUUGGAGCUAACUGAAGUACAAGCUCAGAAUAUGUCUUGUCGGAUUGAACCCAAUGAGUAUCACUAUGAAGUAGAAAAAAAAAAUGAACAAAAGCAUGGUGAGAUGAAGGGCUUAAACUUAGAUUUAUGUGGUCCAGCAAUAAUGCUAAUACUUACUAAGAGGGGAGAGGAUGAAAACGAGCCCAAUCGGGUACAAGAAGAAAGUAGUUCUGUCCAAGAACGGAAGGACUGCAGCAACGAAUACAAGACCAAGAAAUCAUAUGUUAAAAAAUAAAAUCAUUAGUAUUAUUGGGUGCAUUUGUAAGUACAAUGUUUUACAUACCAUCAUAUCCUAGGAAGUUCAGAUAGUGGUAGUAAGAGAUUGCGACCAUGAAAAGCAAAUUUGAUAGCAGAACGGGAAAGAAGCCAUGUGCGACCAAAAUAGGAGACAAAAAGUAGUGAAUUACUGUGAGAGGAACUAGUAGUCAGUGAAAAAUACUCAGAUAACUGCAAAUAAUAUUUAAUAUAAAUGUCAAGAUUUUGUUGAAAACAAAAUAAAAUGAUAAAAUUACCGUAAAGUAAGAUGAAUGCUGGAAAGAAUGAGUUGCAGUGAACAUCAAAAGCAUAUAGCCUGAAAAGGGGGGAGAAAAAAACAGCGACUUAUGAUAGUGUUUGUGAUAAUGCCAACAGCAGGUAAUUCACAUGAUAUGACCCCCCCAAAAUACAGGCAAGACUAAAGGAAAGAAAGAUACAUAAGUUAUUUGUGGUAUCAUAGUAAAUAAAUAUAACAAUUAAGAAACUAACAGGGAUAUGAUGAACACUUGAAGACCCUUCGUUCUAUGUUUAAUCUUCUACAAACAAUUUACUCUAAGUAGUGCUGGCCUUCCCCCUCAAGUUCCCUAUGGGGCUAUUCAGUUCUCGAAAUAGAUAUAUUUUAAAGCAAAUCUAGUUCUUCCCUCAGAUAUUUAGUUAAUAAUAGAAAAGACGAAUGAAGAACAACUAGAAGGAACAUAUGAUUAUUUGAAGUGUGGUGUCCAAAUAUAUGCACAAGAAUAUAAAAUUAUGAGUUCUCCAUGAGAUACCAUUCAACACGUUGCUCGACAACAUGGCUGUUAGGCACCUCUUCACGCAAAUACGAAUUUGUUAGAAACCUACAGCAAACAUCAAAAUCGCACAUUACUUUUCUGAAAUAGCAAUUGCCUCUAAAUAUUGCAAUAAAGAUGACUAAUAUUUUGGUGAAAUCAAAAUAAUAACCACAAGUACUCUACUAUGAUAGAUUGAAAGAUCCAUACAAAUUAGUAAAAGGUUGUUUUAAUUAGUCAAUUACAAGAGUAGGCAAUAGGAAGUUACUGUUGGAUUUUGCUUUGAAAACAAAAUUAACAAAGGCAGGUUCCAACAUAGUUAGAAAGAAUAUACAAUAUAAAUGAUUUGAAAUGAAAUGUACACUCACAAGAGAGGAAAACUAAGAGGAAAUCCAUUAGAAAUUAAUCUUCACAGACCUGAUCAUAUUCCAAAAAUCAAAAUACAAGCUCUCUUAAAAAAAAAAAAAACCUUCACCAUAAUCAUUUUUAAAAGCACGAUAACAGUCUAACAGCUACAUAUAUAUAAUAUCAAUUUUACAGACCACAUGAGCAUUCUUUCUGGUUAGGACCACUCAAGAACCAGUUGAGAUAGAAAUGCAGUUACGAAGUGAUGAAUAGUUCUCAAGGUUCCUGAAGGAAAAGAAAAGGAGCUAUGCAAGUGCUCUAUGUAAUCAAACAGACAUCCAAAAUGAAUAGAUAAAAGCAUGGACAACCUAUUGAAAGCAGGGAGCGCCACCAUCACAAUAGGGUUAGUCUCUAAACUACAUACAGCUUAAGUUUCAAUUUAGUGCCUGUAUUUGUAAAAUUUGGUCAAACUUUAGUGCCAUCAAGUAUCAACAAAGCCCACUUCGUGCACUAUCAGCGAUACCUAGAUUCUUCAGAUGCAAUCACCUAUUGGAGGAUACUGUGUAAACUGAGGCAUAGAUAGGAUAUCAAGUUCUUAGCUACCUCGUUAGAUGUCAUUAUACACCAAAUUAAUUUGAAGAUGCAAGAAACAUUUCUAAUAGCAUCAUCAUUCAUGAAAAUCAAGCAUUAAAAUACAGGUAAAACUAUAAAAGCACUUAAGUACUCAGGUUACUGUAUUCGAAAGUGCAAGUACAAUCUUUUGAAAGCAGUUAAAACAAUGUCAUGCCAUUAAAGCUGCUGACAGCAGCAGCAUUAUAUACAACCAUAACUGAUAGUCAAAAUCUGUGAUGUAAAAAAGCCUAGGGGCGUUCAAGAUUCAAAAUCUUACCAACAACAUGUGGCCAAAACAAUUCCAGCUAAUAAGAAAUGGACAAGUACAACAGAUGUAAUUGUAAAAACGGUAUGUGCUGCACUAUCUCCAUACCUGAUUUGAUGGAAGAAAAUGUAUACGUUGAUAACAAUAUUAAACAAAUAAUCAAAAAAAGCAAUAAGUAUAAUAAUAAGUCAAUAACUCAUCAGAGGAAACUCCAAAAAUUAAAGGACGUGCAAAAAUAUUUCUUCUUACCCAAAAUAUAUCCUCUUCUACAAGUUGUGAAGUUUUUUUGACUAGAAACGAAAAAAAAAAAAAAAUCGAACAGGUAAAUAGAUAAAUAUGAAAGAAAAAACUUACGCAACACAAUAAGCUAAAGUGGCAAACACAAGAAAAAGACAGAAGAUGACGACAAAAGCAGGAUCAUCACGAGCCCAUUGGUUCUUUGUUUCUGGAAAAUAAGGAAAACUAUAAGUUCCAUAGAAAUAAACAAUACUUCAAGAGAACAGGACAAUUAAUAUUAGUUCAUGCAUAUAUGAUUUCUUACAAUAAGGAGGAACAUUUUUAUGAACAUGAAUGACUAAAGAGAGUGCAUAUGCGUUACCAUAAAGAUAUUAAUUAACCAUAUACAUAUUAUAUAAGAUGUGUAACUAUAAAUAUUGCUCCACAAAUUGGAAUGCACUCUUAACAUCAGAAUUGUUAAAGGUAGAUCACUUACGUUUAUGAUAUUUUGUGUGCUGAUAGCUGUCCAAAAGAGUACAUUACAUGCAAGAAAAAGAGACAUAAUACAAAUCAGCCUUUUUACUAGAUAAUACCAAGGAAUAGUUUAAAAAAAAAAAAAAAGCAAACCAAAGAUGUCAGAAAAAAGAUUAUUGCAUCUUGUUGAAUGCACUCUUAACCAAUUAAUCAGCCAUUUCAUGCCCAUCGGCUUUAAAGACUCACUAAAUUUGUUAUCAACCGUCAGAUAACAUUAUAUAUAUGAUUGACACUACGAACAUGUUGCACCAACGAGUCCUUGCAACAAAAAGGUUGCCAAGCAAUGACAGGUAUGAUGUCCAAAGAACCCCAUUAUACUCUACGGAAGAGAAAACAUACUAGAAUAUUCAUUAACGCUGCAAGUACAUUAAUCUGACAAAAUAUUUGCUAAAAUUCUACUGUAUAUCUUAAUUACUGCAUACACAUCCAUCUGAAGUUCUGAACUAUAACUUUGAGCAUGAAACCUGAAUAUAAAAUAAGUAUUUUCACCGAUGCGAAUAGAAUGAAAUGGAAUAAGGAAAGAUGCAUACACAACUUUCGGCGAGGUGCAAAGAUGAAGCAUUUGCCAGAAUGUAUACUCGAUGUCCAUUUGUUGCCACUACGAUAAGAAAAAUUAACAAGUAAGAUGAGACGACAGAAGUCUGUUCAGACAUAAUGAUAAACAUGAACUAUUCACCAACAUGCAUGAGAUCAAUCUAAAAAUGGCUUCCCAGUACAAAAACUUGCAAGGAUCUGCAGAGUACUAAUAUUGAAAGUAUGUCGGACAAGCUUCAUCAAUAAUCAUCAAACCACAAGAAAAAAGCACAUGAUAGCACAAUGAGAAGCCACGAAUAUCUUCCAGAUUGUAUCAGCCUAAAAGACUCUUGCACUCUACAAAAAGCGUACGAAGAAUCUCGCAGUUUGUUUGCUAAAAAAAGAAAGCCCUUGUACUUUAUGCCAUCCCAAACAGGUCCAAAAAUUCAGAAUGAUUGCAUAACUCCAUUGGAACAGGUUGGCGGAUGACAAUGUCAUAUCAAAUGGAGUACGGUCACAUAAAUAUUAUAACAAUUUUCGUAUACUGCAAAACAUGGAACCCUAUCGAAAUCCAAGCAGUCGUAGAUCUCCCCUAGCACUUGAGUUCCACCUUAUGGCCAUAAAUUAUGCAGCUUAGUUCACAAAAUUGAACAGAAAUGCAGAUCCUAGCAUCUAAAUUCACUUCAGAAACAAUUCAAUCCCAUUUUCUGAUCAUUUACACCAAUUCCCAAUCUAGCAAACAACAAGAUGCUCGUUUCUCCUCCACUGAACUGAGAUCAACAUUAAUAGAUCGAAAAUUCGAGUAUUAGAGCUGCGCAACGAGGAUCUAAACCCUAGUUAUAGGCAGGAGGGGAGGGAUCGAACCUUGAUGAUUCUUCGGAGGUAUUGGGGGAACAAGGGCGGCGCGGGUCGGAGAGAGGAAGAGGGCGUUCGCCCUUUCGACACCGUCGGAAGCAUCGCCUCCUCUUCUUCGAUCGAUCGCGCUCUCUCUCUCUCUCUCUCUCUCCCGAUCGAACGAUCGAUCGAAUCAAAUCGAUUGAACUCUUUUUCUUCUGUUUUUUUUUUUUUCCCUCACUUUCUCUCUCUCUCUCUCUCUCUCUCUCUCUCUCUCUCUCUUCCUUCGUUCGCCUUCGAGAUCUGAGUGGUUAUUUUUCUUUUAUUUUUAUUUUUAUUUUUAUUUUUAUUUGAUCGACGGUGAGAUUUGGCGAGGAGUCGUUCGUCGCCUCAACUCGGCCUACUAAAACUCUGCAAUGUAUACUAAAUUUUUAAUUUUUAAUUUUAAAUUUCAAAUUUUUAAAUUUAAAUUAAAUGAAUGUGAAGAACUUGGUUAGACACAAAUACUUACUGUUGGACAACUACGUAAUUUUUGAAAUUGUUUAUUUUAGCAUUUUUUUACUUUUAAUUAGUAUGACUUUUUGAGCUGUUAUUACAUGAAUCAUGUGAGAAACUAUAAUUAAAUUCAUUAGAAUAAAUAUUACAUUGAAUUUCAGUACUCCAAUUAUUAUUAAAUAGCUUGAAUUACUUGAAUUAAUAAGUUAUUUAGCAGAAUAAAAUUGGUGGGGUAAUUUUUAAAAAAUACAUCGUACUUAAAAUUACUCCAUGCAAUUUUACCCAAAAAAAUUGGGAUGUGGGACAAAAUUGUUAUUUGGAUAUAGCAUUUUUUAGAAAAGCAUUAUAUUAAGAUCCUUUAAAAAGUUACCAUCUCAUAAUGCUCAACCUGAAACCCAAAAUGAUUUUGAGACCAUUAUGUUCAAAUUAUGAGCCUUAUAAAUAUAAACUCUUAAGCGAUUUUGAUUGAAUUGUAAAAUAAGUUAGAAAUUAUAUUUAGACUUCGUUUGAAAUUACAGAAAAAUUACAUUAUGUGCGGUAAGAAAGUACGAUAAAAAAAUACCCUAUUUGUUUCCGUAAAUAGAGACAUAUUCUUAUAUACUUUUUUCCUAACUCCAUUUUAUCUAACAGCGUCAGAUAGACCUCAAUACCAAACUAAGCCUUAAUAUAUUUCACCUUUUCUGAUAAAAUUACUUACAAAUCGCUUUAUUAAACAACAAUACACUCAACAACAAAACUAAACAAAGGCUUUGUUUGGGAUUGUUGGGAAAUUGUGUUAUGUGUGGUGAGAAUGUAGGAUAGAAAAAUAUUUCGUUUGUUUUUAAACGUAAUAUUACGUUCCGCAUAUCGCGAUAAAUCGGUUAUUAUAUAUUUUCUGCAGUCCCAUCGGGAUACCAAACUAAGCCAAAGACAUAAUACGCUUCAAAGGCUAGGAUAAACCCAGUGGACUAUAAAUAUUUGGGCCAUGAACGGUCCAAGCCGGUCCAAGAAAUAAAGUGUGGAUUUAAAAUCCGAGCUCCGGUCCAAUUUGACAUACAUAAGAACGUAGUACUUAGGCCUGUAUGGGCCCAUAAGCUCGGCCUAAUUGGGUCGGAUUUAGGCCUAAUAUCCCCGUAGAACUCUCAAAAGAUCCAAUAUAAUACCACUUAACCCAAAUAAUUGGAACGAGAAAAAAAGAGUUCUUAUAUCCUCAUUUUGAAAAUGCUUCUUUUAGCAAAAUUUAUUUCAAAUAUAUAUAAAUGAACGUGAUUCCUAAAGAAUUUUCUAUGUGCCCGGUGCAAUUCUACCCCUUUUUUGGAUAAAAAUAUACGAGAUUCACCUGAACUAUGGACUCUCGAAAUUUUAAUUUUACUAAUCAUCAUUUCAAUUUGUUUGAUUUGACUCAGUCAAUGAUACUCUGACUUUAAAUUUUGAAUGCGGUGUUUAUAUAUAUUUACAUAUUUAAUUAGCAUACUUUAUAUAAAUACUCGUAACUAUAAAUUUAUUAAAAUAAAUAAUUAACUUAUAUUUUGAAGUUAAAGUAUCAUCGGCCAAUUCAAAUCAAAUAAAUUGAAAAAUCUAAAAUCAAAGUUUUAAAAAUUAGACAACAGACUCAGAAUAGUUCAUAGUUUGAAUAAGUUGUGUAUUGUUUAUCUUGAACCCCUACUAAUACCUAUAUUAUUCCAUUAUCCAAAAAUUUAGAGUGCAAGUUUUCUUUGUAAAACAUGCAAACAGAAAAUAAAAUCCCCAGAGUUUAGAGCCGAUAAUUAAGAUAAUAAUUGUUGAGCUAGUCAAGUAGUUGUUAUCAUGACAUAAUCACUAGCGUAACAGCCAAGUAUAGUAUAAAAUAUAUAUACAUAUAUACAUAUAUACUUAGUGUUUUUUUAAUACUCCUACUAAUGCCUCUCACUUUGCUCUAAUAAUUUGUUUCAUCUACUACGUCACAACGCACCUCAACCUCUAAAGCAGAAGCACCCACAUCUAUCACAAAGAAGCCUACAUGAAAAUUAAUAAUAAUAAUAAUAAUAAUAAUACACAUAUGCUUGUGCUACAUAUAAAAAUAUAUACAAUUAAUGAAUUCAAUAGUGUAUCUAUAGAUGCCUUGUUACCUAGUUUCCAUCAUGUGUUGUGAGCUGUUCCCCAUUUUUGGACCAUUCUCUCUCUCUCUCUCUCUCUCUCUCUCUGCUCACCAUUAAUUGCACUACUUUUUAUUAAUUGUUAGUUAAAUAAUAUAUUGGGAACCAUGGGAGAAAGAUCCCACCUCAUGCAUUAGGUUACUUAUAUAAUAUUAAUGCAUGGGUAUUUGGGCUCACCUCUUUUUGAAUGGUAUAUAUUAAUGGUUGAUAAUAAUGCACAUAAAAAAUGGGCCAUUACACUAUAGUUUCAAUGUUUGAUUUGGGUGGAGGUGGGUCCCAAAAAUUGCCCCAUAGAAUAAUAAUAGCUAUAUAAUUUGGCCUUAUCUCUUCUAGUGUAGUUAUUCGAAACAACGCAUUAUUGAUACCAAUGUUUUAAAAAUCGAAACCUGAAUUAGGCUCGAAAGUGAUGGUUUGUUUGUGAUCUCUUUUUGACGAUUGUACAAGAGUUUUGAGUAUGAAAAUGUGAUUGACAAGUCGAAACUAAAUGCGUCGCCAUUGAUAACGAUAUGUAUAGCGAUUACUAAAAUGGAGCAAAAGGUUGAGCCUUGAAGGUGGAUGGAAGUUAAUAGAAAGAUCCAUUUCAAUGAGUUACCUGAGAACUCAGCUUCGACAUUAACUUUGGUAAAUUUGAUCAAGCUAAUUUGCUUGGGUUAUAUAUUGACGACAUGUUGUGACGUCCCACAAGUCUCACAUUGGAUAGAUUAUGAUUAAGAAUAUGAAGUUUAGAGAGUCUAAUACUAAUACUGAUAAGUAGGUUUAAACAUUUUUAGUCGGUGGUCUGAAUCGACAAGCUAUUAGGGCAAAUGAGUCGAGUCAUUAUAUUUGAAAAGAAAGUGGUUUUUCAUCUGAUAAAAAAAUCUUAUAUUGGAUGAAAGAGAGAUUGGAUCAAACGAGAUAUUAGUGCCAGUGAAUUUGGUCUAAAGUUAAUCUUUAUUUUGAUCCUUAAACUCUUAAGGUCACUAUUUGCAGGUUUUUACUUUUGAUUGUGACCCAAAAUAGCGACCUGUUAGGAAAUAGGUUAAGGAUUAUAUAUUAACACUCCCGGGCCUAAAGAGCAAAGGAUUUUAAAAUUGACUCUGAUACAAUAUUAUAUUAAAAAAUGAUCUAGUUAAAAACUUAUUCAGAAAUAUACAUUAAUAUUGAUAAAAAUUUAUUUAGCAAAUGUAUACAAAAAAAAACAGAGUAAAUUUUUUUCUAAAAGUUAAAAAAAUUACCAAUGUUGAAUUAAUAACUGUUUGAGUAACAAAAUUAAACUUGGGAUGUUAUCCACCCCUUUUAUAAAUUAGGAUUAAUUUUAUACUUCUCUUUGUAAAUAUAUCGAAUAGCAUAUGUAUUCCUAAAAAGUUUAAACUUUCAUAUUUAUUUAUGCAAAAGCAAAAGUACAGUGAUCUUAAUAUUUAUCUUUCUAAUUUGUUACUGUUAGAAUACUAUUUACUUUUUAACAGAAAAUAAGUGGCAUGAUAUUUUUAUCAUCACAAAUAUAUCCGUUCAAAAGACCCAAUUAUUAAAAUUAUAUAAAAUAAAAAUAUUUCUUUAAAAAUUUUCAAUAAUCAAUUUUUUUUUUGUCUACCAUCACAAAUAAUAUAAAAGGAGUAAAAAUAUAAAUUUACCUCAUUCACCAACUAAAAUUAAAUAUUUUAUCUAUAAUUAAUUAUAUUUUUUUUCUAACGGAUUCUAACAAUAUGAAUAUAUUUAAAGACGUUAAAAUUUUACUGAAAAAAAUAUAAAAAUUUAAAUUUAUAAAAAUAUAUUUAUUAUUCAAUAUAUUUAUAAGGAGUUUUAUAUAAUUAACCUUAGAUUAUAACUAGGGUUGGGCUCUCACCGCACAAGCGGUUUCUAUGCGGACGCGGCGGCGCACGAUAGCACGCGCUCGUGUGGAUAUUUUAGUCCUCGGGGGGGGUGAAAGGGCGAGGGAGGCCCCGCACAGUUGUAGAGCGAGGGGAUAUGCCAACUACUUUUGCGCGAAUCUUAACGAGAGAUGCUCAUGUCGCCACCGUUCCCGCGCGCGCGAAGAAACCACAAGAGAGAGAGAGAGAGAGAGAUGAGUGCGUUGUAGCUGGCGAAGAUGACGUGGACUUCGCCGAACUCGCGGGGCCCACGCGCGACGUACAAUGUGAAACCGAGGACGAGGAAGCGGUCGCCACGUGUGAACGCCUCUCGCGGGCCCCACCCGGGGCGCUUUUUUGUUUUUUCUUUUUCUUUUUCUUCUUUAAUACACGUGGGAGAAUCCAAUUGUCGCCGUGGAAGCGAUUGGGGACACGUGGAGGUUUUAGAGGCCGCGGGAGGGAGGUGAUGACGUGGCAGAUUGUCGGCCGUGCGCUGAUCGAUCACGUGAUCUCGUCGGUUUGUUCAUUUAUAGUACACAACUUAAUCUGUGAACAGGACUUUGAUCUAACUGAUUUUCACGGCCAAUUUUGACUAAUUUUUGAAAAAUUUCAGUCCCAGUACAAUAUUAUUAUAAAUGCUAAUAUUUUCGUACUUAUAAAUUAUUUUUUAAUGAUAAAAAUAUCAAAAUUAAUUUUAUAAUUUUUUUAAUAUUAUAUAUAUAUAUAAUAACUGAAAUACUAUUAAAAUAUUUAAACUUUUUUGUUAUCGAAUUUUUAAUUCUUCGGUGAAAAAUUAUAGAAUUAGAAUGAUAGUAGUGCUCUAGGGUUUAGUAAUGGUGCCUCUAGAAUUGAGUGGAUAGUUGGUUGAAUAAUUUAAUCUAAAGUGUGAAAUUGAUUAAAAUGUAGAUCUAACGGCUAAAAAAUCGAUAACAAAAGACUCUAAAUACUAUUAAUAAUAUUCCAGCUCAACUCUCUCUCUCUCUCUCUCUCUCUCUCUCUCUCUCUCUCUCUCUCUCUCUAUAUAUAUAUAUAUAUAUAUAUAUAUCUUGUGGUCAAAAUCAAUUUUAAUAAUUGGUACUAAAUAUUUUUUUCUUUAGCACUGUAGAAGAAUAAAAAUCAAUUGAAUUUUUUACAGUAUUUAGAUCAAGAUCACUAAUUCUAAUCUUGAAUUAAAUAAUCCGAUCAUCUUUUUUUGAAAAUCAUUCAAUUUUGACCAUUCAUUUUAUAUCAAUUUAACAGACUUUGUUACAAUUUCAAUGAGUUACAAAAUUUGAUUUUUAGGUGUUUCAUAUACUCAAAUUAUAUAUUUAACGGUAUAAAUCGUGGAUUCUAAAAUUCUAAAAUAAAAUACAACUUACUAGUAUGGAAAUUUUUAUACUCAUAAAAGUACGUAGCAUUACUCAGAAUAUUUAUUUGUAAUUUACAAAUAUUAUAUUUCUACUUUUUUUAAAAAAAAAAAAAAAAGAAGCUAUGAGUAGAUACUAUUCUUUACACUCAUAAUACAUGCAUGUUUUAGAUUGAAUAUGUUGCAGUGUAAAAUUCUUUUUCGGAUAUUUAAAUAACUCGUUAAAAAUUGUUGGAUACACUAAAUCUUUCAUUAACGAUGAAAUUAUUUUAGACUCGAUCCUCACUUAAGAACAUGUCAAUGAUAGAGAAUUUUGCCAUUGUCAAAGUCAAUCGAGAUGAGAUUUUUACACAAGUACAACAUUAUUUCACCGUUAAUAAGAAUUAGAAAAAUCUCUUAUUACACGUUUGCGAAUAAUAUAGUUUAACCAAGUAGCACAAAACGAAAAGAUUUUAAACUUACAACACUUUUUCAGCUUAAAUUAUUUUUUUUUAUAAAUAAACUUAGCUGAAAAUAUGAAAUAAUUAAAUUUCAAACUUUGAAAAUGUUUAGAUAUUGAUCAUCAUUUUUUUUUUAUCGCUUGCGCUAGUGACGGUCACUUUACAAAGUUACAGUAUCAUAUAUGCAGAGUUAUUGGAGGGAUCUAAAGGAAGGAAAAGAGAAAAGAAUUCACAAUUUCUACUUUAAGACUUUGAAACUUCAAAAGACUUUUUUUUUUUUUUAAAAAAAGAAAUUUAGUCUCAACCAGAAUUGAUUGUGAAAGUAUAAGACAAAAUGAAUCCAAGUUUGGUUGGGUGUAAAAGUCAACUAAUUCAAAAACGAAGCUUAGGACGUUGAAAUUAAACUGAAAUUGAUGGGUAACAAAAAUUCCACCAUUUCCUGCGACCGUUAAUACAGCGAAAGUGAUUGACUACGCUCAACUACUGCGCUAAAUCACAGUUACGGUAGUUUUACCCACAAUCUCGGUGGGUAGUUAAUAUACAGCGAAAGAAUAAGAACCUCUUUUUUAAAAAUUAAUUCCGGCCUGGAUAAUUCCAGAUCAUUUAUGUCGUUUUCGAAAGAGUUUGAGUUUUAAUCAGAAUUUUUAGUAAGUCAAGCAAUAAAAAACGAACAUUUACGGUUAAAUACUAUUUCAUCACUCUCAACUUUCGGUGAAACUCUUUUUUUUUAAAAAAAUAAUAAUAAGUAGCACGCUAUCUGUUUUAUUUAUUUUAUUUAAAAAUAAACGUAACUGGAAAUGUGAAUCAAUUAUGAUUCGAAUUCGAGACCUCAGGUAUCAACUAUCAAGUUCUUUGCCCCUUGCUUUAGGAAAGAUUGGUACAGUGAAACUCAUUUUAAUCAUAUUUUUUGAAUGCGUUAGUUUGAAUGUGUUAAUAAAUAUCUAUACACCAUACGAUUUUACUGUUCAGUUAUUAAUACAAAUAUCUGAGACAUCUAACCUAAUGUGUUCGUAGAAAAAACAUACAUACAUAUAUAUAUAUAUAUAUAUAUAUAUAUAUAUAUAUAUAUAUAUAUAUAUAUAUAUAUAGUAGAGCUAGAAUACUGUAAAAGUAUCACCCAAAUAAUACUUGUGUGUUUUAGUCCUUGCGAUGGAGAGAUGUGAGGUUGAAAUGAUGGUGGCAGGUGGUGGUAGGUGGAAUAGUGUUUGAUCCAAGACUAUUAAUAAUCAAAAAGUAGAAUCAAUGGCUAAAAAAACACAAGUAUCAUUGGAUGAUACUUGUAAAAGUAUUCUAGCCCUACUCUAUAUAUAAUAAUAUUAUAUAUAUAUAUAUAUAUAUUAUAUAUAUAUAUAUAUAUAGUUGAGCUAGAAUACUAUCGAUAGCAAAUCGGCACUUUUGUCAACCCAUUUGUUUUCGAUUAUAGAGCCUCCAAAUUAAUGAUCGACACCGUUGAAUAUGAUCUAUACUAUUUGAAGUAUUAGAAAUCAAAUUUUAUACAUUUUCGAUAUGUGUCUAUCCAUCGAGUGGACACAAAAAGAACGCGCUGAAAAUGGAUAUUCUCAAAAAAAUGAGAAGAGAGUCUUGUAAUCAAGAUCAAAAGUAGUAUGAUUGUUUUUAAAUAAUUUAAAAAAAUUUAUAACAAAAUUCAAUUGAUUUGGAUAUUUUUACAUCGCUAAACGAGAAACGCCUCAUACCGACCAUUAAAAUUACAAAUUUUGAAACCUUUUGAUCAUUAAAGCAAAUAAUGUCAAAAAGAUUUGAAUUUGAUUUCUAAACACUUCAAGUAAUAUAGAUUCACGUUCAACGAUACCGAUCGUUGAUUGGAGGCUCUAUCAUGACAAAUGGUGGCAAAAAAACAAAAGAGCUCGUUUGCUAUCGAUAGUAUUCUUAACUCAACAUAUAUAUAUAUUAUAAUAUAUAUAUAUAUAUAUAUAUAAUAUAUAUAUAUAUAUAUAUAAUAAUAUAUAUAUAUAUAUAAUCCGGCUACUAUACUAUCGGUAGUACGGGCCUCCCGUGCUACCAAGUGUUUCGAUUAUGCGCGUGCUUCCAAAUCGACGACGCGUCCGUUAGGAACUUGAUUUAUACUAUUAAAAGUAUUGGAAACUAAAUUUCAUAAUUUUUCGAUAUCAUUUACCUAUCAAACAAAUAGUCUAAAAUUGAACGGCUGAAAAUAAAAAUCUCAUAAAAAAUGAUGAUAAAAAAUUUAAAUUCAAGAUCAGAUAUACUGAUCUUACUCUAAAUAGUGAAAAGAAUUUUCUAUAAAAUUUUCAUCAGAUUUGAAUUAUUUUACACCGUUAAACUCACAAACACGCCACAUCGGCCAUUAAAAUGGUCAAUUUUGAGAUCUUUUUAUCACUAGUCAAAUGAUGUCGAAAAAUUAUGAAAUUUAGUUUUCAAAUACUUUUAAUAGUGUAGAUCAAGUCUAACAGAGCCGAUCGUCAAUUUGGAAGCCGCAUCAUCGAAAACAACUUGGUAGCACGGGAGGUCUCGUGCUACCGAUAGUAUAGCAGCUGGACUCUAUAUAUAUAUAUAUAUAUAUAAUUGAGCUGGAAUACUAUCGGUAGCAAACGGGCUCCGUUGCCACCCAUUUGUUUUCGAUGAUGGAGCCUCCAAAUCGAUGAUCGGCACCAUUGAAAAUAAUCUAUACCACUUGAAGUAUCUAGAAAUUAAAUUUCAUACUUUACCGAUAUUAUUUUCUUGUCCAUCAAGUGGGCGUAAAAAUGAAUAUCCUCUAAAAGGUGAUGAUAGAAAUUUUGUAAUCAUGAUCGAGAGUAUAGAUCCUGUUUUAAAUAGUUUAAAGAAUUUUCUAACCAAAAUUCAAUUGAUUUGGUUAGUUUUAUACCAUUAAACGAGAAAAUCUCUCAUAUCAACCAUUAAAAUUACUAAUUUUGAAACCCUUUGAUCAUUAGGUAAAUGAUGUCGAAAAGAUUUGAAAUUUAAUUUCUAAAUACUUUAAGUGAUAUAGAUCAUGUUCAACGGUGCCGAUCGUCGAUUUGAAAAAUCUAUCAUCGAAAAUAAAUGGGUGGCAAAGGAGUCCGUUUGCUGCCGAUAGCAUUCCAGCUCAACUCUCUCUCUCUCUCUCUCUCUCUCUCUCUAUAUAUAUAUAUAUAUAUAUAUAUAUAUAUAUAUAUAUAUAUUCUUCUAUGCAAGGAGCCAGAUAUUAAAUUCCAAGCGACAAAACUAUACAUCUAUUCACAUUCAUGUACAAAGAAAUCAAAGUGGUCCAGUGGAGUGGGGGUUUAAGGGUGGGCAGGGGCAAAACCGAAAACGUAUGAAUAAAAAAAAAGGGUAAAUUUCAAAUACCACAUCUGUGGUUUCAUAAUUUUUUAAUUUAAUACCAUGUGAUUUAAAGUGUAUCAAGUUAGUAUUCUGUGGUUUCAUUUUUAAUUUUUCAUAAGCUUUUUCGUUAAUAUUUCGUUAAAUUAUAUACAAAAAAUUUCAGAUAUCUCAUAUUGAUUUAUCGAAUAUUCAUUUUAGUACCUUAUAAUUUUAAUUUUGCUACUAAUUUAACGAAAAAAAAUUAGCGGAACCGAUAAUAAAAAGAUAAAAAUAAAAUCAUAUGAUACUAAAUUGAUACGCUUUAAAUCAUACAGUACUAAAGUGAGAAAAUAUGAAAUCACAUAUGGAUGGUAUUUAAAGUUUUUUUAAUAAAAUAAUAAGCAUUAGAUAUUUUGGAGGGAAUAAUAAUAAAGUGAAAGUAAAAAACCAAAAAUAAAAAAUAAAAAAUAGGGCACGCAUAAAAUGAGGGGGAAAGGAAAGGGCGGAGGAAAGUGGGUGGGGGAGUUUGAGUCGGUUUGGGAAGACCGACACGUGGCGGUGGGAGGGUGACGGAGGCCGUUGGGGAAAGGGGUCGUCGGUUGGGGAUGGACAGGCUGGAGUUGGCAGGGCGGGUGUGGGAAGACUGAAGAGCCGGGAAGAGUGCAGACUGUGCAGUUAUGAUCCGUCCUCUGAUUCCGCGACACAGCUUGUCUGCUCUCUCUUCCACCUCGCCACCUCCCCACUCCCAAACUAUUCAAACCUCAAAAAAUAACAAUAACAAUAACAAUAAUAAUAAUAAUAAUAAUAAAGGGUAAUUAUUUAUAUUUUUCUAAUUUUUAUUUAUUUUUUUAUAAGAAUAAUAUUAAAAAUAUCUUUUUUACGUUUCAUACCAUUUCAAAUAUAUUUCUAGAGUUAAAUUCUCGUUAAUAAACUGUUAGCAGCAGCUGUUAUCUUUAUAAAAUUAUUAUUUUGCUAUUUCAAAUAUACCAUUCUACUAUAACCGACUUUUCUCAUUUGUCCUUAAAUUAGGGGUAUAAAAAAUAUUUUAAUUUUGGUCUUAUUUGUCUUUAAGUUAAGGGCAAAAGAGAUAUUUUAUUUUUUUUAACUCUGAUAAAUAUUUAACUCACGUUUAAUUUAAGUUAAUUUAAGAGGUGAUAACUGUACAUGUAUUUUGAAAUAAUGAAAGAACAUAUGAGAGGUAUAUUGAAAGAAAAAAAAAUAUGAGUAAAUGAGAUAUUUUCGAAGCUUUGAGAAAUAUAUAGGCAGUUAUUUCUAAUAAUAAUAAUAAAAGCUACUUGUUGAUUAGAUCAAACUCAUACAUUAUUCACACAUUAUGAAGUGUGAGAUCCCUGUUACUUCUAUAUAUUAAAUAUAAUAAGACUUAAAAGAAAUUUAAUCCGGUUAUAGUAUUUUGAAUGAUGACUAAACUCAAAAGGUUAAUAAAAUUAAAUGUAUUAGAACUAGAGUAAUUCUAGGAUAAUUGAUUUUCUGAAAAGUGGAGCAUCACAUUAAUUUGAUAUUUUUUUCCUUUUUGAAUAUCAUAAUUUGUGAUACUUAUAAUGGCGUGGAAGGUGAAAACAAGAUUAUGAAAUAUGAUCGACUAUAUCUAACAUAAUUGAUUAAGAACUCAAUAAUUAAUAUACGAGGUCUCAAGUUUAAAAUUAAGACAUUUCUAACUUGAGCUCAUUUAUGAAAAAUAUGCUAGAGAGGUUAAAAAAAAAAAGAAUAUGAGAUAUGAAGAUUGAAGCUCUAAUUUAGUCCUUCUAUUUUGGCAUCAGUAAAAUUUUUUUAAACAAAUUUCAAUAUAGUAAUCCUUAUAAAAAAUUCACCACAGUAACACUAUAUAGCACAGCAGAGCCAAGUUCUUAAAAGCCAAUUUAAUUUGCAAACUCGUAAACUUUUGGUUUCAAACUCUCCAAAUAAAAACUGUUACGUGCAUGUUCAUUUCUUCAAUCCAUGAUUAUUGACACCUUCUCAUAUUAAAUACAACUCUACUUGGCGAGUUGAUGUCAUGAAUUGAAAGUUAGAGGUGGAUGAAAAACCUAGAUGCUUAUAUAUAUAUAUAUAUAUAUAUAUAUAUAUAUAUAUAUAUAUAUAUACACAGAGAGAGAGAGAGAGAGAGAGAGACUAGCUGCUAUACUAUCGGUAGCACAAAGGCUUCCGUGCUGCCAAGUUGUUUUCGAUUAUACGGCUUCCAAAUCGACGAUCGGCUCCGGUAGACUUGAUUUACACUAGUGAAAGUAUUUGAAAACUAAAUUUCAGAUUUUUUCAACAUCAUUUGACUAGUGAUCAAAAGAUCUCAAAAUUGACAAUUUUAAUGGUCGAUGUGGUGUGUUUGUAAGUUUAACGGUGUAAAACAAUUCAAAUCCGAUAAAAAUUUUAUAGAAAUUUUUUUUUACUAUUUAGAGUAAGAUCAGUAUAUCUCAUCUUAAAUUUAAAUCUUUUAUCAUCAUUUUUUAUGAGAUUUUUAUUUUUAGCCGUUCAAUUUUAGAUUACUUGUUUGAUAGGUAAAUAAUAUCGAAAAAUUAUGAAAUUUAGUUUCUAAAUACUUUUAAUAGUGUAGAUCAAGUCUAAUAGAGUCGAUCGUCGAUUUGUAAGCCGCAUCAUCGAAAACAAAGCCGGACUAUAUAUAUAUAUAGAGAGAGAGAGAGAGAGAGAGAGAGACUAUUAUAUUGUUAAUAGUAUCAAGCAUUUUGUGCUAUUAGAUUUUCAGCCUUUGAAUGAAGGGGCGUGCGUUUAAGAUAAUAAUGAUUCUUUAGAACUGAAUAGGUGGUUGGUUGAAUAGUAUAAUCUAACAGGUAAAAGUAGUCAAAGAGAUAGAUCUAACAGUAGAAAACUCGAUAGCACCAAAUAUUUAGUACUAUCAAUUAAUAGUAUAACAGUCGGACUAUAUAUAAAUAUAUAAUUUUUUUUUAAGCUUAAUACGUGGCAAAAGUAAUAAUUAAAGCGAAGCCAAUUAUAAUUCAGGCCACCAAUUUUUACGUAAUUUAUUUUUUAUCGAACAAAUACUAGAACUAAAAAAAAGUUCAACUCUACAACUAUAGAAAUAAAUACUAAAAAAAUAUAAUAUUGUUGAAAUUUUAAUAUAACUAAUAAAUCUAUUUUAAUCUAAAUUUUAGUUUACAUGCCCAUAAUAUUUUUUUUUUUUUGAAAGAGNUUACUUAGAAAUAUGUAUAAUUAAUUAAUUAUAUAUAAUAAUACUAUUUAAUAUAUACUAAUAUGGAAUUAAAUAUUUUGUUAAUAUAUAAUAUAUUCUCAUAUAUAUAUAUAUAUAUAUAUAUAUAUAUAUAUAUAUUAUUUAAUUUGCAGUUAGGUACUGCGUAGCCAAUAUAUUGUACGUCGCACGAAUAUAAAAGCAUGUAAUGUCGCACAUAAAGGGGCUCUAUAUAUAUAUAUAUAUAUAUAUAUAUUAUAUUAUAUAAUAUACUAAAUAUAAAUAGUGAUAUAAAACAAAGCGGAAGCGGGCAGGAACAUCGUACGUACCCGCAUGUACACGCGGUUGGGCGAGGGAGAUCACACGGCCCACAAUGGCGGCGUGUUGAUGGACGGCUCUGAUGAAAAGGGAGUUAUUGCACAACCGGAUAGCUACGCCGAGUACGGUCACCGUGCCGCGUGUGUUACCGCACGUCAACGGAGGUUGGGAUGUCUAAACGGCGGAAUUGCAUGGAGACCCUUCAACCGCUUUGCGUUUUCGCAAAGGCCCUUAAACUUUAUUUUAGAUUUUAAUUGAGGCCCUCUAGAUUUUUUAAUUUAAAAUUUAAUAAUUAUAGCUAAUUAAAUAAAAAAUUAACAGACCUGUUGAUAAUCUGAUUUUAUAUUUUUUUAGCAAAAAAACUAGAUAAACUUAGCGGCUAAAAGUAUUUAAACUAUUAAAUUUAAUAAAAUUUCUAAAUUUACAAAGGAUAAUGAAAGCCAAGACAAUUUUAAUAAAAGAAAGGUCAAAAAGUAUGGAGACCAUUUUGAUAUAGCCCAUCAGCUUUUUUUUUUUUNUUAAUUAAAAAAUUUAUUAAAAUAAUGAUUUUACUAGGACUUGAGUAAAAAAAAAUCAGAAUUAUUAAUUUUGAUUAAAAUUUAAUAAAUUUGAUAAAAUUUGUUUUUUGAGAAUUAUUGAUACCAAAAUUGAGCCGACCUAACCCACGUAUGAACCAAUAAGGACACGUGGUACACCAGGAGUCGGCAAUAAGGCGCCUAAAGGACAAGAAGGCGGGAACGGUUGAAGAUUGGGGCGUAACUUUCAUGAGGAGUUAGCGUAACUUUCAUGAGGAGUUAGUAUAACUUCCACGAUCAUGGUUACAACCACUCCCCCCCAACUACUUUCAACCAACUAAUAAUGUAGGCUAUAAAUAGUAACUUUGAAGCCUGCAAUAAGGGUCUUCGCCCCUGCGCACAAAAGACCACCCUUAUUUCCUCUGCAUUUUAUUGCUUUUCUAGAAGUAGUCUAAAUGUAAUUUUUUUCUUUUCCGCAUUUACUGCUUUUCUGGAAGUAGUUCGCUAAGUAGAUCUUUGGAGUUUGUCUGCCCCAUGGGCAUCACUCCCUUAUAGAAUAUACUUGGAGUCUGUCUGCCCUAUGGGCAUCACUCUCUUGUAGAAUGUACUUGGAGUCUGUCUGCCCUACGGGCAUCAUUCCCCUGUUUGUGUACUUUUUCCUUUUGCUAUUCAAUAGAAAGUCAUUUUCGGCUCUUCCUGCCGAUCAGAUCACAAGUUGUUUGGCCAUUCGGCUCGUUUCUUAGUCGAAUUCUGGGCUUCCCUUCUCCAUUCGGCUCAUUCUGCCGAAGUGACUCUACUGCAAAGGUUUUCGAACCCGGUUGAUUCGAUUCCUCAUUGGCCUAAUCGCUUGAUCCUCUGUGGGAGCAUACUUCGAGGGUCGUAAUCCGCAGCCGUCUCGCAUCUCGACGAUCUUCCCGAUGAGUGUAUUUUGACCUAGUCAAGGGUCGGGACUUUCGGCCACCAACAAAUUUUGGCACGCCCGGUGGGACAUAUUUUUAGGUAAAUUUAUAAUUUAUGCCUGAUGAUCUACGUAAUAGGGUUGUUUCUAGAAAUUCUGGGAGUGAUCAACCUAUUGAUUCAGACAAUGCUGGCGAAUGUCAAGUAGUUUUGCCAGUUGAAGGAGAAACUAGUGGACAGUCGGCUCAUCAAGAGCCGAGUCUAACUCAGGCACUCGGCCAGAUGAGCCGAGUCCUGCAAACUUUAGAUCAAAAUAUCCAUCAAAGUACCGCUCGACUAGACGCAGUGCUGGUCGCUAUCACGGCCUAUAAUGAAAAUAUUGCACGAAUAGGACAAUUAUUGACUCGAAAUGAGCAACCAAUGACAGACUUACAAAGGCCUAUGAUGACACCAGUGUUGCAAAAUCCUGCGACAUCGGUAAAUGGACAGCCCCAAUACUGGGGGGCACCAUUCCAAGCGGUUUACAGAUCGGUCGUCGUCAAUACCGAUCAACAGCCGAAAAUUACAUAGGGAUUGCCACCACCUCCGCCGAUGGCAGCAUACCAAUCCCAAAAUUUAGGGGCUAGAGCUGGGGGGCAAGCCCCUAAUGAUAUGCAAGGAGCGAACUCUGUAAUACAGAAUUCUGGAGUUCCUCAAGGGCCAAAUUCGGCUCAAGCACAAGCUCCGCUGUAUGCUCAGAUUGAGGAAGUCAUUCAGAAUACCUUCGGAGUAGGGGCCAGGCCAGCUAUGCGGCCUGUUUUUCGAUCCCCGUAUCCAGCAAACAUAGAUACAGAGCAUCCGUAUCUGGCAAACUGGAAAAUGCCGAAGUUCGACAAGUUCUCGGGCGAUAAGACCGAGAAUACGGUUGAGCAUAUAGCCCGGUUCACGGCCCAAUGUAGAGAAGCGGCCGCUAACUCAUUUUUGAAACUUCGAUUAUUUAAUACGUCGUUAACUAAAACGGCGUUUACUUGGUAUACAAGUUUAUCAGCCUAUUCCGUCCAAGAUUGGGAUGAAUUGGAAAGAAAAUUUCAUAAGCGAUUCUAUAGAUCGGAGCCACAAUUAUCGGUCGCCGACUUGGCUUUAUACCGACAAAUGUCAGGUGAAACGGUCGAAGAGUAUUUGGACCGUUUCAAAAUAGCCAAAACCCGGUGCUUUAUGAGAAUGCCGGAAUCAGAGUUUGCCAAAAUGGCGUUAAAUGGUCUACAUUUUAAGAUAAAAGACUAUUUUGAAGAUAAGUAUUUUUCUAACCUAUUUGAUCUAGGUGUUCGAGUUACCUAAUACGAGCAAUUUCAGAAGAAAAGUGAGGACGAUCGGCUACAAUUGAGCCGAUAUAAAAAUCAAAGCAAAGGCAAGGAGAAAUCCUUGCUAGAAGAACAGUCGGUUCAAGAAGAGCCGAGCCAAUCGAGUGAAAGUGAAGAAUCGGCUGAUGAAGCCGAGAUAUAGCCACUUCCUUUAAGAAGAAUUUCCUGAUAGAAAAGCAUUCGGUUCAAGAAGGGCCGAACUAAAGUAAAGAAUCGGCUGAUGAAGCCGAGACAUAUGUGGCUGGGAUGAUAAAGCGUCGUUUUCCUAAAGCCGACCAAGACCAGCGAAACUAAAGCUUGGGUCUCGGCUGUGCUUUUGAACAGUCGAUUUGGCACCAAUAGUCAUCCGAAUGUUCAUUCGAAAGACUAUUGGGGGGGUAUUGUUGAUACCAAAAUUGAGCUGACCUAACCCACGUAUGAGCCAAUAAGGACACGUGGUACACCAGGAGUCGGCAAUAAGGGCCUAAAGGACAAGAAGGCAGGAACGGUUGAAGAUUGGGGUGUAACUUUCAUGAGGAGUUAGCAUAACUUCCAUGAGGAGUUAGUAUAACUUUCAUGAUCAUGGUUACAACCACUCGCCCCCAACUACUUUCAACCAACUAAUAAUGUAGGCUAUAAAUAGUAACUUUGAAGCCUGCAAUAAGGGUCUUCGCCCCUGCGCACAGAAGACCACCCUUAUUUCCUCUGCAUUUUAUCGCUUUUCUAUGAGUAGUCUAAAUGUAAUUUUUUUCUUUUCCGCAUUUACUGUUUUUCUGGAAGUAGUUCGCUAAGUAGAUCUUUGGAGUCUGUCUGCCCCAUGGGCAUCACUCCCUUAUAGAAUAUACUUGGAGUCUGUCUGUCCCAUGGGCAUUACUCUCUUGUAGAAUGUACUUGGAGUCUGUCUGCCCUACGGGCAUCAUUCCUCUGUUUGUGUACUUUUUUCUUUUGCUAUUCAAUAGAAAGUCAUCUUCGGCUCUUCCUGCCGAUCAGUUCACAAGUUGUUUGGCCAUUCGGCUCGUUUCUUAGUCGAAUUCUAGGCUUUCUUUCUCUAUUCGGCUCAUUCUGCCGAAGUGAUUCUACUGCAAAAGUUUUCGAACCCGGUUGAUUCGAUUCCUCAUCGGCCUAAUCGCUUGAUCCUCUGUGGGCGCAUACUUCGAGGGUCGUAAUCCGCAGCCGUCUCGCAUCCCGACGAUCUUCCCGAGGAGUGUAUUCUGACCUAGUCAAGGGUCGGGACUUUCGGCCACCAACAAGAAUAAUAAAAUUUCUAAUUUAAUAAAAAUGUUAUAUAAAAGGAAUUAAAAUUUAAGGAGUCAUGUUCAAUUGUAAUAUAGGUGAAGGGUGUUGUCAUAAAUUGUUACCUAACUUACUCGAUUUGAGGUAUCAAUCGAAUUAAAAACCGGUUUCGGGUCAAAUUCUGGAAAGGGAAAUAACAGCUCACUCCCGAAUUCGGUUUCAAAUUUCCGUGUCCUCCGUGCGUAGAAAUUUUCGACCCCACUUCGUAACUCCCAACGGCUGCGUCAGGAGGGAAACGGAAAAGCGGAAACGGGAAACGGUUCCGCAAGCGAAGAUGCGUUUCCGAAGUGGAGGGCGAGAGUCGCUCCGCUACUCGAGAAGCGGGGGAGGUCGCAGAUAUUAUUCGAGUGUGCGGGUGUGGAUACACCCGGUGCACCGCGCGCCACACGUUUAUAAUUAGUUUGUGCAUUUUUAUUCUCUGUAUAUACGAGUUUUUUAAUUCUCCACUGAUUGUAGCAGUUUUUCAAUUUUUGUUAUUUAUCUGGAUAUAUAUAUUUUGUUUUAGGAAUGUAAUUAUACUGUUUGCAUUUACUUCUAAUAUAUAUACUAUUAGUUGCGUAUAAAAUUAAAUUUCAUAUCUGUUUUAUAAAAUUAAAUAACAUGUUUAUUCUAUAAUUUUUAAAAUUAUUUGGCAUAUAUUGAUAUUGCCUCUAUAUUGUCAAACAUCAAAAAAAAAAUCUGUAAUUUUAAGUAUAAAAUAAAUCCGAACUUAAAAAAUCAAAUUUUAAAUUAAACUACACACAUACGAAGGAACCGACCGUCCCUAAUGCAAAUGGCAAAGAACUUGAUGGUGGGUAACUAAGGUCCCAAGUUCAAAUCUUAACUGAUUCACAUUUCCAGCUCAAUUUAUUUUUUUUAAAAAAUAAACGAAACUGAAAAGUUCAAAUCCUAACUGAUUCACAUUUAAAUAAACGAAACGGAAGCCGUAGCAUACUACCUCUUAUGUUUUAGUGGUGGAUUUUAUAUGUGGAUUUUUUUUCGGAUAGUAUGCUAUUUUUAUCUUAAAAAAAAACAUUCUUAUGAUAUUUUAGUGGUGGGUUUUUAUAUGUAGAUUUUUUUUUUAAAAAAAAGACAUUUUAGAUUAGAAAUUUUUUAGCGAAAUAUCAAGAGUGGUGUACGAGAUGCAAGUAGAUACACCGGGUUCAGGUAGUAUUUUCGAAGUUAGUAGAACAGAGGAAGAGAAGAGUGUUUACCGGCUGUAUGUGGAGUCGGGACUCGGGAGUGAUUGGACGACGCGUGUGCAGUUGCCAGCUGUAUGCAAGCAACCGCCCCCCUGGCACCGGUCGCCCCUUUUACCGGCUGCUCCCGGUCACCCAUCCCCGCUCCCUCUCUUAUUUAACCUCCCCCCGCACCCGCUCCUCAACGCCCCCCAUUCCCCUCUCGUCUCCCUCCUCCCUCGGCUCGUUCGGAACCAAAAAAAAAAAAAAAAAAAAAAAAAAAAAAAAAAAAAAAAAAAAAGAAGCAAAAGGAAAAAAUUAGGGUUAGGGUUUGGGGUUUUUUUUGUUUUUUUUUUUGUAUACGAACCGGUUGGAUUCGAUCGCGGUGGAAGUGGGUUUAGG